Long non-coding RNA from Cavia porcellus (domestic guinea pig), 94221 nucleotides. RefSeq lists it as uncharacterized. The record is from RefSeq and is a predicted model, not a curated record. The transcript has 2 exons. Lineage: Eukaryota; Metazoa; Chordata; Mammalia; Rodentia; Caviidae.
AGGGGCGUGCACGCGGGCUGCAAAGUGGUGGCGCGGGGGUGCGCCGCAGCGGGGCACCGGGAUGCGGCGGCCGGCCGGGCGCCGGGGAGAGGGCGCGGGCGCAGGGCGCGGUGGGCGGCGGCGGCGGAGGCGCCGGGCAGGGGCGCGGAGUUAGUUGGCCCGGGUGGUCCGGGCGGCCCGGGGCGGCGGGGGGCGGGCGCUGCGCUCCGCCUGCCGCUUCCGCCCGGGCUCGAGCUGUCAGGGCUCUCGGCGGCGGCUGCAGCGGCUGGGAGGUGGGAGGGGGGCGGGGGUGGCUCCACCGCGGCAGCCAUUCCGCUUCCUCCUCCCACCGCCGCCGCCACCGCGUCCUGUCAGCGCCGGUUGCUAGGUGUGGUGCGCUGGGAGGGGGCCGGGGCCAGCGGCCGCGCGGAGGACGGGUGCUCAUCCUUCCCCCGAGUGACCACCGUGCUGGCCGGGGACGCCCGGCGCCCGCUGCUGUCCCGGCCUGGCGCGGACGCCGGGGCGUUGCGGGCUGAGGUUCCGGGUGCGCCCGCGGGCCGCGCCCCACACCCGGGCCCCGGGUGCCCCUGAGGCCCUUGCGGCUGCGCCCGCUGGAGCUCGGUCCCACGGGCCCGCGGCCGGGUAUUUAAAUGUGCCCCGGCUCAGCGAUUUGCCUAUCAAAUAGUGCUAGGCCCGAGGUGCGCCGGCUGCGGCGGGGGAUCGGCGGGGCCUGCGCGGCGCCCGAGCGCGGGGCCGCGGGGGAGGGGCGCCCCGGAGCGGCCGGCUUCCCCGGAGCGCCGCACCCCGCGACCUUUCAACAAGUCCUCUGAUUCGCACAAGUCCUUACACUGGUUUGCACACUUUCUCUCUGCGAAAGGAGAUGGGUCAGGUUCUCUGGCUUAGGCUAUGCAGCCACCUGCGGAAGGUGUGGCCCGCACCCGCAAGUUUUCUAGUGUGGACUGGAGUGAAGGGGCCGCGUGAUACUUUCAGGAACGGGGUGGGGGGGUUGUCUCAUCCAGAGAACCUGCAGACUGUCCCAGGAAGUCCGAAUAAAUGCCAUGGAUUCAGCCAUGUGGAUGCAGCUCAUGUUUCUGCAAAGUUGAGGGGAUAAAUCACGACUAUUUAUGCACUAAUGAGGCAGAGCCUUUCAUGCUCCUUGGCCUUGCAUAUCGCUGUCUCUGCAACCAGUGGGUGCUUAGUAAGCAUCGAAUGCCUGUUCAGAAUGGGAUCUGGUUGGGUCAUCCAGAAUGGAAAAUAAUCAUGAAACAUGUCCACAAAAUGUCCCUGAAAAGAUAGUUCUGAUGAGUAAUUGUUCAGAUUUUGAAAUUUCAAAGUUUUAAAAUGUGUAAUACCUUCUUCUAUCUCCACUGAUAAAAGUAUGAUGGAGGAGCGAGGUUUUAGAGUUAUGGUAGUCUUAAAAGCAGUUUAAUGGAGGAACAAAUUUGCUGAUUCAUAUCAUGACCGGAGUGGCAUAUUUGAAAGCGGUCGAUAAUGUAAAUUAGGUUUUUAAUGAUGGCUGGUUUAAAAUAAAGCUAAAACUCCAGUAACACAAAAUUCCAGUAGAAAUUUUGCUAGUUUACAUGUCUCUCUUUACUCUUAAUGGUAAAUGGAAAAUAAUAAAUGUGAGUAAUACUAACCUAUGUAUUGUCUAAAUGUGUUAAUAUCUCCUGACCUAUGGAAGCUGUCAUUGCCUACCCCAUCCAUUCUCAUUAAGUUAUAUCAGAAUAAACUGUAAUUUAUGUAAAUUGAGUAAUAAUUUUACCAGAUUGCCAAGGAUGUCCUUGCUGGUUAAAAGAAAAUUAUAUUUACUUAAAUCUGAUAAGGACAAUUAUAAUUCUUGAGGAUUUACCUUGUAAUCAGAUGAUUUAAGAUUGAUUGUUACUAAAUUACAAAUUUUUUUUUACAUUUGCAGAAAUUAUCUCAAUGUUGUGCAAAGAUAUUUCAAGGUUUAGGAUUCAUAAGUUUUCUCACACAGAUUAUAAUAGUAGCUUACUCCCAAAGAGCUAGUGCUUUUCUUUUAAUAGUGAAAUAUUGAAAAACUAAAUGAAUAACAACUUAUAACUUAUGCAAGCAGUGUGGUGGACCUAACCAUUUACUAUACUUUGGAAACAGCUUGAAACAGCAAACUUUAUGAAAAGUAAGUAUUAAAGUGAAAACUUUUGAAAGUCCCAGGUUAAUAAUCUCACUUAAACUAUUGUAUACCUUGACUGAGGAGAGGCUUUUUAACAUUGAAAGGCAUCCAUAUAUGUGAAAAGAAAUAAGAAUUGAUCUAAGAAAAACAAAAACAAACAUGAUCAGAGCCAGUAUCAUAAAAAUAAACUUUUGAUGAAGAGACUAGAGUGAAACUAUGAGACAUUUAAUGAAACCUCUAUUAUUAGGAUACUAAUUUAUGAUUCAGUCUAUAAAUUUUUGGAGACAAUGAUUUGGUUAUUUUUAACAAUUGAUUUUCUGUUACAGAUAAUGUUUAGAUGAUGGUUCCAUCUUGGGGACCCUUCUGGGUUAUUACCAUUUAACCACUAAUCAAAAUCCUUAAGCAGGGAUGAAAUUAAGGUUUCUAGGGAAUAUGACAUACAUUUUACUUGACAGAUUUUUUCAAGUUUUUAUUAUAACUGCAUUGUGUUUAAUUCAAAUUAAGUGCAUUAAAUUGUGGGUAGUGGUUUUUGUCAUUUUAUGUAUGCAUACUUAGCUUUUGGUUUUUUGUUUUUUAGUAAUUCUAAAGAUUAAACCCAAGGCCUCCCACAUGCAAAGCAUGAACUCUAUUACUGAGCUAUAAUCAUCCCCAGUUCUUUAGUUGUGUUUUAAGCCACUUUUAUUUUCCCAUAAGGACCAAGGAUUUGGUUUUAGAGACAAGGGGAGUAUGCUUUCCACCAGCCUCUGUCUUAGCUGUUUUUCCUCCUCUGGUAGAAUGUUGUACAUGUGUUCCUCUUUUUUUUCUUUGCAUCUCACUGCUGUUUCAGUAUAAGAGAACCUGGCUCAGAGUAUAACCUAAGGCUCUCAGCUGAAACCCUCCCCACCCUCUAUUUAAAUUGCCUGGAAACUCCAUAUCCUUACAACUGUAAUAUUUCUGCACAACUUUGCUUCCAGUUCAUUUAGAGACCUGGUACUAUUUCUGGGAUACUGGAAAAGCUCAUUUGUUUGCUUCUCAUUGUAAGUAGAUACUGGAGUUUGUAGAAAUACUCUUGGCAUGAAUAUCCUAGGUAGGUGAAGUUAAACUGGUGACCAGGAAUCUUGGAAACACCCAAGAGCACUAAAUUUAACACCAAAGGUCAUGCCCUAGCCUCAUAAAAUGCCUGCAUCCCAGUGCUAUGAAAUCACUUGGCAACUGUGGGAUUAUUCUUAUUUAUUUGAUCUUUUAGUAUCUUUGUUAAGUACCUUUGUCUUCUGAAUUUAUUUAUGUAAUAGCAUAUAUUGGGUGCUAUGUCAGGCACAGUUCUAGCCACAUGAUAUAUUUCAGUGAAGGAAAUAGAAAUUCCAGUCUCUGAAAUUUUACAGUCUAAUGGGUGUAGAUAGAUAAUAAACAAUUGAAAUAAAUGAUGUAGUGUGUUGGAUGGUGCUUAGUGAUACAGAGAAGAGAAAAACUAACCAAAGUAAGAUGGAUUGGGAGAAAAAAGUAUUGGCAGGGGCUGGGGAUUUAGCUCAGCGACAUAAGCACCUGCCUUGCAAGCAGGCGGUUGUGAGUUUGAUCCCCGGUACUGAUUAAAAAAAAAAGUAUUGGGAUUGUAAACAGGUUAACCAGGGUAGACCUCAGAAGCUGAUAUGAGUCUUGACCAUGAAAGAGAUGAGAGAGUUAGCCAUGAAGAUGUCUGCGAGGUAGGGAGGUCUAAGCAAGGGAGGUAGACAGUGUAAAAACUCCAAGGUAGGACUAUACCUCUUGGCUAGAAAUACAGGAAUCUGACCUAUUUUGGUUGUUCUUGUGAUGGCACUGAAGUCUGGGGUCAUUUAGAACUUUUCUCAUAUGUUGUGAACCUCACCUUUGUAGGGAUUUGCAAAUGAUUUGGUCUCACUGAGUAGGUAGGGUUGAUGGUAUUUGACUCUGAGUAUCUACAGGUUUCUUAUUGUCUCUAUUUGUUAGUUUCUUCAUAGUCCAAACCCAGGUGAUCCAUUAAUUUCAUUUUAUAUAGUGGGUCUAUAAACCAUCUAAUUAAUGGAAGUCAAAGUUUCUGGAAGGAAAAAUGAGGGCAGCUACUAUCAAUAAUGUCAAGUUUAGCUCCAAAGAUGGUUUAGUAAAUAUUUGCAUUAAAAUGGCAUAGUAUGCUAGAUAGAUUCAGAGCCCCUUUUUAUUCCCACUUAUACAGGUGCACAAGCUGAGUCACAGAAAGGUUAUAUAAAUGUAACUUUUUGAAUUUGAUUCCAACCAAAUUACCAAAGAGGUAGAGAACCUGAUAGUACCCUCUCUACGUUUCUUCCAUAUACACUUGAUAUGAUUUUCCCUUUAGAAUGUAGCCCUGAACUCUCUAGAUGAGGAAUAUCUGAGAAACCAGUGUGGCGAAUUUAGGCUACCUGCUCCUACUUACUUAUUUGUAGACAGAUAACUAUAUUGUUCCUCCUCUAUAAAAUGAAGAUAAUAACACCAUCUACCUCAAGGAGUGGUUAAUGAGGAUUAGAUCAGAUUAUAUUUAAUAAAGUACUCAUCUACAAUAUUAAAUUAUCUACAUCAUUCAAUUUCUUGCCACUUGCAAAUUUAAUAAAUACAUUUAUAAUCCUACUGUGAAAGCCUCCAUUAGAGGUUAACAGGUCAUGUCUCUCUACUUUUGGUACUGUUUUGGGAGCAUUACAACUAUGUUUUUCAUUGUGUCUGUCUUGGGAAAUGUUAGGCAUAGGAAUAGGCAAUCCCUCUGUAAUCUCCUUUCUUUUUUGUGUGGCCAAAAGCACUUUAGACACUGGCAAAGGCCUUCACCACUACGGGAAAGUGGUAUCAAGGCCAGGGCUUCCAAUAUGGCCUUUCCUUGUGGCCUGCAUUUAUUUGAAAAAGCCCAGGACUAGAAAGAGGCUCUGUGUCUGGGGUCUGUGGGCACAUUUCUCAGGAUCUUUCCUGUGGGAAGAAGGAAUGACUGAAGGAAUAAAUGAAUGAAUGAAAGGCUUGUUGUUGACUGCCCUGCUCUCUGCCUGCACUCUGUGGUUUGGCGGAAGAAUCUCCAUUACUCCCUCCCACUGUUCCCCAGAAGGCCCCAGGUGCAGAGCCAGUGGAGGUUUUAAAUGUGUGUGCAUCCACGCAGACAGACACUAGGCUCGCAAAAGGAAACCCUGAGUCUCAAGCGUCACUGCAGCCCCAAAGCGUCGUCUUCAGUAGUUUCUUAUUGGCUCAUUUCUCAUCUGUAAAUGGCCAGAUCAUCCUUUAAGAGACAUGACUUGAACAUUGUGACUCAUUAAGUUUCAUGAACUUCUGAUUAUCUUCCUAUAGUAUACAUGUUUUCUGACAUGUUACUGAAAGGUAUAGCUACCAAUACUCUGCUUGCAGUGGGGUGCAGAAGCCUCCAUAUUCAUUAGAAAAUGGUUUCCUUUAAAGACGCAUGUAUUUUGGAAACAUCUCCUACCUCUGCAGUUCUAGACAUGCAAACUGACAGCUGGUUUCAGAGGACCUGAUUCUUUCCAUUGAUGACAGUGACCAAGCCCUCAAGGAUGGAGCAGGCUGGUGACAUGCAAUGAGAGGAGCUUCCCUGGGGGCAACUGGCGCCAAAGGCCUGUGUUGUAGGCUGAGGUCUGAGGGACGGAAACAAUGCUGCUGAAUCUUUUUUUUUUUGUCUUUUUCCUUUUUAUCGGUACUGGGGAUCAAACCCACGACUGCCUGCUUGCAAGGCAGGUGCUUAUGCUGCUGAGCUAAAUGUCCUUUUUCGCCUUUUGUUCCAUGGGUUCCCCCAUUUCUUUGUAUUUCUCAGCCACCUCAUCUCUUAGUCCCUACCUUUAUUCCUGACAGUGAAGUCAUGUCAGGAAUACUGGGUACUGAAAAAAUACUUGUUGAGUUAUAUGUAUUUCGUUCCUGAUAGUUUAAUAGGUAAUAGAUUUCUUUCACAUUGACUUGGCUAAAGUGUUGAAUCACAAAUGUUUAUUUGUUUUCUGAAAAAUCAGAAGCUGUAACUGUCAGAAAUUUAUUAUAAAUUUGUUUUUUAAAAAUGCAUUUAAUGUCAUAUGCUGAAUCAGUUUAAAUAACAUUACAUGUCUCCUUACAGUGCACUGGAAUGUUGUAGUAGAAUGUUUCACUAGUUUUUAAAAGGUAGGCUACAAGCACGAACCAGAUUAAUGGAUAUUCACUUUAAGGAGGAAGUCUUUCAAAUAACUCUUUUUCUACUUUGGCACAAGAGUCACAGCGACUCUUCCUGGGUCACUAAGUGUAGACCUUCUGCCCGAUACAAUGAACACUGACAGUAUCCUGAUGGCCAGUUUUCCUUGCCUAGCUCACCCACUGGCCUCCUAAGGAAGCACUGUUCAUUGUCUUCCAGACUACAAUGGUGACUUUUUCCUGAGAUGAACCUCCUUGACAGGGCACUGUCUGGCACCAUGUUAUUAAUAUUGAACUACUCAGUUUCUUCGGCUAUGUAUAUUAUAUUAUAUUUACAUAUAAGUUAUAUAAUUUAUCAAAAGGAAUGAACAGGUCAUUAUUGUUUAUAGUGUAUACUAUAUAUGUAUAAUAGAUAUACAGAAGUGUCUAUAGUGGUCCCUCUUUCUAUGCUGAAUACAUUCCAAGACCUCAGUGAAUGCUUGAAACUGAACAAUACCAAAAACUCUUCCUUUCUCUAUAUGUACACAUAUAUGUUUAUAUAGGUAUUUAAGAGUGUGUGUGUAUAUACAUAUAUAUAUCUGUACAGUCUGUUUAUAUAUAUCAAAUAUUUUGUAUACAGAUUAAUCAAUGGAAACAUGGUUUCUGUUCAUAUGUUUUACCUAAAAAUUUAAUGAAUUUUUUAUCUUAAACAUUAUUGUGCAUCAUGGCUAUGAAUUUUGCAGUUUGCAGUUAUAAUCAUGAAAGCUAUGAUGAAUUUUUUUUUGAUUCCUCAUAGUUUCUUAGCAAUCUCAACAUGAUUUUGUUUUUCUUAUUAACCUGAGAAUUUUCACCUUUUAAAGGAAAUACUGUGUGGCUUCUUUUUGGCAUAUCUGAAUUCCCAGCACCACUCUAGGGCCAUUAUAAAGUAAAAUAAGCACCAUGAUACUCAGACAGUUGGGUGGGCUACUAAUGACUAAUGGGCAGGUUGAGUAUACAGUAUGUAUGUGCUGGACAAAGAGAUAAUUGAUGUCUUGAGGAGGAUGGUGCAAGAUUUCAUUACAUCAGUCAGAUGCUGCACAAUUUAAAACUUAAACAUUGUUUAUUUUUUAGAAAUUCUCAAUUAGUAUUUUCAGACUGCAGUUUACUGAUGGUGAUUAAUUGUGGAAAACAGAACUCCAGGUAAGGCAGAAGGGGUACUGCAUAUAAAAUAUAAGUGAUACAUACACUCACACACUACAUAUGCAUAUAUAUAUAUAUAUAUAUCUGUAUAAGUGUGUAUUUAUGUGUAUGUAGAGGCACAGAUUUCGUGUUCUCGUCACCAUGGAUAGUGAGAACUACACAUGUAUUUUUGAGUAUUUCUUACAUGCUGGUACUUAAAACAGUACUGUCUCCAAGAAGUUGAAAUGUAUUUGCAGAGACCAGACAUACACAGACAAGAGAAAUGAUGAAUAAUAAUAGGGACCACUAUGAAGCUAAUGAAGCUCAAACCCCAGGGCCACUCUCUUGUACAACACAGUUUUGAAUAUAUUGCUAGGGCUCACCCAGUACUUGCCAAGGCCCUGGAGGACCCCUCACAGUGUAUUUUGCAAUGUAUUCACUAGGUCCUAACUUGUAAAAUUUGAAAAAGUAAGAUUUUUAACAGCAAUCAUGUAACAUUUUCCUUCUCCACUCUGACUUUCCUUUUGUCAUAUUUCUCUGUGAGUUUGCUAACUUUGGUUUUGAGAGUAUUUUUGGAUUUUGAGAGCAAGUUUACAUUUUGUGGGCUAUAUUGAUAUUGGUCAUCUCUGUGUCUGUUUACAUUUUCCUUGGCUAUGUGGUGUAGGAAUUGCUCCCUAGGAACAUUACCUACAUUGGCAGCUUACAUAGGGUCCAUAUACAAAGGUGCAGGUCGGAGAUAGCAUUUCACAUAUACUGGGAUAUCUGCCGUUGGGACUCUGGUUUCAAGUGUAUGGCACUAGAAGCUAGUCAGUGAAUAUCUAAAAUUCUAAGUGGAACAUUCAAUUCUUACCUAAAUAUAAUCAGUACAGGAGUUCUUUUCAGUUAGAAAUAUACUCAGUAAUGAAAAUAUGUAGCUACAAACACACUUUUUUCUUUUCAGUAUUUUUGAACCCAAUAUUGUGUAUGUAUGCUGGGCAAAUACUCUACCAUUGAGUUAAAUCUCCAGUCUUAAAUGCACCAUUUUUUUAGUGGAAAUUAUAUUUAAGUUUCUUGUUCAUUUGACAUGAACAUGUAUCAAUAGCAACAAAAAGUAGUGACAAGAGUCUGGUUAGUGAUUUUCAUCAUGACAAACAUUUUUUAAAGUUAACGUAUAAGAAAACUUGAGGCCAAGUGUGGUACACACCUGUAGUUCUGGCAGACUGAAGCAAGAGAAUGACAAGUUCUAAACCAGCCCGGGCAAAUCAGCAACUUAAUGAGACCCUGUUUUAAAAUAAAAAAUGUAAAAAUGGAUUUCAGUGUGAAGACCCUGGGUUUAAUCCAUAUACCACAGUAAAUAAAUGAAUGAAAACGUGAAAUGCCCUGAAAUUUUAUGACUCCUACAGAAAAUAAAAUUUGACAACAAUCCUAAAACUAUAUAUAAUUACCAGCAAAGAAGUAUGACUGACAGUCACUUUCUGAAUUAUCAAUAAUUAAAAAUAAAAUUUAAUCACUCAUGCUUAUGUGAAAACUAACAUAUCUUUUCACCCUGUAGAAAGUGAUAUUCAUAUAAAUCCUCGUCACAUGAAAAUUUAUCAGAGCAUGUAGUUCAAAGAAGGUAUUUAUAGGUAUAGGUCAAGCAGUUAAUUAAUAUACACAUGAAUUUUUCUCUGGAUUUUGACUUUGUGAUAUUUUAGUAUUACCAAGUUAUAAAAGUUUGUGUUUUGUUAUAACUUCUUAACCUCAAUAAAUAAUCAUUUUCAAAAUUUCUGCCAUAGUACCUUUUUUCCAUGAAGAAGGUCUAAAAAUACAUUCCAACAAAAUGGGUCCAUUCCCUACUCCCCUAGUUAGGGAGUCAUUAUCAACAGUUUUCACACCACUUUUAAUUAGCCCUCACUUAUAACAUACCUAUGAAGUAGACAUUAUCCUCAUCUUAGAAGUUAUGACUCUAGGUUUGGUAAUUACAUAUAAUUUUAGGAUUGUUGUCACAUUUUAUUUUAUGUAAGAGCCAUAACUUCUCAUACUAGUUGCUACUGUACUAGUUGAAUACUGUUCUAGUGAUAUAUGAGCUAAAAUGUUUAUCUUGAUAAUAUUAUAAAACAGAAACUUUCCUUCAGGACAGUAAGCCUUUUCCACCUCAGUAACUUUCAUUAUUAAAUUGGCCCUUCUUUUGUCCUGCAAUGUCACCCAUGGCUGCACCAGAUUGGAACGACCCAUACUGAAUGGUCACCACCUGUGUAUUCUGUGCCCUCCCCAGAAAUUCAGUUCCGUCUUAGAGGCCAGAGUUUUGUCAUCUUCUUGGAAUCUUCCUUGAGAAGUGUUUUCAGAGAUAGAAUGAAAAAAAUUGAGUCAUACCUCGGUUGUAAACAGAACAAGGCAUGAAUGUAACUUUGUGGAAGACAUUUUUUGCAGUCAAUCUCCAAGGGUGUGCAUAGAUGAGAGAUAGUUUGGUCAGUUAGUCCUAUAAUAUACUGGGCCUAAACAAUUUCAACAUUCUUAGUAUAUAAGUGUUUUCAUUUUCCCACAUCUUCCUUGCCAGGGUGUCUGCUAUAAAGGAGGCAAGGAGGUGAGUAGGAGAAGCUUGGACUGAAAAUAGGACUGAAUUUUGAAUACUGAUCCCACCACCCACCACCUUUUGGCUUUUCAAAUUUGGGCAUCUGUGACAGUCUUUGCAUAAAAUAUGACAAUAACUAUUAUUAAGUACCUACUAACAUGUUGCUCUAACAUUCACUACUCAGUAUUUUAGUUCUAUUUGACACAGGAGGACAUCAGGACAUAGACCAAAUAAGUAAUAUCUUAUGCUCAUAGGAGUGAGGGUCAAGUGACCCUACCAGUUACUUGCUCUUUAUAGCCUAAGUUAUGUUGUUUUAUAAGAUAUUUGUGUCUGUGUUUCCUUCAGGACAGUAAGCCUCAGACUUCUAGGCUCAAGCAAUCCUCACAAAUGACUGGGAUUACAGAUGAAUACCACCAUGCCUGGCUGUUUGCAUUUUAAUAGAAAGUUCUUUCACACCUGACAGGUACAGAGAACCUGGAUUUCCAAUAGGAACAAUGUGAGUAGCUAGGGAAAUAUUUUGAAGUUGCAGUCUAGUAGGAAUAGAAAUGUGUUAGAAUGUUUCAAGGGUUCUAAAGAAAAACUAACCCAGGAGCACCGUGUGGUAGUCAGUGGCUUGUGAAGAAAUAGAAUUAAUACAGGAAACAUAAAUUUAUAGGAUUAUCUUAUAAUAUCGAGAAGGUCAAAUGCAGAAGAGUGCAAGAGAUCUAUGCACGCACUAGAGAAUCCAGGGAAGGAUGAAGAUUCCAGGCCAAUGUCUCAUGCAAGUCCAUAUCAGGAUUCUAUACUGGAGAGGCAAAGGGUCAGUGGUGGAAGCUAGACAGUCUGCACCAGUGGGAUGAAGAAUCUGUGCCAGAAUGCCAAGGGAUCUACAUUGGAGACAGGAAGUGAUGCUCAAGACAAAGGCAAAGAUCAGAGCUCCCACUAGAGAACAGCAGCUGAGGGCAGCAAGGACUGAGAUGUGCCACUGAUGUUGCUGCUGCUGCUGCUGCUGAUGAUGAUGAUGAUUAGGAGGAGAAAAGCCAAAGUUAGUAUCAGGAAAACCAGCCACAACAAAGCUCUCCUGGGAAAUCAGCAGCACCCCCUUCACCUACACACACCUUCUUUUGUACAGUUCUGGCUACAAGCCUCAGGUGGGUCUUUCAUGCCCAGCACCAUGCUGAUUUAGUUCAGCAGGACAGUCUCACUUAAACUGACCAUUAGUUAACCCACCGCAUAUGCUAUUAUCACAACAAUAAAAGCAGUAAUGUCAAUUCUAAAAUGGUUAUAAUUACUGAUUUUCUAAGUGUGCCAAUUAGUUGUCUCGCUCUUUCUGAUGUUUAUUUGGAAGUGGGGGUCUCCUGACAUGUUAUAUGACCCUAUCCACAAGUACAAACUUUUCCUUUAGAUCUUCUAAAUCAAAGAAUGUUCACAUUCUUUAUUUUAGAAAUUAGUUUGGGACCUAGAUGGAAACAUUGUGAGUUAAGAACAAAAAACUCCAGGGCUCUGGCCAUAUGUUUAGAGUCUUUCUGCUGGACACUUCUCCAGUGACAUCCACAGAGAGAGCACACUUUGGGUCAUAUCACCCAUCACCAGACCUACACAGCUGGUGCAAGAGCACACCUAGGCUUACAACAGAAGCACCUUGUUCCAAUCUAACUUUUUCAGUGAAAACAUCUUGGAUACCAUUUUAGCUGCAUGAUUCUCCUUGUAUGGCAGAAUGGCAGACACAGAGGAAUCAUGUAGAGAGACUUUAAGCUGAACACAUGGCAGUAAGCAUGAAUAAACAUAAAUUAUGCCCCUGUUUCCUCAAAUAUCAAAUUUCAAAUGAAGAAAAUGGGGCUCCUGAUGUUUCUGUGUAAACCCAGGCCGAGCACAUACUACAGGGGCCCUUUCUUCAGUAAUUGCAGGUAAGUUUCUAGGCCUCUACUUCGCUCCUUGAGCUAAUCUCAGUGUGUUAAGGAGUCUGAUGGGUGGGGGAACUGGGGACAAAGACUUGUCAUCAGGAUACAGUGAGUGUCACGUAGGUGUCAGCCCAUAUAUAAUCUAUAGGUAGUUUUGAUUUUAGAGACACGCUGAGUACAUCUUUAAUAGGAUCUUUCUGACACUAGACAUCUGGCAUUUGGCACCAGCUCAACCAAAUGGUUGACAAAGUGAGAUUUAAACUAAUGUGUCUCAAUAUUCUGCCCAGAUUGGAAACUCCCUUUUAUAGGUUGGCUUCACUUCAGCACUUUCAGGGGCCCUCAGCAAAACAUUUGCUGUCAAAAUAUGCAAACAUCAGCCAAGAAUUUUGGUCAAGAGACAUUAAAUUACAUAUGCCCUUCCCUUUGGAUGGUAGUAGAAUAAAGGCAUCAUGUCUUUUUAGUCCCUGGAAAGAUGAUGGUGUCUUAAGUGUCUAUCUGAUACAUAUUUUAAAGUAGUGUGAGUGAUUCUUGUCUGUGCCUUAUGGAAAUCAGUGUUACUGAUUUAAAAAUCACACUUACCUAUCAGUAGGGUUAAGGCUAAUUUUCAAAAUAGGUUGGCAUCAGAACCUGGAUGAAAAAUGAGGAUGCCAGGGCUCCAUCCCAAAACUGUCCAUGUAAUUGGCCUGGAUGGAACAUCUAUUUUUAACACUGUAAAGCUGAUGAUAAUACAUGUUGGUAAGAUUGGAACUUGUUGGUUUACUCUACCAAAAUAACUAACAUUGUGAGAAUUACAACAUAUCAAAAGGAAUCAAACCUUUAAAAGUGUCUGGAUUUGGGGUUUAGGUUCCAUAGAUUUUAGUGUUUAAUAUAUAGAAAUGUGCUACUGUUUCAUAUAUGCAGUUAGAGUAGAAGUGCUCAAACGGGAACCUGUGGCCUACUAGUAUCAAACUCAAACUCCUUCAGGACAUGAUAUGUCCCUGAAUGGACCCAGUUUAUCUUAAUGGACCCUGGAAGACUGGAGAGCACUUGCUCCCCUUGAAAAGCCAGCUGUGACUCAGCUUCAGCCCAGUCUUGCAGUGUUGGGGAGUAGGCCUUCUGUUGACAGAUACUAUCUUGUCACUAUUGUUUGAGAGAGACAAGCUCAGAAUUAAUAUUUUUGUGUGAAAACUGUCUUUAAAUGUUGGCAUCUGAUACUGAUGAGUUUUAAACAUUGUGCAAGACAACUCUGCUACUCCACCCAAUCACUGUACUUAAUAAGAGAUAUUUUGAUAGGUCAUGUGCUUUAAUUGAGCACAUGUGACUGGUGGGGUGCAGUCAGUCCUGAAGAUCAUUGCUCCGAGCAAAGAAGCUAUGUGAACACUAGAAGAUACACUGGAAAGAAUAGUAGUUUACAGUGGUUUUUAAAAUAUUCAUUAUUCUUUAUGAAAUUAUAAACUAUUUUAAUAUGAAAUCAUUGUGAUUAAAAUGUCUUAUAUAGUAAAUUCUAAGAAGAUGAACCUUAAUCCUGAAAGUGUACUGUCAGUCCCCAGUUUACUGUGGUUCAACCUGCAAUUUUUUGAUGGUGGCAUACAUUCAGGAGGGCCCAUAUUUCAAAUUUUGAAUUGGUAUCCUCCCCCUGACUAGGGAUAAACCAUAUAAUAUUGGAUGGUCAUCCAUAGCUCCUACUCAGCCACACAGCCAUGAAGGGAACAGCUGACACUUAGCCACAUACAGUUAGGAUGUUUGGUAAAGUAGAUCCCUUAAAUGCAUUUUGCAAAUAGGAUAAUUUCAGCUGAUGAUGAGUUUAUUAGAAGUAACCCCAUUAUUAUUUGAAGAGCAUUUGUGUUAAGCAGUGUGUGUAUCAUUAUCAGUAGCAUUUCUUUCCUCUGGGUUAAAAAAAAACAGGACUACUUAGAAAGUGUCUCCUAAACUAAGCGUUUUCAUCAUGGCAGACAACCUUUCACAGACUAGUGGAGCAUCCUAUCCCUUGAAAAGUGGAAGGAGUCUGUGAUAGUUAAUUUUGGUGUCAAUUUGAGUAAGAAACACUUAGCAGGUUGGUUUAGUAUAGUUCUGGGUGUGUCUGGAUGAUUGACUUACUGAAAACUGAAGACUCACCCUGGAUGUGAGUGGCGUAAACCAGUAGGCUUGUAACUAGGAAGAAAGAAAAAGGGAAAUAAGAAGGAAGCCUUGCUUCUGCUUCUUUGAAGGAGCACCAGUGUUUGCCAUCACCUUGGGAUGGCCGUCUCUAGGCCUUUACUGCCGUCUUUUCAGCUUCCUGAUACACUCACAUGGGACUCUACAGUGAGCUCCAGGCCUUUGACUUUUGCCUGGAUCCUUUGGAUCUGAAGCAUGUGGAUGACCCUUUUGCAUUCUUACAUACCUGGCUCUGCAGAUGCCAUUUUAAGUCUACCUUCUAAAUCCUUUGUACAGUAUAUUGAAUUUGUUUUUCUGGUGAAUUCUAACUGAUACAAAGAUUUGGAAACAAUGUAGCCUGACUAGCUAGCCUAAUUCUAUAGACAAAGAAAGAAGAAGACUGAAAGGUAGGAGUGAAGGAGGGGAAAGGACACUGGCCCAGCUGAUGUGUCCUGCAGCUACUUGCCUCACCGAGAAUCCUCACUUUGCUUCUUUUGCUAAAUUAUAUACAUUCUUUGUGCCUUGAUUUCUUCAUCUCUAAAUGAGGUAAUAGUAAGUAUGGCCCUCAGGGUUUCGUGGGACACUGUGCAUAUUUAGUAUGUUAUCUGAUGAGUUCUAAAGAAAAGAAAACUCCCUGAUCUGUUCUCUUGGCUGUCCUCUGCAGGAGCUCUGCUCUGGACAGUUAUGGGUGCUGCCUUUGGAAUCUUGCUAGGCAUGGGACCUUAGCCAAACUGUUUAUUCCUCUAGGGCUUAACUUCUGUCAAAUGGGAAUGAGAAUAGUACUUAUCUCAGAAUGUUGUUAUGUGGAUUAUGUAAAGUCAUGUGUCUGAAGGGCCUGGCAUCUAAAAAGUACUCUAUAAGUGUUAAUACUGAAAUGAUUUUGCCAUCUUUUGUUCAUGGUCCAUGAUGAUGCUCCCUUUGCCACACAGUCCUUAGACUCCCCUGACCUCUUCACAUUUCCAUAAUACAGUGAAAGAAAUAAUCAAAACGCUGUAGACAUUUCUGUUUUGGGUUACACAUUUGUACUUGGAUAUAGCCUUGAUAGCCUUUGAUUUCCUUGGUAAAAUUUUGGUUUGUGUUUGUAUAAGUCAUACUGAGUAGUCCUAGAAAUCCAUGGCUUUUAAAAAAUUGCACACACAAAUUCUUCAAAAUAUACCAGCCUUGAAUGAUUAUAUAGAUUUUAAGUUUUUGAGAUGUUAGAUCAUGUGAUUAGAAAAAUGACUACCAUAUUUGAUAAAUGUAAUUUCCCAUUUAAGAGAAAAGGCAUUGAAAAUUUUAAAAGAGGUUUAUUGAGCUAUAUGAACUGAAAACAUAAUUUUUUUCACAUUGUAAGAACUAAGCAAUGGAAAAACAGGAGACACUUUUAUCUGUGUUAUUUGGAAAGGUUUAUUGUGAAAAGAUUUGUAGGGCAUUAAUAAGGAAAUCCAAGAACAGACUGUAGAACUAAGAAAAUGCCACGCCCUCCUUCUUAAGUAUUCUACAUCUAUUUAAUAAUAGUCUUGAAAUGUCACAUACUCAAAUCCUGGAAGCUUCUCAGGAAAACCCCUUGUUUGAGAAACCCAAGAAGCAAUAGUUGAAUUGUUUACUUACUGUGGAGAACAUUUAAGAUACUUUAUUCCUAAAUAAUAUUUACCACUAUUACAUGAAGUCACUUUAUAUGGAACUUGUUUUCUACUUUAUUAAAUAAGUUGGAAUCUAUUAGUUAACUGGUUCAGGAUUAUGUCUUUGUAGUAGUUGAAUAAUAAAAUGGUUUCCAAUCUUUUUAAGGUUCCUGAAGGCUUAUUUUGUUAUUUCUCUUCUUUCUCUCUGUGGGUUCUAUAUUUUGGAAGAUUUUGUUUGACAAACAAGCUGAUUUAAUAAGUAAUUAAAUACUUUCUGUUUCCAUGCAGCAGCAUCUGAAACUCCUAAUUUAUAUAUUUAGUAAAUAUUUAUUGAAUGCUAACUAUGCAGGCCUAUCCAGGAGCUAGGGAUACAGUAAUAAAUUACACAAUUAAAAUCUCCAUGCUCAAGGGAGAAACAGACAAUACACAAUGUGUAAGAUAAUUUCCACCAGUCAUAAAUAGUGUUGUGAGGAAAAUAGCAAUAAGGAGACAGAUGGGAGUUGGGAGGCCUGUUUGAGAUGAGAUGGUGCGGGAUGGCUUCUUUAGAAGGCCGCUCUGAAAGGCCUGAAUGGAGUGGGCAUGGGAGCUGUGGGGAGGAUGUACUCCAGGCACAGGGACCAGCAGAGCCUGAGGCAGGACUGUCCUCAUAGCAGCAGCGUAGGGAGUAAGGCAGAGAAGAAAAAAAGCAGAGUCAUGUGUGGACCUGUGGUCAGGCAGUGUCAUCAGUGUUACUCCAAGUGACAGUAAUUCCAGACCCAACCAAGGAUGUGGAACACUGUGUGGUUUAUGGUAAUUUUCCCUGUGCCAAUGAUGGCAGACCUUUUGGAGAUGAGUGCCCAACGCACUACCUAAAACUACUUAUUUUUCACAAAGUUCCAGCAUUCCAAUUAAGCCUGAAUACACUGGUUUUACUUUAGAAAAAGGCAGUGCAUGCAUUACCAUCUUUUUUCUUAAAGGAAAAACAUAAUAACAGAGCAUUCAGUGAUACCGCUUUUCAUUGAAAAAGCUUUUGGCUUAGAUUUGUACAGUUAAUGUGAUCUUUAUUGUUGUAUGCAUGCUGAUAGUUUGUCAAACCUUGCUCAUACUUUGUUAGUUUGAGAGAAACAUAUGCAGCAUUCAGGUCAUCUGUUUGUCUGUGUUUUGUAUCAGAUUUGAUAUAAUUCAAAGCUGAAAACAGCUGCUCACAAGCACAAAAUGAUCCAGGCAAAGUAAGGUGACUUGGCUUGUGUGCUGACAGAGAGAGUUCUGGUGUCUGUAACAUUCAAAUAGCUCAAAGAUCUGUUACCACUUUGAAAGGCCUGGAGGUAUCUGAGAAAACCAUAAUUGACCCUCUAGUUUUCUUUAGAUUUGCUUUGCUUGCUACUUAAGCCCCAAAAUACUACUUAUUUUUAAAAAUCUAUUGAAAUAAACAUUUUGACUAAUAAUUCAUUUGACUAGUAUAGUUCAUUUAGUGUUUGCUAUUUUCUUUUGAAACAGCAGUGAAAAAUAAGCAUUACCUAUAAUCAUGAUGUAUGUAAGAUAAUUUUGGUACAGUUUCUAAUCUCUUGGGACCAAUAGAAUUCUUUAAAAUUUUUCUUCAGUAGCUUUGUGAAAACUUGAGUAGAUUUCACUGAUUGUUGGCGCUAAUGUGACAACUUGUGGAAGGGUAGAGAAGAGAGUGAUUUUAAAAGUAACGUACUGAUAGAGGACACAAAAAUUAUUGGGGGGGAUUAUGUAGACCCUAAACCUGAAAAUAUGGUCUCAUUUUUAGAGUAGUUUUUUCAUUCAGAAAGGUAGUAUUUAAUGUAUCUCUCUUAUGAAAAAUAGUUCUGCAUUUGCAUCUUAUAGGGAGAUGCUAGUGUAAACAUUGGUCAUUGUUUUACAGAGGGCAUUGAGUCUGUUCUCUGCAUUUUUACCUGUCAGCAUCUUUGUUCACAUCAUUGGGAAGUGGUGUGUUUGAGUGGCCAAAUGACUGUGCACUCAGUGAAAUUCAAGGGAAAAAUUAAGAGUAUGAGAUGUGCUGAGAUGCAUGUGUUUGUACCUGUAACUUAAUCUUUCCCAUUAAUAUAAAAUGAUGGUGCAUUUUAUAUUAUCGCUACUUCUGUGAUACUAUGUCACAGACUGUCCCAAAACUCAGUACUUUUGCUAGUCAGCUUUUUGUUGCUGUGACAAAUACCCGAAAUAAAUCAAUUUAAAAGGGGGAAAGGUUUAUUUUGGCUCAGAGAUUCAGUCCAUAGUUUGACUUUAUUGCUUUGGGACCGAGGUGGCACACCAUGUCAUAGCAAGAGUGUGUGACAUAGAAAAUCUGAUGACCUUAUGGUAGCUGGGAAGCAAAGAGACAGGAAGGGGUGCUAGAGUCCCAAAAUCUCUUUAAGCACAUCCUCCAAUGACCUAACUUCUUCCUACUAGGCUCUGUAUCCCAUAGCUUCUAUUAUUUUCUGUAGCACUACAGGUGGUAUCCUAACAUGUGGGCCUUUGGGGGACAUUUAAACUAUAGCAGUGGCAAGCACAGCUAUUGUCUGGUCUGCAGGGAGACUGUAGUUUGACAAAUCAGUGAGGCUGGUUCAGCUGGGUGGAUUUGUUUUAGGCUGCUGGUCAGCUGCAAGUUGGGCUCAGGUCUGCUCAUAUGUUCAUUCUGGACCAGGUUGAAGGGCAGCAGCUAUUAAAGGCAUGCUUUUCUCAUCAGGGACCACCACACCGCAAGUGCCAAAUCAAACCACAGAAGCUUACUUAAAACCUCUAUGCAUGUCAGGCCUGUAACAUUUCUUUGGAGAUCACAUUAUGUGGCUAAACUCAGAAGUGACAGGGCAAGGAAGUAUAUUUCUGCCCAAGGGGGGACAGAGUGAAUAAUAAUUCCAUCUAUUAUAGAAACCUUUUAUCAGAACAGAAAAAGUCCAAAUGGCUAUUGAUUUUUAGUAUAGAAGUACAAAUUUUCUCCUAAAAUGGUCGUAGUGCUCUAUAAGCCAGAGGUUGCUGCCUACAACAACACAGUGAGCUUGGAAGGCAGAUAUUGUGACUCCCCAGGGAAGCAUGAACAACCUUUUCAGACAGAAAUUGAGACUUAAAGGGAAAAAAACCGUAUUGAUUUCUACUAGGUCAUAGAAACAGGGAAUCUACUUGCUUCUGUGGUUAGAGAUGACCUCUUUUCCAUUCGUAGGUUACUUAAGAGUCCAAAGGCUUUAAUUUGGGUUUCCCAGUAUUUUGUGCUUAUAUUCCAAAUUCCUGAGCUGUUUGGCAAGGCUGAGAUGCUGGGAACACUUCCUGUAGUGCCCUCUCCCAGAAUAGAGAGAGUCACAAAAGUUUCGGGACUAUUUGGCCACUGGGGCCUGAACCCUAUUUCUUCCCUUGGUAUAAGCCACUGUUGGUAGAUGGUAAUGGACAGCCAGGCAGUCGGGAGCCUCCUUUCCCCAUUCUCUUACUGUACUUCAACUUUUGUGUGAUUGAAAAAGCUGUCACUGGUGUCAGACACCCCAAGUCUAGACCACUGUGUGAUUUUGGGCAACUUACUAAUGCAUGAUUUUCUCAUGCAUUAAUACGAUUUUCUCAUAUUAACUACUAUGUAGAACUGAUGGGAGAGUUAAGUGAGCUAGUGUGCGACAAAGCCUAACAGUGUCUGGCAUGAGUUAAUAAGAACUGCUAAUGCCUUUCUGUUAUCUUUUUCAGCAAGCAUAGCAGGCAGAAUUCUAUUAUUGGUACUUUAGUAUUUUCUUACUUCUCCACUGAAUCGUGAGUUCCCAAAAGACAUAGUUCAUGUCUCAUCAUUAUGUCCCCACUCUGCAGUAGCACUAAAUUUAUGAUGUAGAAACUAAAAAUAAUAUCCCCUGAUUUGAAUAAUUGUAUUCACAAGUGUCACAAAAAGUUCACCUCACAGGCUCAAAUUGGAUUGUUUUUUUUGUUGUUGUUACUGUUUUGUUUUGGUACUGUGUUGAGGAUUGAACACAGUGCCUUUGCACUGAACUACAUCUCCAGCCCUUUUUCAAUUUGGGGAUAAAGUCUUCUAAGUUACUGAGGUACACAGGCUGGGCUCAAACUUAGAAUCCUACUACCUUAGCCUCCUAGAGUGUUGGGAUUUAAAUGGCUCCUAAAAAGUCUUUUUUUUUUUUUUCCACUUCUGUGUUUUACCUGAAAGUCUUUUGAAGCUAUAGGCUUCUUAUGUUACAUCUGAAGAGUUUUCAUACUGUGUCUACAAGACUUAAAGAAUAUUUUACUUGAAUAUUCUGGCUCCUGUUCUUUGAGUUGUCUCUCACAUUGUGGCUGUGAUCUUACCAUUGCUCACAGGUAUUGUAAAUUUUGAGCUAAGUCAUGGCUCCCAAGGAAUGGUCGCUCCACAAACCUGUUGUAACAAAUAGGCCCAAGCUUGUGUGAUCAAAAGGUCAGGAAGUUUAUUCCUCUGACAUAUAGGAUUCCAGGAUGGUAUGUAGGCCCUCAGCUGCAGGUGCUUAUUCAGGGUUUCACCUUCCUCCCACCCUAGACCUCUACUCUCCCAGACUGUACUCUUCCUUCUUAUGGUAGCAGCGAGAUUUCUUUAGUCCUCUGCUGAGGAUGACCCUUGGAGGAACAGAAGAGUGUGGAGGAAUGUACAGUGUGUGAUGACCUAGACCUUCAUUGGUAACUUGUCACUUUCACUCUUGUUCCAUUAGUGGGAAAUUAAUUGCAUGGCUACUACAGCUGCCAAGGCCCUGGAAUGUGUAGUCCCCAGCGGGGCCUCACUACAGUUCUGUUUCUGUAGAAGAGAGCGCCUGAUCUGGGUGGACAGCAGUAUAUGUUCUUGCCCUGCUCCAAGAUUCUGCUUUUGAGAACCUCACCUUUUUUAAACAACUAAUACAGAGCCUAGUGGUUUCAUGGAGAGAGUGAAUGGUUAUAAUAAUAUUUAGCAGCAGUUACAAUUUACUGAACUCCAACUCUGUGCUAGGAGCUAUUAAAUAUAGAUGAAAGUGUUAUCUCAUUUGACCCUCAUAGAAAGGCUACCAAGGAGAUACUUUUAAUAUCUGCAUUUUAAGCCAAAACACAUUCUUAAGGUCACAAGCCAGGCCUGCUUGACUCCAAAGUCCCCACCUCCCCAUGAUGCCCUGGGUCUGAUAAGAUGCUCAAGAAGUAAACAGUAACCACUUGCUGCUUCUCUUUGGCUUUUGUAACUGGUCAGCAGCAUGGGCUGUCCACAAAUGUGUAUUCUCUGGAAAGAGUCACACAGAGGCUGUGUAACUGUCUCUCAGGGAUCCAUGUAAUGUCUUCCUGCUUUGUACUGUGGGCUGUGGUAACCUCUGUGCUUCUGUGUGAAGGUCCCAUGCACUGGUUUGUACACUGAAGUUUCUGAUUGUCACUCACGAUUCCUCAUUCCUGUGACCGUAGAGGAGUCCAUUGGCACACCCACUUUGUAUUUCCUUGUUGAUGAGAAGGCACAAGAGAGCCAGUAGUUGAGAUUGGAGUUCUCAGUGACCUGGACUGGAAAUAACAUGCAUACAUCAGCCUUAAUCACUAGUUUUCCAGGAGUGUUCUUCAAGUGGUAGAAUUUCUAUAGAACUCUAACAAUUUUCAUACAGGAAGUUUCAGUAAACUUUUCUUAAAGAAUUUUUAAAUUAAAAAGAAUAUAAAAACUAAAUGGCUGAUUAUAAUGACAAUGGCUAUUUGUUGAAUGCUUACAAUAUAAAAGAUAUAAUUCUAGUGACUUUAUGUGCAUUAGUCUCUUACAGGGCUGUUGGUACUGUUCCCAGUUUACGUCUGAGGAAGCUGAUCCAGAGUGGUGAAAUAACUCACUCAUUUUCACUCACUAGAGGGAGGGGUAACCAAAAUUCAGACUUCGAGAUCCAGUGCUACACUGCCUCUGGAAUGAAAGAUUUGUGGUUUCUCUCAGAUCUAAAAGUGGGUCUGUAUUUCUUGCUGUGUAUAGAUAACUCAGACCUUUUCUUAUGAAAAAUAAAAAUAAAAACAAAACUCUGAAAUAAUUCACUACCUCCUUCUAUUUAAUUAGACACUGCUGAGUACUAGUAGGUCCAUGUUUUGCUGAUGGUUUUUAAAAGCCUUCAUAAUCUUUUCAUUAUCACCCGAAGCAGCAUGAAGUUUGGUCACAAAGUUUCUGACCAUGGUGCUGCUUUGAUAAAUACAUUGAAGUCUUCCCAAAACACAGCUGGUUCUGGGGAUGGGAGCCACCUCCUGAUGAGCUGCUUUUGGUAUGCAAGGAAUGGCCGCCUGUGAUGUAUCUCAAAUUAUGCUUUGUAGCUAACAGUGAUAUAAAGACAGCUCAGAAUCAAAGAAUUUUACAGCAGAAGGAACCUUUGACAACAUCUCCUUCAGUCCACAAGCCUCACCCAGCAUGUGCCAGGCACUUCUAUAAGGCAUAGGCAAAGCUCUCAUGGAGCCUUUCUUCUAGAUGAGGCAGAGAAUAAACAGAGCAAAAAGUAGAUAUGCUGGCUUGAAAAUUCAAGCCCAGCUUGGGAACUCAGUGACUUAGUGAGAACCUGCAUCAAAAUAAAAAGUGAGAAAAGGCUGGAGAUGUAGCUCAGUGCAAAGGCCCUGAGUUCAAUCCCCAGUACCAAGAGGAGGGAAAAUCCCAGAAUAACAGGUAUCAUGUUAUGUAGUGUAAAUGUUGCUGGGAAGAAAGGGAGGCAGAGUGAAGUGAAAGAGGAGCACUAUGUUAUGUUAUUUGUAAGAUGUUUAUGCAAAUCAGCAUUUCGAUCCCUUUUUUUCAUCAUGUGUCUCCUGCAAACAUCUUUUUUCCUAUUCCCACUGUUCCUCUUGAAAUUUCAAUGUCAUGGAUAUCUAUGCUGUAUGUGUAAAGAAGUGCCUCCCCCUCCCUGCCCUAGGGCCACGUUUCACCACUUUGGAGGUAAUACCACUCCAUCAUUCUGUUAGGUUCUGCUUUUUUGCCACUGCAGACGAAACGAAACUCAUAAAGUAGAUGUUUCCACAACCUAACCUAAAAGGACAUUAAAACACUAAAAUACUUUAUUUCUAAUUAAGUUAUAUUUAGGAAGAUAGAAGGGUGGCCAGUGACACCUUCAGGUCGUGUUCUCUUCCACCUUCACGAUCAGGAUGGACUUAGUACAAGUACAGUACUGGGCUCCCAUGUCUCAAUAGUAGUGGAUGACAGUACCCAAUGUGGUCAAGUUGCUGUGCUCAGGUUAGGAACCUCUAGUACAGGUUGUAGGUGCUACUGUGGGAGUCUUAGGGCAGCCAGAUACCAAAGUUCUUCAAUCCCAAGGAGUUCUACGCAGAUACCUGCUGACAGAAGAUGAUUUCUCCUUCAUUUUUUUAAAAGUUUAUUUUGAAAGUAGUAAAAAUACAACAGAACAAGACAGAACAAAACCAAUCGAGACAAUGCAGUGAAAUUGGUAUAGAAUUUCACAGUAGGAUACUGGGAUGUAGUAAUAGGUACUAUGGUAUAUCUCAUUAUCUUCACAACAGUUGUCCAGUCAAUGAGGUAUAGUAAAAUCAAACCAAAAACAGAACAUUAUAAAACCAAUUGAGACUAUGGAAUAGAGCAAAAGAAACAUAAUGAAACAAAACAGUGAAAAAAACCUUUUGUCUUCAAAGAAAAUAGAAGGAAAUCCCCAAUAUUUGCUAUAUUGCUUAUGGUCAUCCUUCCAAGAGAUGCUGAGAUCUCUAUCCCCAGUAGCUACUGGGUGAGGGGUGUUUGAUUCUCAGCUUGGUGCGCACACCAGUAGGUUCACAGGAGCUGCUGGUUCUUCUCCUGGCCCACACUAGGGGCGCUUACCAAGAGGGCAGAAGAAUAAGCUGCCUAAGUCCCACCAUGGCCAGAUCUCAGGAACGCUGGUUCUCGCCUUCAUUUUCUUAAACUGAGACACAGAGUAUCAGAAGUGGGACUUGGUGACAGUGUGAUUAGAUGCUAAGGUCUGCAUGCAGUGGAGAGGCAGCAUGUGACAUUUGGUAGUGCUCAGCACCUUGUACUCUUGAAGCAUGCCUAAGGCCUUUAUGUCCUCUUUCCUGGUUCACUGCUACCCACAGAAGGUCAAUUUAUGUUUCAUCAAACUCCUGAGCAAUUCGGACGCACACUUGGGAACCACUACUCUAGAACAUGUAGCAUUAAUUUGUAACUACCAUGAAUGAAUGGUCCCUUCCCUUGACUGAAUGAGCAUUUUGUGCUUUCGGGAAAAAUCAAUAAACAAUUUUCCUUCUUAUCUCAACUCCUUAUCAAUAGUCUGUUGUACUCAGAAAUGUACACAAGUCAAAAAUAGACAAAUCAUAUUUUAUUUACUACAGAUUUAUUCUAGCAGACAGUGGCAGGCUCUGCCAAAGUCACAAAGUGACUCCCCAUGAAACUGACCAGGAAACCACCACUGAUAAUACAGAGUGUGCCUUGGCCCUUGACUGAUUCCUCUGUGUGAAAAUAGGCCUUGGCUGCCUUGAUCCAGUGACUUACACAUUCUGAGGAAAACAGACACUCGUGCUCAUCCAAAGUAAACAUCCCAGUGAACCUUUAACAAGCAAGGACUUGGUUAAAGACCGGUGACUCCAGUAAAAUGAUUUAGGUGUUUUGGUAUUUAAGUAUAUCGCUGUAUGAUUCUUGGCAGCCGUUAAACACCAGUCAGGAGCAAUUUGAGUUGCAUGGGUACCAUUAUCUUUCAGGAGUAUCUUGUGCAUAGCAGCUCUUGAGCUUUGGACAUUACUUGUAUUUGCCUGUAUAACCUUACAGCCACCUUGUGAGGUAGAUACUCUUAAUAUCAUUUUAUAGAUCAAAAUUCUGAGGCAUUAUGAGGUGAAUUUGCACAAGGUCUUCUUCCCGGGGAGAGGGAUUUUAGACUUUGAAUGCAAGUAAACUUUUUUUUUUUUUUUUUUUUUGGUAUUUUUUGUGCUUGUGGCCGUGCACACGUACACACACAUAUAACGUCAUACUCUCAUACUCACACAUUCAGUCUGCACUCUCACAAUCUAGAAAUGAUGUUUCUUUUCAUGUCCUCUGCAUGGAUCAUUUCUAGGUGUGAUUAUUCAAUUUUGGAGGAGGCCCUAUUUACCUGUUGCCUGCUAUGAGUGACCAGGCUCUCCUCUCUGUUUGGCACCUUUGCUGGUUGACUCUGAAAAGAGGAGAAAGCAUUACUUAGUGUAAACCAGAGAGCCCUAAGAAGUUCCUGUAUUAUUCAUUUCUCUUCUGAAUUUCUCCUCUUGCCUCAAAAAUUGAACAUGCUUUUCGGGGGAAGAAGGAAGGCAUGUAACUCUGUUACAUGGCAGCUGUUACAAGGCAGCAUGCUUUGGUAGCUAAUGGGCUUGUGCCUCAGUGGGGAGAAUGAUGGCUUCUCCCAGGACUCUGCAGAAUGAGCUAAACGGAGAGUGAAUUAAUUUGACUGAUGUAUACAGUAACUAUAGACAGCUUAUUACUGGGCCAGGUUUUAAUAUUCUCACAAAUGAAUUCUCCUUGUAUUCUGCCCAACUACUCAGUCUCUUUAAUAGCCUGAAAUUGAGUAAAAUGAGAAGGUGCUAAAGUAGUUGAAACAAGAAGUGAAAUAUAUGUACUGCAUAUUUUUAUUACAGCCUUCUUUCCACCCACCCUUCCUAAUCACUUUUUUAGUGACCAAUGUGAUUGCAGAGUGAUUUGGUGGGAAAAGCACUUGCAACCAAAUUUAGUAAACCACAGGCCAAUUUUGUUUUAGUUUUAGUGAGGAAGGGUAGGUAACAGUUGCAAAUGGAUUAUUGUAUUUGCUUCUAAGCUUUUUCUUUUUAAAAUAUUUUCCCUCUUGAUCUCUCUAGUAUGUUUUGUCUAUUUUGAAACUAAUUGUUUGAGGAAAAGAGGCCAUUAUUUUCAACCAUAGGAAUUCCAUUUUUUAAUUACAUAGGCUUUACUUUAGUAAGAAAUUAAGUGCUAUAUUUAGUCAUUGGUGUUACAGAAAUUUUGAAGGUGAGAAUUUAAGUACCAUAAUUGAUAAAUGAUACAUAGGGAUGAGGAAUUAUAAUAAAUAAUGGUUUAAUAGUAACUGUCUUCAACAUCCUAAAGCUGAUUGAUAGAUUAAUGAAGUACAAGCAGAAUAAUUGAGGACUAAAUUGCAUAGGAAAUGUGAAUGGGUUUGUUUUUACCUGUGCAGCACAAUAAAGUUUUAGAGGCAGUUGAUAAAUUGGUUUGGUUCACUGUGUUGAGUAUUUGAAUUCUAAUACUCUAGGGUACUAGAAAAUUAGAAAUGCGAGAUUAAGUCAACCCAGAGAAUCUCGAAGAGGUUAUAUAAUGAUCAAACCUUUUUAAGGGCUAUUGGUAGACUGAAAUCCACCUACCCACUCUCUCCUCUUCCUGUUUCUAUAGUGACUCUGUCCAAUGACCCUGUGCCAUGUUUCAACUUGUAAUGACCAAGGACCCAUAAACUUUUCAAAUUCAUUCUGGUCCAUUCUGUUGGUUGAACAACUCUGAUUAUAGGAUCAGUUUGUGGUUUGGUAGUAAAAGCUUAUCUGUGUUUUGCAGCUUCUCCUGUGUAUAUAGAUCAGCUAUUCUCAUAGUUGGGGCUAAGUGUCAAAGAGGGCGACAGUCUUAAAAACCUUGAGGAGCCAGUAUUAAGGUCUCUCAUUCCUACACUUCCUUCAUCCCAUUAUGAAAGGACUCAGGAACAGAGAAUUCUUGGCAUUUCCCAGUGUUCCAACUUUUACAUAGUGAGAUUUCAAUGGGAACUUCCAGAUUCUCAUGAUAAUUGUUCUGGGGUAGAGGUGGGGGUGGAGGAAAUAGGUGGAGGGCAGGAGAGGUUUAUGUGGUUUGCAAUAUAAAUUCACGUUAUUGUAGUCCCUCAGAAGUUUCCUUAAAAGGAAUAAGACCCCAUCUAUGGGGAGAGGUAGUCCCGCGAUGGCCAACACUAAACUAUGUCAGUGUUGUCGCAUGUAAUGAAACAAAUCUCUGAAGAAGGGCUGUAAGGCAAUGAGGGAGAAGUCUGAACAUGAGGACAGAGAGACUGACAGUGCUCAAGUUGAAAAAGGGAAUACAGAUCCAGAUAUGCAGAGGUUCAUCGGAGGGAAUAGAUGUGAUUAGUGAGCUGCAAAGAGUGAAUAUGGUAAGAAUGGAGAGUACAGAAGGCCAAGGUUGUUUCAGAUGGAAUUUCCUGGUGUCUUCAUCUAGAGCUCACCAGUUCCUUUUUAGUUGUUCUUGCCUUUAAUUAUAAUUGGAAAAAAAAGAAGCUACAAACUGAUCAUUACAAUGAAAAGUUCCCCAAUAGAAAAGUUGUUUUUUAAAUCAUGAUCUGAAUACAGACUUCAGGGAAAAGACAUUAAUUAAAAAAAGAAGUUACCAUUUUUUAGUUUAAAAGUGAUAUUUUUCAUUGCUUGCAAAAGAACCAGGUGCUUCUAUUUCAUUAAUUUUAUUCCAGCAAACAUUUCUUUGGAGUGUACUUCCUGGUUGACAGUGUUGAGAGCAGUGUGCUUGAAGAUGAGCGUGCCAGAUGUCCUGCGAGGGUUAGCCCUGGUGGCCCCUUGCUGCUUGUAGAGCAGCAGUGGAGGUGUGUAUAAGGAGGUGUGUGUAAGGGCUGGGGAUGUGGCAAGAAGUAAUGAAGUAGGCCACACUUCAGGGCUGCUCUUGAGCAGGGCCUAGAAAGGAAGAGGGAAAGUCAGAAGGUAGAGAAGGCAGAUGUUUGCUGCUGUGGUGACUGGAGCAAAGGCUCAGGCUUCCAGAAAGAAAAAAUUACAUUUGGCUUCCAAAGAAUGGCACCAUGUGGAAGUAGGGGCCUGGAGACAGGGAGAAGAGGGCCCUACAGGUAGGAGCGUGGAUAGAAAGGGGAGCUGGGGUUUGUACCACAAGGUGAAUUUCUUUCUCUUUUGUUAUGUGGGACCAUGGGGAGUGUCCUGGCAACCCCAGGCUAUACUGUAUACAGGUUGAUUGAAGAGUGUUCUGUGCUCAAGAAUUUUUUCCCAUCUUUGCUUCUGCAUCAAAGGUGAAAAUGUAAUGACCUGGAAAUUAGUCUCUGGAAGUUGGAUAUUAUCUGGACUGCUCAACAAACCUUUCAUAUGAUUUAUAAACUUUUAGAAUUCUGAGAAACUAAGAAACUACAUAAUAGUAUUGUACUGAGCCUGUUGUUAUGAAAAUGUAAUGCAGAUUUUUAAAAAAAUUUAGUCAGUAAUUAUGACAAACUUUAAACGUUCAAAUAUGUCUCGGUGUAUCUUUUCUGAGCUUUUUUACUGUCAUUUUUCUCUUCCCCCUUUUCAAGCCUUCUGCCUUUCCCUGUGUCUACAAUCUCAUCUCCAAUCACUACUCCCUCAUCUGUUGGUCUUUGUUAACUUGCCACGUUUACUCUUAUUCAUGCAUUUCCUGAGAAGGGCUUUAAAGUUUUUAUCUUUCUCUUUUACAAAGCAGCAAUAAAUCAAGAUUUAUUUAUUACCCAUGUGACCUUUCAUUUUCCUCCUCUUUCUGAGCAAGUGGGAAAGAAAAAGCUAAUACAGGGUUGCACAGAGGAGGCAUUUAAUAAAUAUUAGAAGAAUGUAGUGAGGCUUGGGAGAUAAAAGGUUGGGCUGGCUUUAUGAGGGCCAAUUUACUUAUUCCAGGAACUGGAUUCAGGCUUCAUAAAUGAUGAAACAAGUCAUGUAUUUGGGUUCAUACUUUUAGAACUUUUACGUAUUCAGAAAUACCUUUAUGAAAUCAGGGGGAGGGAUUACGUAUAUCAGAAGUCAUAUAUACAGAGGUUUAGAAACCCUGUCACAAAGCCUUCAGAUCCAGUGGCCUGAUUCAUUUCCUUUUAACUGGCCUGUAGAUUUUUCAUAUUUUAAUAUAAAAGAAUAUAUGAUUCAUCAAGCAAUCUGGAUGAAUUUCACUUCUACAUGAUGAAAUAGUAAAUGAGAUUGAAACUCCUACUUUAUCAUGUCAGAUCAAAGCUGCAUAAAGAUAUGAGCCUGCUGGUUUGUUUUGAAUGAUGUAUAAACAAAAUGAUAAUGUGAAAAAAGCAGAAAAAAAGAAAUUAGUAGGUUUUUGUCAACAUGAGCCUCAAUCUUUUUUUUAAAACUUGUAAAUAUUAUUGUAACUCUAUUGAAUGAUGGUAAUUUAUAACAAUUUCAGAAUUUUUAAAAAUUUAGUUUGACCCUCAAACUUUAUUUUAUAUUCUCAUUUUGAAAGUACUGUAGAACAUAUAAAAGAUACAGAAAAAUAUGAAAACUUAGAAGAGACAGAAAGUCAUAAAGAAAGUACAUUCGGGGCUGGGGAUUUAGCUCAGCGGCAUAAGUGCCUGCCUUGUAAGCAGGCAGUCGUGAGUUCGAUCCCUGGUACCGAUAAAAACAAAAAAAAAGACAAAAAAAAAAAAAAGAGUAAAAAAAAAAAAAGAAAGUACAUUCAUAAUCCAUCUUACCAAGAGCUACUGCCUUUAAUGCUUGGACACAUUUCUUUUCAGACUUACUUAAUUUAUAUUAUUCACUAGAUUAUAUAUAUAUAUAUAUAUAUAUAUAUAUAUGUCAUAGUAUGCUUUUCUAUACAGCUCAUAACAGAACAUUUAUGCUUACUUUAUGUAUUCUUCCUACAUUAUAUUUUUAAUGGCUCAAUUCCAAUGAACCCACAAACUUUAAUUUAAAAUAACUUGAAUGAAUUUCACAUUCAGCCUUCAGACACCUAAUUGACUGGAAUUUGGGAUCUCUAAAGCAGGUUUCUUUUGGCCAAUGGGCCAUCGGAUUCAUCUGGAGGCCAGGUAUCCUGUGACCCCAAAGGCAUAUAGACUUGCAAUCAUAUAAGCCCACUUUCUAAUCCUAUUGAACACUUCCCAGUCUCUCCCAGGCUCUUACGGCACAUUGCUUGGCAUCUUAGAAGAAGGACCCUCCUUCUUGUGCUCUGUAGUAAUCAGUUCCCAAAGGGCCAACCAGUAGCAAACCAUGGCAGUGUUUACCUGGUCUGCAGAAAAAAUGAGAAAAAGAAUAGACGCACCAUUGUGAAUGUUUCUUCAAGUUAGAUGUAUCAUCUUAUUCCAAGUUGGCACCUUGUUUGAGGGUAUGUGUUAAAACAUUGUUUCUUUUGUGAAAUGAAAAUAUGGUCAUAGCAGACAUCUUUUUUCUAUACUCUUCCUUAAGGCAUUAUUUUUUUCUCUCUCGUGUAUUGCUUUGUGAAAUCCAAAAGUCUGGGAGUAGCUCUUUUGCAGGCCAGUUGUGCCAAAUUACUGGUAGUUACCAUACUUUGCUCACCUUGUUUGCUGUACUGGGGUGCUCAUUUCCACACUUUGACAGGAUGGCUGGUUCUUCCAACAUUUCUUAAGAAACGCCCCCCUAAGCUUUCCAGACCUGCUUUUCCACUAGGUAGAAUAUUUUUCCAUUUGGGGUACUUACUGAUUUACCCAGCUGUCUACUCUAAAAACCCUGGAAGUAUACCUGAAAAGUGGAGCCCUUGUUAGUGGACUUCUCCCCGGAGGAACCAGGGAAUGCUUCUCAGGGUACUCCUGGUGUCAGCACAGUGAAAGUAAUACCUUCAGCCUUCUAGUGCAAGCUACCUCUUCUUGCAGAUCAUGUGGGUGAUUUGUUUGCUUUUCAUGGUUUCAUGGUUGUUGCCAGACGGGACUUUUCCAAUCAAUGUUGUAAGACUUUUAAAAAUAGUACAUUUAUCUCAUCAGGGCAAGAAAAUCUGGGAAAGACAGUGGAAGAAGAAAAUGACUUACCUGUUAAGAACAAGUGAAUUUUCUAGUAAUUAUUUUGCCCAUUUCCAUGUUUGGCAAGUCCAUUUAUUUUGGACAAACCUUGGAUUAAAAUAUAUGUGAGCCCCACUUCACUGAUUCAUAUUGAAGAAAAAUGUGUACUAGUGUGGGGAACCCACAUUUUGAACCCAAGCUUUCCCAUUGCUUUUUUAUUCUGGCUCUCUUAACAACUACAUUCUUCUCCCUGUUUCUUACCCUGAGAAAUUCACCUGAGAGGGAGGCAUGACAAGGAAGAUGUGCAGUGACCCUAGAAGAAAAGCCCCAUAUAUGUAAUGUGAACAAAAAUAUGAUGAGUGUUUAAAAAUUUAAAAAUAUAUCUAUUACAGUAAAAGACAUAUUGCCAUUAAUCCCCCUCAAAAUACUUCCUAUUGCUCUGAACACUGUGCUUCCAUUGUUUUUGCCAUUUUCUGAAGCAAUUCUGGAGGUCUUCUUUCCUGAAUGUCUUUAGUUGUACUGUUGUGGCUGCCUUGUUGUCAUGAAUUGAUUAAAAAUGUUUGCCAUUCAUCUUUGUCUUAAUUACUUUCUCUUGUUGCUGAGACAGAAUACCAAACAUCCACAAAUUAAGGGAGGAAAGGUUUAUUUAGUUUGCAGUCUGUAGAGGUUUCAAUUCAUAGUUGGCUGAUUUCAAGGUAGAGUGGCAUGGCAGAGGGAAUUUCCCAGGAGAAAAAGUUCAUGGCAGCAAAAGCAAGCAAGCAAAGCAACAAGCUGCAAACAACCAUAGCAUCUUUUUCCUGACACUUUUAUAUAAUAACUAGACUACCUGUUCAGCCUCAUCAGUGGACUGUUUUACCAAUCACACAUCUCUAAUCCUAGCAUCAUAUUGUGGAUCAAUCCCAGCAGUACGUCCAUGGUCCCAACAGCACAAAUCAGCCCCACGUAUAAGUACAUGAGGCUUUGGGGGAACAUGUAGAUGUAAGCCAUAACAGUGGUCAUUGUGGCUUUGGAUAAAAGUUUAAAGUUGUAUGAUGCCAAAUCUGGUGAAUAAGGUGGAAGGGAAUACACCAUCAUUUUUUUUUUUUUUUUUUACGAACCUACCUUUCUGUUGGAUAGCACUUAGCAACAAUAUUCGCUGUAUUUUUUUAUCAUAACUCAUAAAACCAUAUAAAAGUUCUUUCAGAACUGUUUCAGAAAGUGGCAAGAAUGAUAGGAUAUGGUCAAAACUAAGGGAAGUAUUUUGAGGGGGGCAUAUAGCAAUGUAGUUUUUACUAUAAUAAAUUUUUAAAAAUCUAAGCAUUCACUGUAUAUUUUGAUCACAUUGUAACAAAACAACCUGGAAUGUUGGUGUGAUCCAGACUUUUUGCUUGCCUGUCUUUGCCUGACUGUUUUAUGUUUUGAUCUUCAGGAGAAAAACAAACAGAAAACAGAUGACUUUGCCAUCCUUUCUUUCUCUGAGCACAUUUUUUUCCUAACCCUGGCAUCAUACUUGUUUGCCAUUUUUUCCAGUUUAAGAAAAAAAGAGACUUUCCAUGUAUUUGUUGACAGGCUAAGAAGGAGUUGUCUAGUUCAGUUGCUCACUUGUGAUAGUGUAGGUCAAAUGAGAAAAGGAAGCUGGUUGCAGGCUGUGCAGCCCAGCUCUUGUAUGACUGCACCCUGCGUCUGAGGAAGGAUUACUUGCCAAAAAUGACAGUGGCAGUACUUAAUGCAAGGGAAGAAAAAGUUACUGUUUUUGUUCUAGUUAAUUUUGGGUUAGGAGAAAAGAUUUGGGUACCAUCUCUUUGUGUCAGAGAAAGUAGCAGGUGAAUGAAGUCAGUGGAUGUGGGUUGGGACAGUUUGCUUCCCCAUAAAGACGUCUCACUUGCCCAUCUCUGACUGUAGACUGAGGAGAUUCUCCUCCUGUAGACGGAGUUGUACACAUCAUCAGUGCACGGUGACUUAGCGCAUGUCAGUGUCUCCUUCCUUUGUUGCUAAGUGUUUCAAGUGCAGCAAGAGUUUGUCUUCCCAGUUAGUUAUUGAGAGCAGAAACCAGGCCUUGGUUUUUAAAAUUUGUUUUACUAAUAAAAUAUCCCUAAUUUCAAGUAAGAAUUUGGUAAAUGUGUUUUGAGUGGGUGAAUGGAUUUGAUGGAAUGGAUGAAACUUUUUCCUGGAUUUCACUCUGCUAACAAGCUGCCACUCUUCUUGGGAAGUCUACUUGCAUAGAAAAAAAAAAAAGGAGGAGGAGGAAGAGGAAAAAAGGAAGGAAUAGGAGAAGAAGAAGAGGAAGAAGAAGAGGAGGAAGAGGAGGAGAAGGAGGAGGAAGAGGAGGAGGAGGAGGAAGAGGAAAAAAAUUAACCAAGAUGUAACAGUGGUUGAGUUUUAGUGGACUAUGUGAUUAAUUUCUCUAUUACUCAAAUGUCUUGAAAGACAGCUAAAUAACUUCCAUAAUGUUAAAAAAAAAGAGUUUAUAAUAAUUGAGGAAAACAAUGACUGGAAACAAAUAUGUCAAAUGUCAACAACCACUAAAUAAAAAAAAUAAGUACUUAGAUACUUGUUCUUUGGGCACUUCUACAUGAUGGAAACAUUUUUUAAUUACAAAAAAAAAUUUCAAGGAAAAUAGUAAAGCACUUAAAGUACAUAUCAAUAGUAUGAAGUACAAAUUAACAUUAUUGAAAGAAAAUGGAAAUUUCUAUUUUAAAAUGACAGUCUAGAGUAGGGAGAUGCUAGUCUGCCAAAUAUGGUAACCCCGAAGGACAUCUCUGUUUAAGAAGCUAGCAUGGCUGGAGAUUUAGCUCAGCAGCAUAAGCUCAUACCAAAACAACAAGAACAACUGCAAAAUAAAAAAAAUAACAGUAAGAAUCUAUCAUGGUAAUCAUAUUUAGAAUGAUUCUACAUUGUCAAGUAAAUGUUCAGUAGAUUCCAUUUAAUAAGGCAUAGAAUUAGCACCUUUUAGUACUUUAAUUAGGCGCUUAAUAAAAUAAAUUUAAGUUAUAUGAAAAUUCACUCAUGUGAAACACCUGAAGAUCCCCAAGUGCCGUGAGGUUGCUCAGGUACCCCUUACAUUGGACAAGUGACAGAUCCUCAGAUACAUCACAGCUCUUUAUAACAGAAAUACUUAUGAUCAAUUGAUCAAGGGAGAAAUGGCCGCCUUGAACUCAGUGUUGAUUCUAUCUUUUACAAAAAAGAAAUUUCUUUAAGGUGUUGGCCUCUUUUUGCUGGCUUUCUCUCUUUAGUAUGUCUAGUCAUUUUCAAUUCUUUGUGUAAAUUCAUGUUGUCUUGCCUGGAUUGAUCCUACUGAUAGGUGUCAUUUUUGUACCUGGAUAAAUGACUAAAGCUAUGUUGACAUUUCUACAAAAGACAAAAUCAAGGAAUUCAGGAAAUAGCAUUUAGGUUAUUAGCACAGAUCUUAUUUUAGGGCUUCUCAGAAGAAUAUAAAAUUGAUGUAGACAACAGGAAAACUGCUUUGCAAUAAAAAGAAACAAACUCUUCAUCCACAUUGUGCCAUGCAUGAAACUCAAAACCAUGAUACUGAGUGAAAGAAGCCAGACACAGAGAUUAAUAUGCAGUGUAAUUUUAUUGUAUAUGAAAUUCUAGAAAAGGCAAAACUAUAGGGAUAAAAAAAGAUCAGAGAUUGUCAGGGUCCUAGCAUGGGAGAGGGACAUUGCCUACAAAGAGACACAAGGGAAAUUUUUUUCUUCUAGUACCAGGCAUUGGGGUUUUGCACUGAUAUGCAUCCCUGCCUCCCAUCCACCUUAAUUUUUAAAUUUUGAGACAGAUUGUUGCUAAAAUGCCCAGGCUAGGCUUACACUUACAAUCCCAUCUCAGCUCCCAGAGUGCGGAGAUUGCAGGAGGCAUGCACCACCAUAGGACUACAAAGGAGCUUUUAUGGAGUCUCGCACAUGCUGGUUUUUUUGUAAAUUAUGGUAAUGAUUACCGCACUGUAUAAAUUUGCCAUCACCCAUCAAAGUUUACACUUAGAAAUGGAUACAUUGUAUGUAAAUUCUUAUCAGUAAAACUUAAGGAGUCAACUUCUACUUUUGAAGAUAAAUUAUUACCAAACCAUUAUCAGAAUGGUAUUAUUUGUUGGAUGCCUCCAAGAAAUUACUGUACUAAACGUUAAAAAUGACAUCAUCUGACAUUACUUAGAGUUAAGAUUAUUGAUGAUUAAGCUUCAGGGUCAAGGCAUAUCAGCUUUUAACUUCCCUGUCUCCAUUUCAGUGUGUGCUUAGGUAUGCUUUUAUAUUUACCUUCAUUAUUUUGGGAGGCAUGCCCUCCUAAUAUCAUGGCCACCAUACUCAGAAAAACAAAAGUUAAAGAUGUGAACCUCGUCUUAGAGACCUUUUGGUGCCCAGAACAUCUUAGCUACAUUUCCCUUGGUCUUUUCAUUUGCUGAAAUAGAGAUCAGGUUUAGAAGAUAGCAAGGAUAGGGCUAUCUUGGUUCCUUAGUUCCUCGUUUAGCAGUGCGAACUUUCAAUGACUUCUGACCUCCUAGGAGUAUUGAAUAUGUUUGAUUUUAAUUUUAAUGAAGAAUAGAAAGUGAUCUCAUUUCCCAAACUAAGUGAAAAGUAAAUUGAAAAAGACCAACCAAAAUUAAUUUCUAAAUUUCAUCAACAUUUGCGUUUUACUCUUUUCUUCUUGGAAUAUGAGUAAUAAUGCUGGGAAAUCAAGUGCCAUUUUCCAGAAAAUUUAAUCUUGAUUUAAAAAGCCUGAAUUAGAAGAAUUAGGAAUCUUUAUCCAUCUGUCCGUGUUUGUUUUUAAAAAUUUAGUCUCAUUUAUAAAAUGAAUGAGCACAUUUUCUACUAAAUGAUUAUACCGGGAUUAUAUAUAUUUAUUUUCAAUGUCAGUCCAUUGCUUAUUUGAUUUGAUUUUUUAUUAAAUUAGUGUUUUAUUCUCUUUCCUCUUCCAACUCUUUGUAAACAGACUGUGGGGACCCUGGCAGGGAAGAACCCCAGCCUCUCGGGGACAGAGUGGUGUCCCUGCUGAUUGGCAGGCAGAGCCUGAGACUCUGGAGUGAGACUGCAGCUCCAUUGUUUCCCGCAGAUGUCUGCCUCUCAGAGCUGGGGAAAUUGAUGACUGAAUAAUGCAGUGUACACACAGAGAACUUACCAUUCCAGACAGAACAGUCUGUUUCUCUUUUGAUGCUAAGAAUAUCUGCGGAGCUUUUUUGGUCCCAUGCUUCCAACUCUUUUAUUUCUUCUAGUAUUUCAACCUUUGGAAAUCGGCUGUAUCUUUAAUCUUAUUCUUAGUACUAGCUAGGGGCUAAGUAUUGAGUCUGAAGUAGACUUGCCGAGUAACCUUAAGUGUGAGCUCCCUUAUCUUAAAAAUGGGAGGAUAGUACUGUCUGUAUCCAGGGAAUACUGAUGAAUGAUCAUAAAAGCAAUGUAGACUGUUUGCCAAUGCAGAACUUGUUCCAAGUUCUUUCCCUUUCCUCAUCCAGGAACUUCAAUCUCCAUAAGCUUAUUUGUUAGUUUAUACAUUCUUUCGUUCAGCAACUUUUCACAGAUCACCUUGUGGACUUUAUGUACUGCUUUAGGUAUUGGCAUUCAGCAGUGAAUGAAUUUGGCUUCCUGAAGCUUACGUGUCAGUAGGAGAGACAUCAUAAAAUAUAAACAUUAACUCGCUUACGUUUUUUAAAUGCCAGUCUGCCUGUAUUGAGAAUAUGCCGUAAGUUUCUUUUAUGGAUGACAUCAUUUUCUCUUAUACUUAAAGGGUCCAUCUGUAAUUCUAAAAAAUGGGCAUAGGUAAUGUUCAUUCUCCUUGGUACAGUAUGACAUUUCAACCACUGCUGGCAGAUGGAGCAACAUCCUCUACAUACUGAUUCCUCUGUUGAAUGCUGAGCAUGUUGUGUACCCAGUACUGUGCUGCCAGCAGAACUUCUUUUCCAAAAGGUGUGGUACGUACACAUCACGGGAAGACAGAACUACCAGACAGUAUACACUUGAUGUAAGGAGAGGGUGUCUGUGUUCAGGGUGUGGGGAAAAGAGGCAGUACCUGAACAAGUCAGGGAGGGCUUAAACAGAAAGACGUAACCUUGAACUAGGAUGUUCCAGCAAGAUGACAUGUAUCAGAAGAGGCUCUCCAAGCAGGGAGCAGCACUGCAAGGAAGGCCAGAGUCAUCAAAGAUUGUUUGGUGGCUUCUGGAGGCAGAAAUGGUUCAGUCAGUGUAGAUGUGCAGGAGGCGGUGUGCAGUGAUAGAAGAUGAGGCCGGACCCAGAGGGUUAGACAAAACUCUUCAUUCUGUCUCUCAGACUACAAACUGGACCAGCAUAGUGUGCCCAGCAGCUGGUUGGAGGUAAGGUUGUACGGAAAUCUCCGCUUAUUUCUAAUACAGUGCUCUUUCUAUUCCAGCCACAAUGCCUGUAAUUUAUAUACCUGGAACAGGUUAAGUCAUAGGCCAAGGUUAACAGUGCAAAGAUGACACUGCCUCUGGCACCCCUCUGGAUGUUGUUUUCUGUGCAUACAUGUGCAAAAGGGGCUAGGGAUGCAGAAAUCCAGCCUACUUUCUGCUAACCAUGUCCUGCAUCCCAACUGGGUUUCACUUCUACCCUGAAGAAGAGAUAACUCUUUCAAGAUCCACAAACGGCUAUAUGGGCUGUCAGAGUCCUGGGAAAUGUCCUGGCUCUGAGGGGCAAAUACAGUGAGAAACCUCACUCAGUACUAGGGCCUUUUGCCAUACUUGGCUUCUUAUUGAAGUGUCUUCUGCUAGGGGGUAAAAAUGGGGAGACAGGAGGAAGGGUGCCCACCGUAAGAAGGCUUUGAGUUUCUGCACUUACGGAGUUACCACCACUGCAGCCCCAAGAACUUACUCCUGCUGUGAGAGACUAGAGCUUCAUUUUAAGUGGAGGCACCUCAGUGAGUCUCAGGGACAAUUCCCCUAUCAUUGGGCUCUAAAGACUGAAGUUUCAGGCAUGGGGGAAUGGCCAUCAUGUGUAGUUUACAAUCUGGCCCCUGCUGCCGAGGCUGAGUAAGUAGCUCCCAUAGUGUGCUGCUCAGACAGACCUCUUGUGUUAGAGUUACAGCAUGUGUGCAUGCAUCUGUGUGUGUGGCGGGGCGGGGGGAGGUUACUGGUGAAAAAUACUGCUUUCUGAGCAUCUCUCUAAACCUACCACGUCAGAAGCCCAGGAAUUCUACCCGGACCUAUUAUUGCAGUAACAUUUAAGAAAUUCUGCUUUUGUGAUUGUUUGUGUCCCAUUAACAAAGGAGGGAAGAUGUUUAAUAUAUUAGAAAGUGAGCCUUCAUAUUUUAAAAUUAUUUUUGUUUAAUCUUUCUUGAAAAUCAUUCAUCACAAGCAACCUCAUUCCUCUCAACUUGCUAGAAUUUGUGGAACUUGAAUGUCCCGCAGAGGCCCAUGUGUUGAAGGCUUGUUCUCUAAUCUGUGGUGCUAUAUUGAGCAGGUGGAACUUUUCAGGGGCAGUGUGCAGUGGAAAAAUAUUAGGUCUCCUGGAGCCUGUGCUCGAAGAGGAUACUGGGACUCAACUCCUCUUCUGUUUGCUUCCUGGCUGCUUUAAGGUGAACAGGCUUCCUACUGUGGUAUACUGUGCUGCCGCAGGCCCAAGCCUACAGGGCCAAAUAACUAUGAGCUGAAGCCUCUGAAACUGUGAACCAAAAUAAGUCCUUCCUACUAGUAAGUUAAUUCUUCCAGGUAUUUUGUCAUCAUGAUGGGAUAGCUAGCACAUGCCUAACGUAGUAUUUCACUCUGUAGAUGUACUAUAAUUUAAUUAACUUUUAUUGUUCUGACUGUAGUCUCUUCAUGUAUACCCAAAAGUAGGUUGUAAGUCAAUGUGAUCACAUUAUAUUUAAAAUAUUUUUAAAGAAAAGUAUGCACUAGAUGUAUAGCUCAGUGGUAGAGUACGUGCUUAGCAUGCAAGGGAUGAUAAAGAAAAAUUAGAAAAGAAUGUCACGUGAAAUAUUUUUCAGUUUUAUGCAUGCAAGUAUGCUGUUUGAAACAGUAAAAUUAUUUCUUACUACAUGUCAAAAAUAUGAAAGUUACAGAUUAAGAUAACUGAAAAUAUUUAAAGUAUCUGUCAAUGUUAUUUUUUUGAGGGUCAAGUUGCAGUAACUGCUAAAUUUAUUUUGUAUGAACAUUUGUACCAAAAUCCAGGAAUGUUAUUAUAUUUUUAUUUUUUUUUCUGUGCCUGAUAGUAUGGAAGACUUCUAGUUCUUAAAGCAUGCUUUAUUGAAAAAGUCUAGUUUGAUCUUGUGACUAUAAAAUAUAAAUAUAAAAGUUGAAUUAACCAUCUCAUUCAAAUUGACUUGACCUUACUCAUGAUAGUUUCCCUCUGUCUACUCCGCUGAGGAAACUGGCCUGGUUUGAAUUGUGUUGGCUUCUUACCAACACCUUACAGGAAUAUUCUGGCAUUCCAUCACUGUGUACCUACAGAACCUGAGAAAAUUCUUAGACUUCACCUCUAUAGCUCAGAAAGCUGAGCCUUUUAAAAAUCUUUUUGUAAACUUUUCGUGGCUGCCAGACUUCCCAUAUAGGAGCUGCCUGUUCACUUUGUUUGUUAAUUUAAACUUUCUAGAAGUCACAUGUCUAUGAGUUGUGUCAAGAUCAACUUUUUAUUUAACAUUUGGCUUGGUAUUUCACUGUAACAGGAUACAGGCUGUGGUUGCAUAUUUGAGCCUUUGAAUUUUUGUUCUACCCCAAAUUAAAAGCUGGGAUAGCAUAACAUAACCAAGAACUUCCUAACCAUGAAUGAGUUUCACAUGCGCCAUCAGAUAUUCAUAGCUGUCAAUUUCUCUCUGUGUUAAAGCAUGGGGCACUUUUUAUAGCCAUACAAAAAGAUACAGCAGUUUAAAUUGUACUUGAACAUCAUUUGCAUGGCUCCCUUUGCAGUUAAAUGAUUUCAAAAGAUUGUAUUUGGAGUAUUUAUAAAAAAUAUAUUGGUUACUUUCCUAGUAUUUUAUUUUUCUUAAAUAAUGUUACAUAAAAUAGUAAUUGAUGUUUUUCAUCAACCUCCACAUAGAUACUGCCUCAUUACCUCCACUUUAAUUCAUUGUGUUGCACACAAGUUAUUAUUUACCACAUGUGCCAACACUGGAGAAGUUUUGGGAAGCUCCACUAGAGACCACUGGGGAGCUGCACAUUAAAUCCCUGGUGGGAUGUUUAGGGGCAUGCAUAGGCUCUCUUAGAUCUACUGAGUUAGAAUCUCAGUGGGGUCAGAGUUUGGACCUGGUAAGUGUAUGUUUCCUAGACUACAUAAAAAUACUAUAACGAAUAUUUUUGUCUCUAUGAGCUGUUGUUAUAUUGAUACCCCAGUCGCCUUUCUCUGCCUGGGUUCUGGGCAACUAAAACUUCUGACUUCGUUCAGCCAUUACUGGAACUGGAGGUCCUCAAAGACUCAUCUUGUCAGAAUAACUAAUUCUUUCUGCCACCGUCCCCUACUUGCUUCCAUUUUCAGAAAUAAAGCUACCCUCAUGUAGCGUUAUUCCCUCCGCCACUUUUCCUCACACUAUACCUCAGCAUAUCUAGGGGACCAUUAUUUGUGUUUAUCCAUAUGGUCUCUUAAUUGACUCCAGGAUCCUUGAGGUUGUUUUCUUCAUCCUUUUCUCCAAUAAAUAUAGUUAAACAAAUGAACCACCAAGUGCGGGGUGACCAGAGAACAAAUAUUGAAUAUAGUUUCCUAAGGCCACUAUAACAAAGUACUAUAAAUCAAGUAGCUUAACACAGAAAUGUAUUGUUUCACAGUUCUAGAGACUAGAGUAAGUAGGCAUCCAGGUGUAGGCAGGCUGUGCUCUCCUGAAGGGUAAGGGAUCUAUUUCAGGUCCUCUCCAAACUUCUGCUAGAUUCUCCCGUGGUGAAGCUUACCUCUGAUCUUUGUGUCAUGUUCUUCUUGAGCACCUGUCUCUGUGUCUAAAUAUCUCCUUUUCAUAAGGACACCAGGUAUAUCGGAGUAGAGGACCACUCUAAUGAUCUCAUCUUAACUAAUUCCAUGUGGAUCCUGUUUCCAAAUCAAGUUGUUUGAGGUAAUAGGCAUUAGGACUUUGCCAUACAGACUUUGAGGGUCUGUAUGGCACACAGUUCAACUCAUGACAGUGCUUAAUGAGACAGAGAAGAAGCAACCCUUGCAGAGAGCCUGGUUGGGUCUUUUCUUAGAAAGAUGUUAGUCACUUUAUGGACCAGACAGUCGAUGGUCCUCCAGGUCAUCAACAACUGACAAGAGCCUACAAAUCCAUGUUCUGGCAGAGUAUAACCAGAGUUAGUUGUCACUAAAGGGAGUGGUGAAAUUUGUCUCAGUGAAGCAAGAUUAGGACCAGGCCUCUUAGAGAUGCUCAGGGUCAGGCAUCAGAUCAGUCCUUCCACUUCAGGUUUACUCUGACCUAACUAACAGUUAACUUAUUUAUUCACCAUGGUGUGAUGCAGUUCCCAAACAGCCUUACAUUCUGUAUGUCAUUUAAUUUGAGCCACUAGCCAUCCCUGGGAGGUGUUUAGUGCAGAUGCCUCUGUUUUAUAGAUCUAGAAACUGAGGACAAACUCCCUUAGUUUGGUAAGUCUGGCCCUGGGCCCAGUGUCUUAAAACUCAUAAUUCAGUAUGUUAUAGUCACUGUCCACAGUUUGCUUCAGGGAUUCUAGGUGUGUGCUCAAUGAGAGGCAAAAAUUUUUUCAAAGAUCAGGUUUGGAUCAGAAGCCUACUAGGAUUUACAAAUAUGAUUUCCUUUUUUCUGUUUAAAAAGAUCUUUAGUCUAAUCUGAAAAGCUUGUCAUGCCUGUCAAAAGAAGCUGGUGACAGGUGAACGGCAAAGUAUUAUGAGAAUGAGAAUAAAGAGCUUUUUAAAUGGGAAGGAAGGCAGAGCAACUUAAUAAUUACUGUUGAAACAGUCACAGCAAUACUGAAGCGUCUCCAUAAUUUAAUCUAACUUAAUACCAACUGCCUCCUCCCUAGUGGCAAUACAUAAAUUAAUUAAUAGUAGGUUGAAUUUGAAGCUAUGUCUGUAUAUUUAGGCCAUUAUUAACUUGUUCUCUGUGCCUUUUUUUACUUGGGUGCAUUUGUGCAUUGAGCCGUAGAAAUGAGGGUAUUUUAUAACUCCCAUCGCCAUUAUGACUUCUAUCACUUUUCACAUUUUGAAAGCACACUGUUUUAUCUUAUUAUAUUUCCUUCUUAUAAUAAAUAUCCCCCGUGGAGAGGUUAUAUCUCCUUGCUUUGUAGAAGUUAUAGGUCUGGUUCUGGAACAUAGAUCUGUCUCCUUUUUCUCUUGAUACACAGCAGAAGAUAAUAGUUAACAUUGUGGUAUCUGAAUUUUAUUUUCUUGAUAUGAGUUCUGGCUCUCCUGCUUACUAUGUAGCCUGCCAAUCUCUCAGUCUUCCUGAUGGGAAAAUGGGUAAAAUUGUAUCUGUUCAUGAGGUUGUCAUAAUAAUUGUUAGUCACCUAUGAUAAAACACUUGAGACAGUCAAUUUAAAGGAAGAAAACUUUAUUUUGGUUUAUAGUUUCAGAGAUUCAGUUGAUGGUUAUUUGGUUCCAAUGCUUCAAGGCUGUGGUGGGUGGCACAGGAGUGCAUAAUUGGAGUAUGAGACAAAGGUCUGUUUAUCUCAUGGCAGCCAGAAGCAGAAAGAGAAAGGGACUGGAUCUUAAUGUCUCUUAAAAGCACACUCACCCCCAGGACCUGUCUUCCUUUCACAAGGCCCUGCCUCCUAAAGGUUCCACUUGUCAAGAGCACCUAGGGACCAAGUCUUAACACACGGUCCUUUGGAGGACAAUCUAUAAUAAACAUGAAAAGUUCUUGGAAAAGUGUUAAAGAUGUUAUAAGUACCAAGUAAAUAUUAUUUAGUAUUAAUAAUAGUAUCCCUUUGGGCUCUCAGUUCCUCUUGAUUCUCAACAUAUGGCUACAAUAUACUCUUUCGUGUUACCAAGUCAGUCCUGUCUGCCAGAUGAUCUCAAAGGAUCCAUUGGCCAUCCUGAGUUCCUGGCUAUGUGACAACACCACCCAAGUAAUGGCCAUUGAGAAACAGCAUUGGUGGAAAGUAGAGACACUACUGGGGAGGUAUGACCACCUGUAUUCUGGGAAUCGAAACGGACGAGUUAUGCACAGUUCAUCAGAGGGGCGAAGCACUUGCAAAGAAGUACUUACGAGGCCUGCAACAAGUACUAUUGGGGAGAUGGAGGAAGCAGUGGGGAAAUCAUUCUGGUCUGCCAAGGAUCACUUGUCCCAAGUAGACUUUACCUUUCUUGUUUUAGAAUAUUGCAGGCUUGUGAAGGGCAACUGGUAAUAGGAAAGAAAAGCUAUCAACAAGCUGAAGAAGUCUGAGCACAAAGAAAAUGAUCUGUCUCAGCAGUUAGUUGGCCUCUGUACCUCUGGCCCACCACUCCUUAUUAUCAUGCUGCUGUGAGUGUGGCAUUCUAAGACACAAAUUGGGUCAUGCUGAGUCUCUGUAUCAGUUCCUUUUUGAGUUGUUCCUUCCUCACCUCAGGAGCCUGCUAAGUCCACGAGGCCACACUGUGCUGGGAGUGGUAUGUCCUGAACCCCACGCCCAGCCCUGCCUCCUUCACUACUGAGCAGCUUUAGACAGGUCACUGCCAUUCCCACACCUCCGCUACCACCUGUAAGAUGGCAUCAGGGCACCUGGCUUAUGGCUUCUGGGGCAGCAAGUGCUUUUGUACAGGUCCUGGCAAUGAGUGAGCACAUAGUGUUAGCUGUUGCCCUUUCUGGCCCUGAAUCCUCAUCCUUUCAGACGCGGAGUGAGAAGAACCACCUACUUUCAGUUCCACCUCAGUUGCUUCCCUCCCUCUGCCAGCUCCCUUGGGGGCUCUUGGGGAAGCCUUCCUGCAGCCCCUCUGCUCUCCUCAGUGUAGCCAGGGUCCACACAUGCUAUCGUGGCAGAACAUUUGUACUUGGGUUAGAAUUGGGUCUUGUCUGUCAUACAGUGUUUCUAUUGUUAUUUCUACUGAUUUUUGUCGCUCCCCAGACUACAGACACCAUGAGGAUAAGGAUUCUGAGGUUUAUCUCUAAAGUUCAGGCGUGUUUUGCAAUGGCAAGUAUACAGUAGAUACUCACUGUACAUUGGUAGAUUUAUGCUGGCCAGUCAUGCUAUGCACUCAGUCUCUUGCCUAAGCAGCCCAGCUUAGCUCUGUCUCAACUAAGGUAAUGGUUUCUACUGAUUAUGAACACAGUUUCUAGACUUAGCCUUGCUGGAGAGACACAGGCCAGAUCCUUCCAUGGUUCUAUCUUGUCUUUCUCAAGAGAGGUUGAUGUUUUAUCAAAGAGAUCAAAGGAGUACAAAAAUCAUGUUGUGUGGUACAUAAGGUUUUGGGUUAGAGUUAGAGAAAGUGAGUGUGAAUCCCAGAUCUACCACUUAUUGUUAGCUUUUAAUAUCUUAAACUAGUGACUUAAACUCUGUGUCCCAGUUCUUCAUCUGCAAAACAGGGAAAAUGGACAUUCUUCAUUUAGUUGAAAGGUUUGAUGAGAUCAUAAAUACAAAACAUUCAGCACCAUACCUGACACCAAGAAUGUUUAGUAAUUAGUUCUUGCUAUGAUUAUGCUCACUGUUAUUAUGUUUUUGGCUUCCAUAGCAGCACUAUAGAUUGGCAGUGGGUAUCCAUAUAUUUUGAAAACAGGACAUUUUUUUAACCCCUAGAGGUGAAACAGAAAGAACAGAGAAAGGUAUUGUAUAGUUGCCAAUCUCAGCAGCUUGCAGAUACUUCAUCACAAGGAGUUGCUUAAAAUAGGAGAGCUAGUACAUUAGCACAAACUGUUAAUACAGGAAAAGGAUUAGAGAUGAAUUGGUUGAUAACUUCUUCUACUUAGAUAUAUAGAUACAGAGUACUUUGUAUUAGUGCCACCUCCUUAGCCAGAACACCAUCAACUUGUUUGUAAGUAUUUUCUUUUUAGUGUUGCUAUAAAUGUCACUUUGCCUUAGCCUGAAAUAAGUUUUUGAGGCAUUUUACAGUCAUGCUCUUCAUUAUUGAUCAGACUUUAAAAGUAAUUGCUUGUCUUGAAGCUGUCAUUUGCCUUUGAAAACAUCUCAAAAACAGUGCCUCAAAAUGUCAUCCCCAGAUGUCCAUGUGUGGGGGGUGCUAUCAGAUAAGAUUUUGGCAGAAAGUCCUAAAUAAAGUUAUUUUGCUAUAAACCCAGGCCAGUUCUUAUUAAAAUAGCAAAAGAACAUGUGGUUGAACACAUGGCAAGAUGUUGUUUGCUCUUAUUAGCAAUUAACUAACAUAGAAACAGUUGUAAAAUUUGUAAAAACAUAUAGGGCAUAUGAAACAAUAUAUUUUGUGCUGCAGAGUGAAAGCUGUGUGUCACAUCUGCCGUGUCAGUGUUUGUAGUAGUAAUACGGCUCUGAUGUUAGGUAUGUAGCCUGCUGAGGAGAAAGUGCUCUUUAGUUUGAGAAACACAAACUUUGAUACUCAAACUUUGCAUAUUUAAAUUUCCAUGUUUAAUUUUUGAUUGUCUGUGGUUUUGUGUGUAUGAAGUGUAAUACAUGCAUGUUUAGUUUUAAAAUAGUCUCCAUUUUAAUAGUAAUAGUAAUUUAAAAUGUUACUAUACUAUAAGGGAAAUAUGCUUCCACUGAAUUACUGUGGUAACUUACGUAACUUUCUGUUGCUGUGACAAAAUACUCAAGAAACAUAAUUUAAAAGAAUAAAGGUUUAUUUUGGCUCACUGUUCCAGAGGUUGAAUCCAUGGUCUACUGGCUGCAUUACGUUUAGGCUCGUGGCAAGGCAGAAACAUCACAGAGGAAGGGUGUAGCAAGGAAAGCUGCUUACUUCAUGGUAGUGAAGAAGCAGGGAGAGAGUGAGAGAGUAUGUGCUGGUGAACUUCCUCCUCCUUCCACUUUUGUUCCAUCUAGGCGCUCACCCUAUAGGAUGGCGCUUCCCACAUUCAGGCAGGUCUCCCCAUUCAGUGUGCCGAGCUGCCACAUGCCAGUCAUACCUGGAAACACCCUCACAGACACACCCAGAAAUGUGCUUUACUAGUUUCCUAGGUAUUUCACAGUUCAAACAAGUUGACAAUCAAAAUUAGCCAUCACAAUUACCCAGUUACCACUUAGGAAAACUGCUACUCAUAGGCUAUUUCAUAGUUUAGAAAUGUCAAAUAAUAGUAAAAGUAUUCACUUGAGAUUUAUUUAGCACCUGUGUAUGUAAAGCAUAAUGCUGGGUAUCUGGAAGGUAAGUGGAAUCAGACUUGAGUCCUACCCCUCAAGAAACUUAGACUUCAAGAAAUAAUAUAAAUAUAAAUAACUAAAAGGUAGAAGAUAAUCAACGUGUCUUAGCUACUUUUCUCUGAUUGCUGAGACAAAAUACUCAGUACCCAAAGUUAAGAAAGGAAAGGUUUAUAUGACUCACAGUUUGUAGAGAUUUAAGUCCAUAUCAGCUGGCUCCAAGGCAAGGGUGGCAUGGCAGAGGGGCAGCAGUUCAUGGUGGCAGAAGACAGUAAAAGCAACAAGAGCAAAAUGGUGGAAGAGAGCCUCCUUUCCUCCCUUGUAUCAUAUGCAGACUACCCCUGCAAGAACAGAUGCAGCACGCACACCACCAGUCCCAGCACUAAACAAAGAACCAAUCACAGAAUCUAGAUUCAGCUGCCUCUGAAAAGCCCACCCCUGCCCAUUACCACCUGAGGCUUUGGGGGAACAUCCAGCCACAAACCAUAACACAAUGGUAGUAUAAAAAAAUGACUGAACCAGAUGCUGUAAGUGUUACCAAUCUAUACACACACAAUUUUCAGCCAUUUCUUCUUAUAUCUUGGGAAUUUCUGUACCAUGAAGCUUGUAUUACUGUAGGCUCCUAUUUUUAAACUAAUUAAAGUAAGCCAUUUGGGCAUAAAAAGUAAAUAAUUCACUUAGACUUAGGUCUUACUGGAUUCAGAGUCCUGCUGUAUUUCUUUAGUAAAAGACAAAAUACUGGUAAAUUUAAACCAUCACUAGAGACUCAGCUAUAGAACUGGGAAUAUCUAGUUAGAGAUUUUUAUUAGCUAUACCUUUGAAUUGGUUUAUAAUGGAGAACUCUCCAAGUUAAAAACAAACAAAUGAACAAAACAGAGUUGGUGUCUAGUAUGGUUGUUCAAAAGCUUUUUUAAACAAUCUGCUCAUGGCACACUGAGGACCUGCCAGGCACUGCCACCACAUGCCUUCACGACUUUUGAGAUUUAGCGAGGAAGACAGAUGAUACACAAGUAAAUAAAUAAAUGACAGUGUUUCUGAUUUGCCUUUAAGUGCUAAAAAGGAAAUAAAAUAUGUAACAGGACCUAUAGAGAAAGGCAUAUAUAUGUUUUCAGAGUGGCAGAUGGGACAGUAGUGGUUCAGUGAGUGGUAGGGAAGGCUCACUGCAAGAGGUAAAGUCUAUUCUGAGCUAAGAGUGAUGAGAAUGCUCUGAAACAAGACUGUUCUUGGCAGAGGAAGCAGCAAGUACAGAGGCCCUCAGGUAAGAACAAGUUGCCCUGCUCAAGAAAGAGAAAGAAGACUCUAGUGGCUGUAAUACUUGUGAAUAACAUCAUGGUGCGAUUAGAAGGAGCUGGGGUCCUGGUAUGCCACAGUAAAGUCCCUACAGCCAACGGGUUCCAAAGACCAGUUCCAUCAAGUUGAAGCUCAAUUCUAGUGUUAAUGUUAAGUUGAACUCUGAUUCUGAAAGAAUGUGGCUGCUGAGUACAGAAAAAAGAAAGGAAAAAAACCCCUCUAUUUUGUUGUCUGGAGCCUCCUGGUAGAUUUUAAAAAGUAAACAAAAUUUGCACAGUUACCUAGGGCACAGAUAAAUAUACUUAAGAGCCACUGGGUUUUUUUUUUUUAACCCUCUAUUGUGGUACCCUUCUGUGCCAUUUCCUUCUAAUACUCUGUUUUCUAGGUUUAACUUUUUCUUCCUUCCCUUUUUAAUCAAAACUCUUAAUUUUUUUCAAGGCAAUCAUAGCUGCUGGUAGGAAGCUGAAUUUGACUCAUCAUGUAAAUAACUGAUAGGAUCUGGCCCACUAAAAUAUUAUUUGUGUUUUUUUAGUGUUAAGCCUAAUGAAUCUUGUUUUAAUGAAUAAGGUAGUAAAAUGUAAAUGAGAAAAGCAUUUGAGGAGUUUGGAGGAUAACGUUUUUGGAAAUGAGAGAGCCAGCCUUGUUUGCUGGGCCUUGAUGGUUACACCAGUGUCUACUCUAGGGCUGCUUCCUUUCAUCUGCUCAUAGAUUCUCUCAAAAUUCCUGAGUAUAUCCAUAGAGAUUCUUUGGCUGCUUCUGCCACAGGAGCAGGGAGGUCCAUAGUCAGGAACUGCAGGAAAAGUCAGAGACUGGGAGGGGAUGAGAAUCUAUCAGUUGUUUAUAUAUUGAAUAUCAUCUGUAAACUAUGAGAACUCACUACAUUUGGGUAUUUUAUUUGGAAAAUUUCACCUGAUGUUGGAGGACUAAAAAAAGGAGGAGAUUGUGGUUUGCCUGUUUGUCCAUGUCGAUGUUUAAUUUCCAUGCUGGAUGUGGCUGUGCCUGUGGAUACAGGGUAAUUCUGAAUAAUGGUAAUGACGAAGGGUCAUCAUUACACAGAAGAGCAUUCUGUGCUCCUAAUUAAAAUUACAGCUGAAAAUUGUUUCCUUAUGUGUAGCUCAAAUUGCCUUUGCAGUAACUUUAGUUUAUAACUUCUGGUUAAUCCUCUCCUUACCACCCUUAAGAAUUCUUCCUUGUCCUUGAAGUUGACUCCUUUGAAAUCUUUAUGAGCAGUCCUGGUUUCCCCUAAGCUAUGAGUAUCCUAAUACUUUGUUCCUACAAGCCUUUAAGCUUCUAAGCAAAACAGUCUUUGCUCCCUUUUCUCCCGCUGCACUUUUAAUGAGUUCUGGUUCUGGAACGGGACUUGAUUUCUUUUUGCGGUCAAUAUAAAUUAGCUGAGCCUUGCCUCAUUCUCCCUGAUGAAUUCAUUGCUAACUGUCUUUUGGGCCAAGACCGCCACAUACUGCUUACCCUAAUUAGUAUUCUCUAAUGGUAAUCAAGUGACCUGUAACUCACAUGUUUUCAAAAUGAGCACUUAUUACAUUCCAUUUCAUCAACUAUAGUAGGAAAAUUACAUACAGUGAUACUCACAAUGGGAUUCCGAAUAAGAAAUGUUGAGCCAAGAAACAUCUGAUCAUAGGAGCAGUAUGAUCAAAGUGGGGUGAGUGUGUGUUUUGAACCAGUACUUUAUGUGCUCAGCCUCUGUCCCAUAUGUUCCAGAUUUGAUAGUUUAGUACAAAAAAUUUAGAGGCUUGUGCCUUGGCAUUUUUCAUACCAUUGAAUUUCAAGAAUCAUGUCUAACAGUACUUUGAAAGAACUAUUCUGUUAACUUAGAAAAAUCAGGCAAUAUUUGAAUCUCUAAGAGAGUGAUAACAGAAGCCUAUGCAAAUUCUAGGAUACUGCUCUGGGAGAAACCCUGAAGAUUUGUGUUUGUAUUGAAAAAUGCCGAUUUUGGUCAUUUGUUGAAUGAGUAAAAGAAUGUUGCAUACAGAACUUGGUAAUGUUCAAAGACCAGGCUGUAUGGACCAAAAGUCUGUUUUGCUUGUUGCUUGUGGGGGGAAAAAAGAAGGAAAAAGCCAUAAGUAUGAUUUUAAAUAUUUGGUUGUACAUAUAUAAGGGGAGGUUUUGGAAAAAGAUUUGGCAUCUUUUAUUUCCCUAACCUUGGUAAAAGGAGAGUCUUUGUACAUAUUCAGAUAGACUCACUUUAAGGGUUUUUGCAAAAGCAAUGAAUAACAUGUUUUAAGAAACUUUUUGUGAAUAUAUAGAUCACUGACAUAUGAUUCAAUCAUAUUGCACUGCAGAUUUCUUCCCAGUCUUACUAAAAUUAAAGUUUUUAAUAUUACAAGUAAUCUGGCUUAGAAACUGCUAGGCUUUGGGCAUCUUAAAACUUUGUAUAGUUUAUGUUAAAAAUUUAACCAGACCUAUCAUUUGUGAGGCUUGUGCUUAAUCCACAGCACUACAAACACACAGAUAAACCAACCCACAAAAAAACACUGACUUAAUCAGAAUCUCUUACAUGAAGCUUUUAUGCUGUGUUUCUAAAAAUCUCACCGGGUAAGGGUAAUGCGAGGCCAAUUUGAGACUAUGCCUAAUCACCCUCACAACUGUCAUUCACGCAGAAUUUUCCAGAAUAGGAAUUUGACUUUAUUAGAUGACAUUGAGAGAUCCUUCACUUCAGAUUCUAUUGUUAAGCAGUUCCCAGGCCAAAUAUUGAAAGUUUAAAUCAGUCUUCUUCUUUGGCUAACACACGUAUGUUUGGCAUUCCAUCCAAUCCUGCUGGGUCCAGCACAGCUCUUGGAAUUCAGGGGAAUAUGGUGGAGGAUGAAGAAAUGAAAGUGAGUCAAAAUACAGAAAGCCGGACCCCUCUCUCCUGAUGGGAGAAAAGGACCUGCCCAACAACUACAGAGUAUUUAUACAAUCAGCAAGAGGUUGAUAACAGGUGAAACCCCUCUUCUGAUGGGAGGAAGGACUGCCUAACAACUUGUUUGUCUUGCCUUGGGCGCUCUGUGUUCUUGGGCUGGCCUUGCUUUUGCCCACAUGCAUGAUCAAUCUUCAGGGCUGGAGGAGAGGGGAGAAGGACACUGGCUAGAUUCCUGAGAACACUGAAGUACAGGAUUGCUGCAGAGAAUUCGUAGGACUUCAUGUCCUAAGCCACUGGCCCUUAGGAAGCCCUUGAUAAAUAAGCUGUGAUUUUAUUUUUAGUAUUCUUAUUUCCUACAUGAGGAAACAAAUUUAGUGAUUUUCUAAGUGUUCAUGUGACAGCAAAGUGUUGAAACCUCAGUAAGUGUUCUGAAACCAGACCUUGGUAGUGUGGAUGUGGGUAGUCACAGAAACUCACAUUCUUUGUGCCUCAUUCCCUUUUUUUUUUUACUAGGGAUUGAACUCACAACCUUGAACUUGCCAGGCAGGUGCUUAUGCCACUGAGCUGAAUCCCCCCUGCCCCUGUGCCUCAUUUCUAAACAUUCAAGAAUUCAACUCUCAGAUUCUGAUGAGUGCAUUCUGUGAAAUGCAUUUAAUUUCUGGCACUUCCUGGUUGAAGAGAAUUAGUUUGUAGACUCAGAGCAUGUUAAAAAUUUUUUUUGGAGGAAGAGAGAUAAGUCUUAGUCUCAUUCCAAUAGAGUAUCUUGGUUCCCUUUGGAUUUAAUGAGGAAAACCAUGGUCUAAUAAAUUUAAUUAAUGUAUCAGUGCAUCACAUUUAUACUGGAGUCCUUAAGAAAUAUGUAUGCAUCCACUGAAAAUGAGCUAACAAACUAGGAAAAGUUACUAAUAAACUCUUAUUAAUGCUACAUUACUUAAUAAAAGCAAGAUUUUUUAGUAUACUUGAACAAAUGAUGCAGAUAUUUGAUCAUAUAAAACCAUUUUUAUAUUCAUUUUAAUUCUUACCAAGAGGGCUAGUGUUUAGGAAUUCUAUCAUUUUAUCUAUAAAAGAAGCAAGGAGUUAUGUAAAGACAUUGAUAAUAGUCAAAUGUAGAAACACAUAUGAUAACUGCAUAUACUCUGAUCCUGUUAUUUUAAAAAUUAUGUGUGUGUGUGUGUGUGUAUGGGAGCCUGCACUUAUCUGGAUAGUUACAUCAAGUCAUCACUGGAUGGAAGAAUUACAGUUACUUUAUACUCUUAAUUUUUUUCUAAUUUUUUACAAUUAUUAUGAAUAGUUUUUGUAAUAAAAAGUUACUUAAGAAUUAUCUUGAUGAAAGACAGAAACUUUUUCUUAACUACUUUAGCAUACAUUUAGACAAAAAUGAACUUACAGUUCUUUUGCUAUACUAUUUUCCUUUGCUUAUUAAGUUAAAAAAUCUUCUUUUAUUACACCUUAUUAAAAUCCCUUAAAAACUGGAGAAGUUACUGUGUUGGUAAAUUAAAAACAAAUCUCUGAACCAGAAUCUCCUGUGCAUGCUUACUCAGACAAUAGAUUCUUGGAUUUCCAUCUCACACUGAGUGAAUCAAAAUGUUUGGUGAUAGUAACCAGAAAUGUGCAUUUUUAUUAUGCAUUGCAAGUGUUUCCUGCAUGUAAUUAAAUAAUAGAGUCUUCCUUCUGCUCAUAGAUCUCUUUGUGUAUAGUAAUCUAUACAUGGUUAAAGUACUUCUUAUGUCUUUUUCAUCUUGGAAAUUUGUAAUCACUAUACAUCUGUAUGAUCUUCAUUUUAUUGUCAUGUUCACUAAAAGAUUGAGAAGUUUUCUUAUUUUCUCUGAAGUAUGAGACAUUGUGGGAGUCAUCCAUUUAGCAAGCAUUUUGGGCUUAUUUACAGAAAGUCUUGCUGUAUGAGUCUGACCCUCUCUCUCUCAUGCUCUUGAGGAUGGAGCCCUAGCAAGGUUGGCUGAGAAAAGCCAGAGAGCCUAGUAGUGGAGAACUCAGUGAUUCUCAAAGUGUCUUGCACAAGGAAAUCCAAGACUUCAGUUUGUUAAAGAAUAACUUUAAGAAACUGUAUUUCUUUGCUGGAACAAUUGGUUUUCAUAAGAAAACAGUAAAUCUGCAUCUUGUGUUCUGAGUGGUUCCAUUCUUUUGAAAAAGUCAUUGUGUCAGGGAAUUCACACAAUUAGUGUGUUUACUUUGAAUGUGUGCCAUCCUAUAGAAGGUACAGUCCAGCUAUCCUUAGUUUCCUGUUGAUUGAAACAGUUUGCAGCAAGUUAGUGCUAAAUAUAAACUUGGAGACAUAUCAUCUUUCUGAAUUGGUCUAAAAUGCUAAUUUUCAAAUUUAGUGUGCAUCAGAAGUAUCUGGAGGGCUUGUUAAACCAUAGCUAACUGAGUCCCUCAUCGGAUUUCUAAUACUCUUAAGUCUGCUGAGUGGCCUGUGGAUAUGCAUUUCCACCAAGUUCUGAGUUUCCAGAUGUGGCCAGAAUUAGUACACACUUUGGGAACCACUAGCAUCGCAGGUAUGUCCCAAGGAUCAAGACUCAUCACAUGUAUCAUCUGUUUGACUUUUCUCCUGGAAUUCUGAUCAGAAACUUUCUAGAGGGUAUCCCUUUUCUGAUUGGGUAAUCAGCAGUGUUUUCUUUUGGACAUGUGUUUCUGUUUGAUGAAACCAAAUUCUGGCACUAUUUGUUUCCUUUUUUUUUAGGCUAAAUUAAGUGCCAGUGCUGUUUCUCUUUAAAGGUUAACAUAGAUUAAAGCAAGCCUGAUAAAACGUUUCUGUCUACCAGUUGGGCACUACAAUUUUCCUUGCAAAUCUUGCCAUUGUCACCAUCCCCAAAACAGGUUCUUUCCCGCAUACAUUAUGUCCCUUCCUACCUGAACAGGUUUUUUUUCACAUCUUUGUGCCCCAAACUCAGCCCUCAGCCACAUUCUACCCUGAGAUGGUCUUUACCAAUGAUGGUAAACCUUGUAGAGCUUUCAGUGAUAACAAACAGCUGGCUUCAGCACAUGUGCCAUAGAUUGGCCACCACUGGAUACUUAUAACUACACUCUAAAAGAUAUUUAUACUUAAUAGUAAAGCUUAAAGCCUUCAAAGGCUAAUAGGGCUAAUAGGACUACAGUGAAAGAUGGAUAUGUGCCUUUGCCCUUGACCCAGCACUGGUAAGAUUAGUCUGGGAAUCCCUGGCCUUGUUUGCAGCUCUUUUGAAUUGGCAAAAGCAGCUGGAAUAUAUGUCCUGAGCUGCUAGGUGGGACAGACCAGAGCCUUCGUGAUUGAGUAUCUUAAAUGAAUUGUUCAUUGAUUCUUCAUUCUUUAGAGACUCGCCAGUGGAAGGCUUUGGCCAAAAAGCCAUCCUACUUCCUCUAGGAAAGAUCAUUUGGAGAAUGUAGUUUUCUAUUGGCUUCCAGGGCCUAUUGCCCCUGAAUAGGGACAUCAGAAGACACUAGCCUUGACCUGAAAAGGUGAGACUUUUGGAGUUCAGUGCACUUGCCCUUUCCUCAUUCCUCCUUCUUAUGACAAGCUUUUACUCCAUUUUUUGUAGGUCUGCAAUAGUAUCUAGGUGGCUCUGCAGCAUUGAUACUCAACCAUUUUAGCACAGGAACUGGUUUCCUGGAAGAAAAAAAAAUUUUUUUUAAGAGGAGAGAGGGUGGAGCCAGGACAGUGGCAGGCGAGACUGGGUUUGAGUUUAGAUUCUGGCCUUACAGGAGGCUGAGCUCAGGGCAUAAUGUAGGCAAUGCUGAGGCUGAGCAGCUAUAAAUUAGAAAAAGCUCAUCUGCUGUGCAGCCUGGGCUGGGAACCUCUGCCCUAAAGUGGCAUCCCUGAAGUACCUUAAGGUCUCUAGGAGCUUAGGGACGCACUGUCGUUGGCCCACUUGCAGGAACUUAGCUUGGAGUCACUCUUUUCCUGUUAUCAGCCCUUUCCCUUCCUGUUCUUCAUAUAUCACUUCUGUGGGCUCUGUGCUGCCCUUACUCCUGCCUGGAGAUGCACGCUUGCUCCCUCCAAUCCCCUCCUAUGCCUGGCUUGCUCCUUUUCAUUUAGGUCUGUAUAAAAGUUUUAAUUAGACCUAUCAAAUAGGACUCCUGAGUCCUACCCAUCCCCUUCUUCCUUUACUACUUUUUCUUCCUAAUACUUAUCACCACCUAAAAUGUGAUUGUUUAUGUAUUUAUUUAUGCAGAAGGAGUAGCAUAGGGUUUUUUUUUUUCUUACUACUGUGUCUCCAGCACAUACACUAUUGCCUGAUAAGAGCAGAAACUGUAAUAAAGAUUUGUUGCACAAGUGAGAAGUGUGAAGAGCAUAUCACUGUAAUGCGAGUGGGAUUGUUAGCACAGUAGCUUUGGUGGCUUGAGGUGAUUAUGAGUGGGCUGCCUCCUUCUCCCCUCAACCCUUCUUGGUAACACCAUUGAGGAUGUAUAUACUACUCCUAGAGUGUAGCUGAAGUCUUGAAGGGACUUUAGCUGCAUGGCUCUGCUCUCAAAGGUCUGGUUCUAUCUACAAAACCACACUGAGAUCAACUCUGGUCUCUGGCAAGCCCUUGCAUCAUCUGCUUGAACUCUAACUGGAAAGCAUCAUCCAUCUGUCCCAUAGCACCGAUGAGAAAUCAGUGCUUGAGCAGUCAGUGAGGGCCAGUGGUAUUGUUUGGCUGGCCAUCUCUUAUAAUUACCUGGAGUGAGGGCAGUGCUAAAGUGGAAAAAGAAGAUGGCAGACAAGACUAGCCACCAGGCAGCUUGAGGUCCUUUCAAGGAAGAGUCUCUAAGGUUCUGAACACCAGAAUGAUGUUAAUCAGGAGAUUUUUUGGUAUCAGCAUUGUCAACAUUUACAUUCACUUUACACAUUGGAUUUGCAUCUGAAAAGGCCAACUAUAAUCAACAUUUAAGGGAUAACACUCAAAUUUGCAUCUGAUUGAGCAGACAUGUUAAGUAAUUUUAGCCUGGCUGUUGCUAGGAAACCAAUUAAUAAUGCUCCACGUUUCAUUAAAAACUAGAUUCUAUUUUCGCUUUUCUGAACUUCACAAUUCAGCUGCUUGUGCUGAACUUUUUCUCCCUCAGUAAAUUGUGACAGACAAAUUAUCAUUUUACUUAAUUUAUUUCUGUGAUUACAAUUGUUAGUCAUAUCUGUCAAUACAACUUCAAAGCUUCUUUAUGUGUUACAGGAGAAAACUAAAUUUUAGCUGUUAAUCUUUUUUUUUUUUUUCUUUUACAGUGUAUGGGGACUGAAAUUAUUUUUUGUAAGGGCCUUCCAAAUUGCAGGUUAAUUAAAAAAAAAAUUAAAGCAAUCUUCCCUGUUCCAUAAUUGCCUCUUCUCAGUGUAGUGAGUAAUAAUUAGAAUAUUAGGCACUAUUCAGAAAGUGACAGACAGCUGAUUAAGCAUUCAGCUGCAUUUUGUUUCUUUCUGCCUUUCUGUGGUUUGUAGGCUAGACCAGGUUCUGUCCUUUAUGCAGUGUGAUUAAUUUUUAAGACUUUAUUUUACAUAAUAGGCUCCUGCUUCUUUUGAAGAAAAAAUACAUUUUUAGCUACUCAGUACAUCGUUGAGCCAAUCAACAGGGCAGUUUCAUUAAAACAGCCAUGGCAUUGUGCAGUUUAAUAUUUGGUAGUAUUGAUCUGGUCAAAAUGCUCAUUAAAAAGCAAAAUUAGCUUCUAUUCACAUCUGUUUCACAGCAUUUCAAUCACUUUAUGUGAGUGAUGCAUACAAAUGCAUCUGGUUCUUUAACUUUGUUAAAAUGGUGAUUUUGCCCAUUCUAAGGGGUAAGAGAAACAAAAUGCAAUCUGCUUUUAUAUGUGUGGUUCAUUUCUUUGAUCUUUUGGCCCUGGAGAUAACAUGCAAAGGAUAUAGAAUUUAGAAGCCGAUAGCCCUUGAGUGAAAUUAUGGCCCAGUACCUCUGUAGGUCUGUGCCUCAGUGUUCUUAUUUAUCAAAAAAGGAAGGACAGGGACUGGGGAUUUAGCUCAGCGGCUUAAAGCGCCUGCCUUGCAAGCAGGCAGUCGUGAGUUCGAUCCCUGGUACCGAUAAAAAAAAAUAUAUAUAUAUAUAUAUAUAUAAAAAAGGAAGGACAGUAUUGGGAGUAGAAGAUGACCUCUGGGAUUGUAAAGUCUGGGGGUUUCUUUCCCUUUUCCUUCAAAAAUAGCGUGGGUACUGUAUUAGUUGACUAGCGCUAUCCUAAUACAGUAUCUCAGGCUGGUUGGCUUAGACAAUAGAAAUUGAUUUUCUUACAGAAAAGACAUUUAAUAUCAAAGUGCUGGCAGGGUUGAUUUCCACAGAGGCCUCUCCUCUCAGUUUGCAAUGGCCACAUUCCCACUGUGACCUCACAGGGUCUGAUGACUAUGCAUGCAAGUCCCUAGUGUCUUCCAGGGUCUUGAUCUGCUCUUGGAAUAGAUCAUAUUGAACCAGGGCCCACCCCGAUAGCCUCAUUUUUUUAUCUAAUUGCCUCAUUAAAGACUCUCUUUCCAAAUAGAGUCACAUUUUGAGGUCUUGGGGUUGGAACUUCAAUGUAGAGUUUUGGGAGGAUGCAAUCAGCCUAUAACAGGCACAUGACAAUUGCAGACUCCUGUUCACUCAGUCUGACUCUUUCUUAGUGGUGACAGUGCCAAAACACCAACUGGAAAGAAAGUAGGAAAUGGGUUCCUCAGUUAUGGCUUUUCUAGUUAGGUCAGAGUCAAUCAUAAAUACUCAAUACUGCUACAUCUUCCCACUUUUUUGGCUACUAUUUCAGCCUUUCUGGACAUAAUCUAAGGAUAUUUUUGUUUCGUGACCUCAGUAAUACAUGAAGGUCAUCAUUUGUAGCAUAUUAAAAUCUUUACUCUCAUAUCAUGCUACAUAUGGAUGAAUAUACAAGGUGUAAGUAAUAGAAAUAAAUGCCCAUUUCACUUUUUAAAUGAAUUUUGGAAAACGGUCAGAUGUGGCUGGCAGGGGCUAAGCUUUAGGAAUAGUACACAAAUGGGUGGCAGGCAUAUAGUGACACAGAAUAAUGUAAAAAAAAAAAAAAAGGUCAUUCAGUUAACACUUAUUGAGGAAUUGUUAUAUUCCACAGUGCUAAUCACUUUGGGGAAUUUAAAAUGUAGCAAGGAAAUAAACUUUGAUUAAAUAAUAUAGUUCUACCAGGACAGCUCUCCUAAGUGCAGGGAAAGAGAGGCUUAUGAUGCCCUGAGAGUGAGUAGUAGUGGAGACCAGAGAGAGUUGAGCUGAGAUUCAGAGGGAGAUGAGACUUACUUCCAUGAACAGGUGAACAGUUACAGCUGCAGUUCUGGGAUGGGGAAGAGUUAGAAUAUGGGCAGAAACAUUUCACAAGUGUUGAAUGCAUGUACAAAGAUCCUGAGACAGAAUGGAGCUUAACAAGGAAGACUGAGAAAAGGACAGAGUGAUGGUGCAUGUACAGAAGAUUGCAAAAGGAGGAAUGAGAAACAAGAAAACAUAAGCAAUUAUGAAGUAGUUCAGGAGGGUCUGAAGUAGGUGAGUACAGGAAACAGGGAAGGAGAGUUGAGGUAGUGUUACAGAGAGACUUGGUGAAUGGGUACCUUAGUAUAUCAGGGAGGGUUGAGUCAAAAAUGCCCAAAAUCUAAGGUGUUAGGAGUCCAGGCAAGUUGGAAAAUAACAUAUUGACACAAGCAGUGAGAUAGGGUAUGGUUGGAGGGGAGGGAAAACAGUAGUAUUAAUAGUUAAUAGCUGUAGUAGUUGGUCUCAGAGGCAUGUGUUUUAUUUACUUUUCUUGUUCUAGGACAAAUAACCCAGCACCCACAAAUUAAGGAAGGAAAGGUUUAUUGAGCUCACAGCUUUUAGAAGUUUCAGGGCAUAGUCAGCUGGCUCCACAGCAGUUUGGCAUAGCAGUAGGCAUCACUGAGGAGAUACAGUUCAUGGUGAGCAAAGAUAGCAAAACAAGCAAGCAAGGGGCCUUAAACUUACCUUUCCGUUACUUUUAUGCUGUAUCUAGGCUACUGGGAACUGAUCCUUUGUUGUUUUUGCUCUCUCUAAUUGGUCUCCAAACCAUUCACUGGACGGAUUUAGUAAUCUCACACUCUUUUUUUUGUCUUUUUCAUUUUUAUCGGUACCAGGGAUUGAACUCACGACCGCCUGCUUGCAAGGCAGGUGCUUAUGCCGCUGAGUUAAAUCCCCAGCCCCUAAUCUCACACUCUUAAUCCCAGCAUCACACACUGUAAACUCAGCCAUCUCUGAAAAAGCUCCACCUAUCACUACAUGAGGCUUUGGGAGCACAUCUAGACAUAAGCCAUAACAAUUUGGGUGUUAUAAAGGCAAAUUACCUCCAUUAGGAACUUGCAAGCUGAGAAAAGAUGAAUUCGGGAGAGUUGUCCCAGGGCUGGAGAGCAGGUUUCUGAACAGUUGUCUGUGGGCACCCUUGAGAAGAGGCAGCUUCUUGAGGGUGGGAGUGAUCAGGGAGAUGGGGUGGUCUCUUGGUUUGCAGGGCUCUUGGCUUCCACUUUAACUCUUUCUUGGAGAAACGUCACAGAGAUCUUGGGCUCUAUGCGCCUUGUUCAUGGCUGGGCCCUUUUACUCCAGGGCAUUCUCUCUGCCCUCUUCCUCAUUUUACUUCUUACUUACAAUCGCUUUAUUUUUAUUUAUAUAAUCUACCACCGUGUCUCCCCUGGGAAGUUUCUAGCAUGUGUCUAAUCCCUCAGCAUACCCUAUAGGGACUGAUCCUUUGUUGUGUUUGAAGUAUGCUACUCAUUUCUCUCUGUCUCUUCUCUAUCUCUGUCUGUCUGUCUGUCUCUCUCUUCUUACUCCCCCUUCUCCUCCUCCUCUUCCAGAGUCUCUCUCUCCCUGUCCUGUCCCUGACUUCAAUCUCUCUCCCUCUCCCUCAGUUUUUCUCUCUCUCCUCCCUUCCCUUCUUCUCCCCUCCCAUCUUUUCUCCUCUCAGAAACUGAUCUGUAAUAAUUAAAUUCAAAGCUUCAAGUAACAAGGAAAUGUGUGUAAUACAUAUCAAAUAAAACUUGAAGGAUUAAGAAAGGAGGUACAAAAGCAUUUGCAAUAGAACACUAUAGCUUUCACAUUUUUACUUUUAAAACUUCAGUCCAUCUGAAAGUUUUAGUUGAAAAAAUUGAGAGUAUCAAAUCUAUUUGUGUUCGCUUCAGCAGCAUAUACACUAAAAUCAGAACUAUACAGACAAGAUUGGCAUGGCUCCCAUGUAAGAAAAGACACAGAAGUUCAUGAAAUGUUCUGUAUUUUUAUUUAUUUUCAUGAAAAACUCAGAAACAAAAAACUUUUUUUUAGCUUUUCCAGCUGAGAUGGAUCAUUUUCAGAUUCAAUUUCCUGUUUUCCCCUUCCUUUCUUUCUUUGUCAUAAUUCUUUGGAAUACCACACUGGUGAUCAUAUAAAAUGAGCUUGAGUAAACCAGAAUUCUGUCAUCAAUGAGAGUUUUGCCAGACCUUCAUUGUCUUGUAUUGCUUUCGUUUUAAACAAAUUAAUUGCAAAAGAUAAUUUAGUGACCUCAAAUUGUACAAUUCUGAAUGGCAAUUUGUGCCUGUGUAUUUCUUCAAGUUAGGCAUUUGCUUAAAAGAUAUUCAUGGUGAUGAAUUCAGUUUCACAAAACUUGGCAGCUCCCACAAGUAAUUGAAUAGCAUAAAUUUUGUUUACCUCCGUAGUGUCUAGACUAGAGAAUUAGAACCAUGAGUUUAUAAGAUAUAUUUACACAAAUAAAAUAGUAUUUAAAAAAUGUGUUUCCAGGAGGCCAACAAUGAAAUUUUUGGUAUGGCACUUGGCCAAGAUAUCCAGAUAAAUGGGAAGUUGGUCCUGUAUCUCAUGUCAUUCAAAUGAACUCCAGCUUGAUCAGUUCACUUUAGAUGUGAAUGAAAUAUUCACAAAGUAUUGUGAGAAAGAAAACAAAUGGAAGGAGAAAUCAGAAAGGAAUUUAGAAAAUGUCUGGUUUAUUCCCAUUUUAUAAUGACAAUUGAUCUUGUGUGUACAUGUAUGUGGUGCUGGGAUCAAACCCAGACCCUUGCACAUACUUGUGCAAGUACUCUACCACUAAGCUGAAAAUGGAUAGUUUUUAAAAGAAUUUCAAAAUGUGAAUGUAUAUUUGGUUCCACUUAAAAUUAUCAAAGAAGAAAAUAUACAUUAAUUUCUUUACAACCUUGAAAAGAAGGGUUGUUAAAAGUGACUCAAAAUCCAGAAACAAUAAAAGAAGAAAAUGAUAAAGUUGAUUAAAUUCAAAUAAAACAUUUUUACCUGAUUUUUUAAAAAACCAUAAGCAAGUUCAAAGGACAAAUGAUAAGCAGAAAAAACUAUUUUCAGUGGACAAAAGAUUAAUCUCUUUGUAUAAAGAACUGCUACAUAUUAAUAAGACAGACUUUACAGGAUAAUAGAAAAAAAGGCAAAGAACAGGAACCAAUUAUUCAUAAAAUAAGAAAUGCAUUGUCUUUUAACUUAAGAAAAAAUUUUCACCCUUACGUAGAAUAUGAGAAAUGCAAAUUUAAACAAUGCUGAAGUAGUACUUUUUGUUUUAUCAGGUUGUCAAAAAUUCUAAAGAGUGACAAUAUUGUUGACUAGAUGUGGGAAAAUUAGUGUUGUACUUCUUAAGGCAGCACAAAACGGCGCAACCCUUGUGAAGCCAGGUUGGCAGUAUCUAUCCUGAUUACAAAUGCAGUUACCCUUUGACCCAGCAAUCUGGUGCUGACAGUUUUUCCUGCAGAUACAUCUGAAUACAUAUAAAGUGACAUACACAGGAGGUUUUCCAUUAAACCAUUGUUUGUAAUAGAAAACAUUGGAAACAAUUCAAAUAUCCAUUAGUGGAAGACUGACUAAAUACACAACUCAUCCAUACAAUGGAAUGUUGUGCAGCAUUUUUAAAGAGAACGUGGAAACUAUAUAUAUCUAUCUGGAAAUAUCUGCAAGAUGUGUUAUUAAAUGAAGUAAGCAAGAAAUAAAAAAUAGUAUUCUACCCUUAAUAUAAAAAGAGUCAAAAUUUGAGUUUACCUCUGCUGUAUCUGCGUGGAGUAAUACCAAAUAAACACAAACAGAAGGAGGAUGUCAGUAAAGGGGGUUCAUGUAGCAGGUGGGUGGGGAGUGAUAUGGGUAGGGAAAGAGUAGACAGAUGCAGGAUGGGAGCAACACUGUGCAUUGUAUUCUGCUGGAUUGUUUUUAUUUUUAAGCCAUGGAAAUUAGUAUCUACAAGUUUUUAGUUAAUAUUUUAAAAUUUGCAUUUCAGUCAUAGUUUAACAUAUACAACAGCCAGAAAGAUUUCCCUAAAACUUGUUCACCUUAUGUUGGAACUGUUGACUACAACUUCCUCAGGGUGUCGCGGUUUUUCAAGACCUGUGCUGUCUGGUGUGGUAGACACUGGCCACAUCAACGGAGAACUUAAAACACACCAGUCCCACUGAGAUCUGCUGCUAGUGUGCCUGAUUAGAAAGACUUAGUAUGAAAAAAAAUGUAAGGUACCACAUUCAUAGUUUUAAAGAUAUUAAUUACAUGUUAAGUGAUAAUAGUUUAGAUUUCAGGAUUUAAAAUAUAUUUUUAAAUUAAUUUCUCUUGAUAUUUCCUAUCCUAAAUGUGGUUAGUAGAAAAUUUUUAAAUUAUAUAUGUGGCUCAGCUCUGUGGCUUGUAUUUUAUUCCUUUUGCACAGCACUGAUAGACUCCUGCCCAUACUGGGCGUGUCUGCCAGAAUCACUUUAAAAAUACAACCUUAGCAUGUUACUUUCCUGCCUUAAAUCCUCCCUUGGCUCCUUGAUGCCUUCAAGACCUUUGUAAUAAUCUGAGACCCUUCCUUUCCUCAUCUCUGCCAUUCCUCUUACACAGACAUUGUUUGUCUUUACUCACUGGGCUGCAGGCCACUUCAUAAAAUGAAUCUUUGAACACACUGUCUCUUCUCUUGGGAAUGUCCCUUCAGCUCCCACUUCAUUGCCUGGAAAACUACCCAUCUUAUAAGCCCAGUCCAUGAGGACCUUUUGUUAGUUCUUUAAUUCUCUUGUCCUGUACCCAGUCCUCCCCGUUUUUUGUUUUGUUCCAGUGCUGAAAAUCAAAUCCAGGGCCUCAUGCAUGCUAUGCAAAUACUCGGCCACUAAGCUACACCCUAGACCCUUGUCCCAUUUUCUUGUAUCAUCUGCUAACCCUCUGCGUUCAUGCACUUAUUGUCUUAAUAUCAUAGUUACCUUUUGAAGUGAAUAGUAGUAUAGUAGUCUAUAUGUACCAAGCUUGUCCUGUUCAAGGGAAGAACACAUAUUAUAUUCAUUUUUCAUAUUUCCAGAUCCUAGGAAAAUGAAGUUGGUCAUUCUCUGCCCAGGUUGCCUGGCUGGUAUUUGUCUGGUCUAUAUAUUAACGAAAGCCAGCUCAAAGCUGUAGGUCUUCCUUGGUUAAGAACAGACUUUUUUCGAAUGUUCUAGCUUUACAGAGGCCAGCUUCCCACAGGCAUAAGGUAGCAAUUUGUAGAGAUGUGAGUAGCACUAUACUGCGUGAGAUCUGGUUUUCAGGGCCAUGUGCAGACUGAAAGAUGAGGUAUUUGUGUUCAGUUCAGAGAGCAGAAUUCUCCAGGCUGGCUAGGUUCCUGUGUUUCUAGAAGGUAAAGGUGGCAGGUGGUUACCAGAAGGUGAAAGCGUCAGGGGAAGCUGUCCGGCUGCAGGAUUCUGUGACCCGGAAUAAUGAAGUUCUCCAUGGUCCGGUUGAGGGGCUUGCAUGUCAGUGCCUAUUCUGCGUGGAAAAUUCUUCUUGCUUGUUAACCUUUCCCUGUGAGAAGCUCACAGCCUUCUCUUCUGCUUGUACAGAGUUGUUUUUGCUCAAAAGAAAAAUGAAAAAAACAAAAUAUUUUAUGAUCCGUGAAACAAAGAUUUUCAAAAUGAAAACUAGGAACUUUGCAAAAACUUCCCCGAGGGUCGGUGCUUAUAUCCAAAAUUUAGAAGCAUUAUUACCAUUUUUCAGAAUCUGUUUAUUUCUUAUAUAGCGAUUCAGUUAUUUUCACCAGGCAAAGAGUUAGUUCAUGUGUAACUCUCCUAGUCGACUGAUUAAAUAACUUUUUCUUUUGCAAAAUAUUAAGGGCCAGUAGUGAAGUAGAAAGUGCUAGAAAAUGGGUCUGAGUCUAGGACUGCCACUGAUCUAUUGGUAUGAGCGUUAGCACCUCUGUAAGCUUCAUUAUCAGUAAAAUUAGGUUACAAGUGCAUUCAAAGUCAUAAACAUUAUAAGAGUGAGUGAACUCAGGCUCCUAGAACAGUGCCUGGCCAACAUUAGGUUUUAGUUGGUAAGAUUUGUAGUUGCAAUGUGAGUAUAGGUUUUCUUUUGCAGUUGUCGAAUGUUGAAGGCCAGAGAGAAGUGUGUCGUCUCAUAAUGGAGAUGACCUGCCAUAAUUUUUCAGUAGCCAUUGUUCAGAGCCUCACAGCUAUCCCCAGGAGGGAAGACAGGAGGGAAUCGUCAGGUACAUGGGCUGGAAUGACUUUGCCAUUAGUCAGUUCCAUAAGGACUCACUCUGCCUCUUUAAUCCUCUGUGUAAAAUGAAGGUGGUACUCAUCUCCAUCUCUAAGCCCUGUCUGCGUAAAGCAACAGAAACAGCUUUGGUUCUACAACAUUGCUUAUAGCAGUGAUGGCAAACCUUUUAGAGCUUUCAACGGUAGAAACAUCCCGCUGCGGCAUGCGGCCGUAGGCUCAUCGCCACUGGCUUAUAGGGUAACAGACAGCUCACUGGCAUAGACUUGGAGCAUCUGGAAACUGUGCCUCAUGCUUCUGUCACCUCCCCACAGCCCAGCACCCAUCCCUUUUUCCUUUGGGAUUGUGUCCAGAGGCCCAGAUCGUUUCCUUGAGCACCACUCCUGUGUUCACUCUCAUCCUCCAGAAAACGACCUGGCUCUGUUCCUCACCAGCAACGUUUCAUUUUCUCCAGGGGUUGGGAUCUGCUCCUCAUCAUUCUUCUGACAAGGGAGAGUAAUCAUUUUUAAGAGGGAGAUUAUCAGUGGGCCUUUUUUAAAAAGUGAGUUUUGUGCUUGAUACAAAUUUUUCUGGACGUAGUGCUUUCUCCUCAGCGCGCCGGGUCUGUGCGGCGGCCCUUCUUCUGUGCCUCUUGGCCUGCUUCUGGCUUAUCUGACUGUCAACCUGGAGGGGGCCCUGCUAUCACUUUUGCUGGAGAUGGAUGAACACAGCAUAUUGUGUGCUUCAGGACCACAUCAUUUGAGCUAGCAAUAAUCAAGACUUGGGGUUAAUUAUCAUUGUAAUUUCAUUGUUGCCAUAAUUGAUCUUGUCUUAAAAUGCUACUAUGAUAUUUAUUUUGUCAUUUGAUUAAAAAUGAAAAUAAAAUAUUUUUGAUAAUAAACUUUGAAGACAGAUCCUACAUUCAGUUCUUUUUCAAACCAGCUUUACAAACUUCAAGUGUGCCUUUAUUAGUGUGGUAAUUUGUCUGCAUUAUAAUAUUGCAUCUUCAAAAUGAAAGAAAAUUGAAACAGUUCAUCACCUCAUUGAAGUGAAAAUCAACAUCUGAUUUGAAUAACGAGGUCUCCCCUACAAGUUUUGCUUCAGUGAAUGAAGCUAAAGAACUGCCCUCCACUGUCAUGUUAGUGACGUCCCGUGAUUCUGGUGCCUCUGAUCUUGCAGAUGAUCACUGUGACGCUUUUACUCUAAUCCAGUAAGUUUACCUAAAUCUUUUUGUAUAAUUUGCAUGUAUUUCAUGUUGAUUGUGCUUCUCUAGAGAACCCUACUCCACUGUUUUUUAUUUUAAAAUCAAAGGGAAAUCCUGUAUUACAUGUUCUACCUCAGUAAAAAGCUUACUGGAUGAAUGAGUCAACAGAUAAACCAAUAAUGAUGUGAAACAAAACACUAACAAAUAAAACCCUAAAAAUGAGUCUCCAAUGAAAAAGUAAAAUAUAGAAGCAAAUAAGAUCCCUUCUUCCUUCUGUCUGUCUGUCCACCCAUCCCUGCUUCUUUCUCCCCUCCCUUCCCCUCUCUUCCCCUCCCCUAUUACCAUACUGGAGGUUGAACCCAGGACAUUUUCACUGACAUAUAGCUCUAGCAUUUUUCAAAUUUUUAUUUUGAGACAAGGUCUUACCAAAUUGCUGAAUUGCUCAGUUGCCCAGAGUAGGCUUAGAUUUUAAUCCUUCUGCUCAUCCUUCUAGAGUUCUGGGAUUAUAGUGUGUGCCACCACACCCAAUUAACCAGUCAGUAUUCUCUGUUUCUUAUUUCUGUUCCUUUAGCCAUAAUAAGGGUGCAGGGAGGCCUGUAGAUUUGCAAGAAAUACUUACUGCAUUUAAUUAGAUUAGUGUUACUUUGUUAAAUACAAAACAAGGGAAUAUCCUUUUAUCUGUAAAUACUUUGAUACUCAGAUUGUAUCAACAUGAAACAGACUAAGAUUUGUCUAUUAAUCAGUGCCUUACCUUUCUUCAAUCAUAACUAGACAUCCACUGCAACAAGGUCUCAGGAAAUUGUGAACCAGAUUGUAAGCAUUUUUCCCACUUAAAAAAAUGCCAGUUUUGUUUUCUACUGCUCGCUGCACAAGGCUAAGGGGAAAACAGAAAACUUUUUGAUGAAAUCUAAAAUACUUUGUGGGCAAGGCUUUCAGAUGGGAUAAUUGCAGGUAACUGAGCUACCGUUUCACUCUGAGGCCAGCCAUGUGAGUCCCUCGCCAUGGCUUCAUCUUAGGACCAGGGAGCAGAAAGCACAGUCCUUUCUCACCUAAUUUGCUAAGUUCUGUUAUUCAUCAGAGAAUCUACCUUUUUAGUUGACUUUGUCUCUUAACCAUGCUUCUUUUCAAAUUCUGAUUUUUAAGGAAGUGAUGUUUCUUUUUUACUCAUUAAUGAGUAUGACGUACAAGAGUCUCUUGAUUUCUUGAGUAAUAUGUAAUUUAAAAUUUGCAGCUUUCUAGGUUUUUUCCUGAUGAUGUCUCAUUAGGUACUAUUUAAAUUGACUUAGGUCAUUUAGAUUACAGGCCUUAGAUUCGUGUCUCCUGGGUAGGUUGAGUUUGUCUUGACUUUUAUGCCUACUUGGCCUUCCUCACACAGGCAAGAUGAGGUCACCGCGUUCUACUGUUUUUUGUUAAUUCUUGAACAGUUAGGCAGGGCGAGGGAGUGAGAAAAACCCCUGAUUCAACCACCUGUUGACAGAAUUUGAGUCCUAGUUCGUCACUCACUAGUGCAUUAGUUAGGACAAAUUAGUUUAUUUGUACAAAAUGAGUUAAAUACUAGCUGUUUCACAUUGUCGAUAACUGACUGAGAUGGUGUCAUUGGAAGUGCUUAAUGCUGUUAUUGUUACAGAUGCUUUUUCAUGGGAAGCUGAGGGAUGUACAUGGAGGUAGUGCUUAGAUCGUUAUCAGAAAAAUAUUAGAUACCAGAGUUCCUGAACAAGGGAAGGACUAGACCAUUCUUUGUUAAAGUUAUUUGAAUUUUUCAUUUUAUUUUGCCCCACUUUUACCUUCAAGUCUUACCCAAAGGUCUUUGCCCACUCCAUUGUCCUGAAAUAUUUCCCUUUUCUUAAAAAAUUUUUUUUCAUGUUUCAAGUCUUACAUUUAAAUCUGUAUUCCAUUUUGAGGCUUUUUUUGUAUGUGGUAAGAGAGAGUGGUCUGGUUUCAUUCUUCUGGAUGUAUAUGUCUAACUUUCCCAUCACUUUUUGUUGAAGAGACUUAGCAUCCAGUGUUUCUGAUAUUUUGUCAAAGAUAACUUGGCUAUCGAUGACUGGGUUUAUUUCUAGGCUUUCUGUUUGUUCCACUGGCUUAUAUGUUGUUUUUAUGCCCAUGCUAUGUUGUUUUGGUUACUGUGGUUCAGUAAUAUAUUUUAAAGUCAGGUAUUGUGAUGCCUCUUGUAUUGUUCUUUUUGCUCAGAAUAAUUUUGGCUAUUUUGUGUUUCUUGUGCUUCCAUAAAUCUUAGGAUUGCUUUUUUCUAGUUCUGUGAUCAGUAGCAUUGGUAUUUUAAUAGAUUGUAUUACAUCUAUAGAUUGUUUUGGAUUAUAUGGGCAUUUAUCAACCUUCAACUCACAAAAGAUAUAGGUCAUGGAUAUCUCUCUCUCCUCUUCAAUUUCUUUCAUCAAUGUUUUAUAAUGUAUAUUACAGAGAUCUUUCGCCUCUGGUUAAAUUUAUUUGGACACCAAAGAUAUGAACUGUCAUGCCACCAAAAUGUAAUCGCUUGGUGGUUCUUAGCUGGUAACUUGGAGGUUGAAUAUAUUUAGGAUUUCUGGAAAAGGUAAAUUUGAAAAGAGACCACAGAGUUUAUCUAAUUAAGAAAUUAACUGAGGCUGAGAAUGACUGGGAACUAGAAAAAAGCAAUGGUGAGCGUAGUGCCUGGUACAAAAUCAAUGGUGAGUGUUUGUUGAAUGAAUAAAUGGAUGCAAUACAGAGAACUUGUAGCACUGAGGCUGUAUUUCAGGUUAACAAUCACUCCUGGAAAAGCCUGCCCUCUGGAAAAGAAUAGUCUUCACUCGGCCCAUUUGUUCUACAGAGUAUGUUUCCCUGGCUCAGGAAAUUGAGAGUGGCUCAGAUAAGAUGUUACAUAAACACCUUUAUUCUUAUGUCACUUUGGUUUCAUUGUAGGCCACUGUUUAAUAAAUCAUAAAAAUGUUUAGUUUCAUCUUAGAAUCUAAGAGUAGAACUCUGUCUGAAUUCUUUGACAGUAAACUAAGUUAGAUGUAUGUAUCCAAUAAGAGUAAUGAUUACUUUACCUGUUCUUUCUCCUGAACCACUACAGAAUGACAUUCGGUUUUAAUAAGGUUGUGACUUAGGUCAUCAUGUCUUUAUUUCUUGGACCUUUGAUUGACUACAUUUUAACUUAACCUGUUGGUCUUCCAUGUUGAUCUCUGGCUUAGAGUGUAGAGUGUAAUUUUUGAUUUAAGCAGCAAACUGAGAUAGACUCAUUUCUUGGCCAUUUCAUGGUGCAUAUCAUGACACACAUGUCCAGUUUAGGUUCUGUCGGUGUGGACAGUGACUGCAGGUAGUAAGACAUUCUCAGCCCUCCAUAGCUCUUUGCUCUACUUCCUGUAACACCAACACCACCACAUGGAUUAAUAUUUGAAUAGGAUGUACCUGGUUUUAAAAGUACUCAGAAUUGCUUCAGGAGACUGGUUGUAAAACUCUGUACAUGGUGCCGAGUGCCUUAAGGUGCUUCACUCAAUAAUCACUGGAAACUUACUCUAGUGGGAGGUUUGGGAAGUUUGUGAAUUGGUUGAUGUUUGAGGCACAGAUUAAAAAGUUUACCUGUACGACUGAUUUAGAUGACAGAUUAAUUUUAAGGUUUAAAUGACAGAUUAAUUUUAUGUUUGCAGUGUGAACCAUUUGGAACUGCUCAAACUUUAGCUGCUUCUGCUGCAGUUAUAAAUUUGAAGUCAGCUUUGUUCUGUCUUCCAGGAGUAAAGCAACUGAGAUAUAAUUGAAAUAACUUUCUGAAGCUCAGGAUCUGGCAGGAACUAAGGAAGUUCUGUAAGCUCUCAGAUUCUUUCAGGCCCAGCCUUGUGUUCGUCCACUAGACCAUGGGGCCUGUAUGGUAGGUGAAAGUGUAAACAUACAAACCGGUGUUUCUGAAGCCCGUGGAAUUGCAUGUCUCUUGUUCCUAUAUAGUACAGUGUUUCAUAGUGGAGUGCAUAAUGUGCAGAGCUGAAAGAAGUAUUUAUAUGCAGCCUGUCAGAGGUAUGCUUGGUAUGAAAACCAUAAGUGAUUUGCCUCACUGGUUUGUUUAAAAUUCUCAAGCAUAUUGCUAUAUUAACAUAGCCUUUUUUACUGACUCUCUUGUAUAUUGGGGGGUGAGCAUGUGGUGAAUGAAAUAAAUACACUGGAGUUGAUCCUCAUCAAGAAAAGCAUAUCAUAUUUGUGUGUGGCUGUGUUCCUUCUGCGUGGAAAAAGGCCUCGACAUGUAAUGAGUUACUAAUGCAUGUGAGACCCUGUGUCUCCCCAGAACCCCGUGUUGUCUUGUUGCUCUAGAGUUCUAUAUAUUGCAGUGAUGACAUCCUGCAGUUGGUGCAUUGACGCUGACCAUGCCAGGUGUGCGAGAGGUUAUUGGAAGAGUGGCUGUUGGAACAUUAACUCCAGAUUCCCUGACUUGUUGUGUGAUGAAAAUACUUUGUGAAGUUAAACCAGUAUCAAAAGCAAGUGAAAAAAUACAAUUUUUGGAAGAAAAAUCAUGUGUGCAAUACUAGGGAAUUUCUUUAUUUGCUAUCCUUUGCCCUGAUGUAAAUGCACUCAUUUUUCAGUAGUUCCCUAUUCUGAAGUCAACUGGGAGACUGCAUCCACAGUGAGGGUUCUUGGUAACUAGGGCAACCUGCAUGUGGGCUUGCCCGUGUGCCAUCUUUAAAACAAUUUUCCUUCCCACCUGAUCCUCCUUGGAAACAUGUUGGGGCUGGGAGAGAGUUUUAAUGCCGAAUACAGUAACUGUCUUGCUUGUUUGUUUGUUUUGUAUUAAAUGAAGAAGAUAAAAGCCUGGGUUGAUAAGGAUGAGAGAUCAAAUUCUCGUGUCAUCACUCAUAUAAAGUGAAAAAUACAACCUUGUUCUCUAUACACUUGUGUGUUUCUUUCUCUCUGAUUUAAUCUCAUUGUAGUGAUAUAAGACAAGCAAGCCAGGCUUGAUAUGUGGCCAGUAAGUGAAAUCUAAAUUUUCCAACUUUGGUAUUUGGGUCUUUGAUAAAAUAUGAUUCAACAAGUUACUCCUUUCUUAAGGGACCUGAGGGUAUAAGAAAAGAAUUUCUCUUACGGAAUCAAAAAGUGAGCUCCACAAAAUUGCUUCACUCUCAAAUCUGUAUGUUUUCUCAGUAAAGCAGCUUGCUUCUGGGUUCAGGGACCUGAGAUGCAGUUUUACCCACUUGAAGACUCUCUGUGUUCAGCUCAAUUAGAUUAAUUUACCGUCCUCAUUGGGAUUCACAGUGUUUUGCAGUUUAUCUGCAGUAACCACCUGUUGGUUAUGCAAGCAAAGGUACUAUUAUUGGUCACUAAAGGCCAUGGGUUCUUUUGAAUGAAUGGAGAACCUUAACCCUUUCUUUCUUUCUUUCUUUCUUUCUUUCUUUCUUUCUUUCUUUCUUUCUUUCUUUCUUUCUUUCUUUCUUUCUUUCUUUCUUUCUUUUUCUACCAGGUAUUGAACUCACGGCCUCACACUUGCCACACAGGUGCUGUGCCACUGAACUAUAUUCCCGGCCCUAACCAUCACUAUUACAGAUGAAAUAUGGGAUAUCAAAUUGAGUUUUGUGAGACUUCUGUACUUUAAAGAGAAUUGUCAUUUGUCUUCUGUAUCUAUACCAUCUUGGCUUGGUGUCUCCAUAAGCAAUUUGGGAGGUUCCAUAACAGAACAUAUUAUUUUCUGUAUCUCUUGGAGUUAUGGCUUACUUUCUCUUCUCUUGAUUUCUAGAUAGAGGUUAUUCAGUGAUUAUCUUUUGGUAAUUUGCAUUGAAACGUAACCUGGGUGGGAUAUGGUUGUAUCAUCAUGGCUGACCAGACGUCCAGGACAGAGUCCUCACCCUUUAACAGCCUUAGCAUGAAGCAGUAUUUCUGAUACACAGUGAAGCAAGAUCAAGAACCCUUUGGAAUCUUCAGUGAUCACAGCUAAUCUCUUAAUCUCUCUUUCUCCUCCCUUUUGUCCCUCUCCAUCAGAAGACAAACAAGAAGCCCUAAUUUUGAUUAAGAUAAUUAUUUAUAGAGUUAGAAACUGAAGAUGGUCUAUGAAUCUAAUCCUUUCCAGAAUCUUAGUGUUGCAGGAAUUCUCAGUCACCAACCUUUGUGCUGAGGUAGAUAAAGAGGGUGGUGGGGGACCACAGUUCAAAGCAUGACUAAUUCCGAGCAUGACUGGCAGGCCUGGGACACAUCUUCAAUAUAACAACAGUGGUAACAACAGGAUUAUCCACAUGCAAAUGCCAGGUUAUUUUGCAGUUCUUUAUUUCAUGUUAGAGGUAAGGGCAAACCAUUAAAUUCUAUUUACCAGUAUGUUUAUGUGUCUGCUGUGCCAUUUUCUAGGUACUAGUUGGAAAGAACAAAAUCAACAUUUUCUACUUUUGCAGAGUUGAUGUGUUAGCUGUGAAGACACUGUAAGUAAAUGAAGUGAAUGAGAUACAAAUGAGGUUAAAAAGUGAAACUACUGUAGAGAAAUGUCAGACGAGGGAGAAGAAGGAAGGUGGGGGAGGUUUUUAUGGUACUAAUAUUAGGAUCAGAGUAGUUGCCUAAGUGAAAAAGUAUUCAUGAAAUAACCUGAAGGAGGUGAGAGGGUGACCAUCUCGGAGAACAGCACUCCUGGGAGAGUGACCUCUAGGACAGGGGACACUGAGGUGAUAGCCUGCUUCAUAUGGUGUAAUUGGAAUGAGGCUGCUGGCUGUAGGAGGAGGAAGAGGGUGAGGGGAGACAGUGCUAGCACCAUGACUGGGCAUUUCCUCAAGGGAGAUGCAGAGUCACUCCAGAUUAGGCAGAAGAGUGACAUGAUGGGUGGAUACUUUAAUCGCAUCUCUCUGGGUGCUGUGUUCAGAAUACACUAACAUGAACAAGGCUAGAAGCAGGGAAACUGAUUGGAAGGAUAUUAUAAUAAUCUAGUGACAAGACAGUGGUCCUGCCCUGGCAGUAACUGUGAAGGUGGUGAGGAAUGGUAGAAUUCUGGGUAUAUAAUAGAGGUAAGGUCAACAGGUUUGAGUUUGAGGCAUGAGAAAAAGAAGUCAAGGAUGACUCUAGAAGUAGAUCUCAGCAACUGGGAGAAUUUGGUUAUCAUUCACAGAAAAGAGGCUGAGAAGCGAGAGUAGAUUCUGGAGGGUGGUGGAAAUCAAGGAUCUUGGUUUUGGCUAUGAGAAUUUGAGGUGCUGUUAGACUUCAGAAUAGUUGUCUGCAGCAGACAGUUGUUAGUUUUCAAGUCUGGAAUUCAAGGGAGAGGUCAGGACUGAAGACAGGCACUUGGGAAUGUUCAGGGUGUGGGUGGCAUCAAAGCAAUGGACUCAUGUCUGAGAACCAGUAAAGGAAACUGAGAAGGUGUGCAGUAAGUGAAAAGGUAGCAGAUGGUGCUGGAAGCUAAGCCAGAGUGUUCCAGUGAGCAGGGAGCAACGUCUCUGUGCAGUGUUGUGUAGGUGAAAAACAGUUGUAUCAACUGGUCAGGAGUUCAAACCCGGAAGUGACUCCCAGGCCUGUGCCUGGGAAGUAGCUAGGCAGUGCGCAGUUAGGUUCCCUGUCGUUCCACCAGCAGAGUCCUGUGGCCAUGCCUGCCUCUGUGCUCUGUGUUGCUUGUCAUGGUGUGCUCUUUGCACUGGUGAUGGAUCUGUGAGUAUUUUCCCUUGUUCAGUAUAGUAGCAGCAACAUCCCAUAUUUCCGUGAUUUCGUUUGUCUGAAAAAUGUUCAUUUCUUAUCUUCUAUGUAGAUGUUAUAGAACAUUAUGUAGAUGUGAUAGAACAAAAGAAAAAAAAGGUUAAAACUAUUAACAAUAAUCCCGUCACUCAGAAGUGACUAUGCUCACAAAUUGACAUAUAGCCUAAACUUUUUUCAGCCGUGUAUGUAAAUUCACUAUUUUUUUCAAAAUAUGAUUUUGAAUAUUUUAGAACCCUUUUAGCCAACAAUAAAUAUUAUGAAGAUUUAUCAUUAUGUACAUAUUUAUAUAUUUAUUUUAUGAAAAUCAUGCCUGUGUAUUUAUAAUACAGUAUAGUUUACCAAGGACAGGGCAAUAAAUAACAGUCUAUUCCCAUGAGAAUUAAUCCCUAACUAGAACAAUUAGUCCAGAAAUAUUGUUAUAUUAACACUACUAUAUUCACUGAGUCUCGGCACAUAAGAGGCACUGUUGCCUAGGGUUUUAGUUAUAUAAUGUCAUUUAAUUCUCACAGCAACCCUGGGAGGAAGAUAGCAUUAUUAUCUCUAUUUCUGUAGGUGGGACCCUGGGAGAUUAAGACCCUUUUUCUUGGUUAUGAUACUGUAGGUAGGUGUUAGACAGAUACGGACUGAAUAGGGCUCCACAGCCCAUAGCAUCCCUCGCUGUCCAUUUCUUUCUUCGUACUGUAUUUUUAUGUUUGAUCCCAAGCUAAACUUUCCCAUCAGUUGCCUUCCUUUCCACAGUCUUCAUAGGGCCAGCAGGCGGCCAUAGUGGUGGCAAGUGCUAGGAACUGGGUUGUUGCUUUUUAUUUAUCUGUGGUUCAUAAGACAGCAUAUAGAAAACUAGAGUUUUGUCCCUCUAGGUUUGCUUUGUUACAAAUAAAAAGUUCUCUGUCUAAAAGGUGCCUGGCCAUACUGAUCCUCUUUGAGCUAAAAAAAACAAAAACAAAAACAAAAAAACAAGUAAUUUUCCCUAAGUAGUUAACCUAUGUGUUUGUUUCUUUACAGAUUGUUGAAUGCAUUAGGUACACACUUUAUGUAGGCUUAAUAUUUAAACAUGUCAGUGCUUUUUGUGAUUUCCUUUUAAAACUGCUGUAUACCUUAAUCUUUUUAGAUAUUCUUACAUUAGGAUAAACAUAAUACAUAGCAUAUAACAUGUAAGUAAGUAACAUAUAAUACAUGGCAUAACUUUGUGCCUGUGAUAGAGCUGUGUUUAACAUGUAACAUCUAGCAGUAGUUAAAAAGGUGAAAAGCUGAGUGAGUGACAGAAAUACCAGAUUCUUUGUGUUGGAUUUGUGCUGUUUUUUUUUUUUUUUUUGAAACAAGGUCUUACUGUGUAGUUUGGACUGGCCUAAGCUCACGGUGAUUCUCCUGCCUCAGCCUCCAGAGUAUGACACCACACCGAGCUGAAGUCAUUGUUUUUGAAAUCACUGCUCUGGUAUUUACAAAAUCAGUAUGUUACAGUGAGCGUUACAGUGAGCAUAAGAAGGAACUCCUAUAUUUCUAAUGCUUCUGUUAUAUGUAAGUAGAGAAACAUGAUUGAUUACCUCAGUAAGAAACUAGAUGAGCUUCAAAGCAAUACUGUAAGUGAAAAUUUCCAUGCAAAUGAUGGUAUUAUUAUCUUUUCAGGCACUCAAUCAUAUGAAGUGCAAAUAACUACUAGUACUGAUUGUUAGAUUAAAUGAGAGUUUUGUCUUUAUUGAAAAAGUGGAUGAAUGCUGUUAUUGAACCUUCCAGUUUUUAAUUCAGCAUAAAAAUAAUGCUUAAAUACUGCUACCUUAAACAUGUUUCUUAGUGGACCUGUGACCACUGACUACAAAACUGGUUCAACUAUUUCUCUGAUUCUUUUCUUCUAAUCAGACUUUUGCUUCUCAGAAUAUGGUAGACUUUGGAACUGUGCAUUUUAGUGGUGAUCUUGUGAUUCUGUUUCUUUUUCUAUUCUGAACUUAUUCUUUAAUUUUGUAUCUAGAGUGAGGACAGUAUGCAAGCACUGCUGUAGUAACUAGUUAAUCUGAGCCUUUUCCUUAGACACUAAUUGUGUGGAUUAUGGAACCUUACUAUUUAGGGCAAUAAAUUAAACUUGUAGAAUUAUCCUUAUCAUUCAUAUUACUGUAUUGAGACCUCACUUUAUGUGUGUGAAAGCAUUCAUUCCUAUCCAUAAGGGGAAAAGUCAUUCCAUAUGAAUUAUAUCUUCUUAGUUAUAUGUACAUAAAUUCUGCGUGAACAAAUAAUAGUUUCAAAAAUGAAACAUUAUUUCAGUUAAUUAUAGAAGUUCUGGGCAAGUUCGGAGAUAAUGAUCUGAACCCAGAGUUCAGAGCUGGGAGUGUAACUCAGCAGUCAAGUGCUUGCCUAAUGUAUUUGAGGCCCUGGGUUCCAUCUCAGAUACACACACACACACACACACACACAUUAAAAUCAUAAAACCUAGAGUUCAUGUAAGGAUUGUGGUUUAUAAAACUACUCUAUAUACUGUUUUAGAAAUAUGGUUUAUAGUUUAUUUUGAGCUUGAUUUAUGAACAGAAGUAUUAAUUUCCUUUAUUAAAGCUGAACGAUUUCUCCCCUCAUCUUUCCUCAGAACUUGUCUCUUUUUUCUUUUAAUAAGUGGGGAGUAUGGAACAUACUGUCCAUUUCUCUUCCUUCCAAUGUUAGAUUUCAGACUAAUUAACAGAAUAAAGCAAGCAUCUUUCAAAAACUUGACUUUUAGUACUUGGAUAUAUAUCAUCAGAGCCAUUAAAAAGAACAUGAUGUUUAGUGUGUGUCUCCUCCCAGCAAGCAGAACCUUCCCGUGGCUGUUCCCAGUGUCCCCGGAGGCCAAAUACAGCUCCCAGGACAAAUCUUGUCCCUAGAUAGCUUUUAAAAAUACGUUAAAAAACUUGUCCAUCUGACAUAGUCCUCCUCUUUUUUGGUGACGUUCCAAAGCUUAGAAGAGUUAACCUUUCUAAAGUAGAAUUUAUUAGCUUAAAAAAAGUGUUUUAAUCUUAGUGUAAGUUGUGAAUAGACACUGAAAAUUUCAUAGAAUUUUUUCCAGAUAGCUUGAACACAGUCGUUUUUUGAAUUUGUUUUGUUUGUUUGUUUGUUUUUAUUAAGGCCUCAAACCCUUCAAUGCUGAAAUUUGGGAAUAAGACUACAGAAAAGAGACCAGACAUGGAACAUUUGGGCAGUUAUUGGUCAAGAAGUCAGCAGUAACAGCCUUCAGUCCUUAUCCUGACUGUUGCUUAUUAGAGAAAGGGAGAAGCUCAUGGUUGCCUGCCACGGCCCUUGAGAGAAAGGACAAUUAGUUAAGAACAUUCUGUUUUGUUUUGUGAAUAGUUCCAGAAGAGGAGUUUAGGCAUGAGUGUGCUUCCCCUUAUGGACUUUUCUGAUGUACUCGAGGAUAAGAGUACCCUCCUUGGAGUCUUUUCCUGGUGACAGGGUGACAUGCUGUGUAGGGUAUGCUCAGCAUAGUGCCUGACACACUGUCACUGGACCAGAAGUGUCACUGUUGCCAUUGUCAUCAUCAUUAAUCCCUAUUACCGUCAGAUGCUUAACUGUGAAUCUAGCAUUUUCUCAUCCCCAGGGGGAUGCAUUGUGUUGUAUCUCAGAAAGGCAUCUAGUGAAAAGAUACUCUUAAAUAAAAAGGAAACACCGUCCCACUUUAAAACUUGUUUUACUUUCUAUUAGGGAAGUCAUAUGUAUUUAUUCAUGUCCUGUGAUGUUGCUGAGCACCUGUGUUGAGCGAGGCACUUUGUUAGGUGCCGAAGAUGUGAAGAUGAGAAAGCAACCCUGCUUCCUACGCUUCAUUCAGGCAGCUGGAGCAAAGCACUGAACCAUCGCCUGCGCAGCUUUCACAGCAGACACUCACACCUCUGCAGGCUGGAAGUCCAAGACCGAGGAGCCUUCAGAUUCAGUUCCCGGCUGGCAGAUAGCUUCCUUCAUGUUGCGUCCUCGUUGGCCAAGAGAGGGAGGAAAAAUAAUCCCUCAUGCAUCUCUCUAAAGGGCACCAAUCCCAUUGUAACAUCACCUGCAGAUAUCCCAAAUGUUGCGGAUUAUGACUUCAGUGGAGACUGAAGAGAUUUGGACCAUCACAGGGCGUUUAAACUUUCUUUGAGCUUGAGACAAGUAAAGAGGCAGCUGCUAUGCUAAAUAGUUAUAAAAUACAGCGCGGGCCUCAGCACAGACUUGGAGAGCCAUGGACACCUGGAGAGUCAUUGAAGCUGGGACUUCAUGAGGAGCAGUAGAGAGGCCAGGAGAACAGAGGAGCAGUGUGCGCACUAGGCUGGGGCAGGGCGAGCACGGCACAUUGGAGGAGCUCGGUGGUGCAUGCUUCUGGAGUGUGAGGUCAGGAUGUGGAAGUGGGAGAGGAGGAGGCAGGAGCUUGCAAGCCUUGGAAAGGAGAAGGGAAAGAAACAGGGGAAGGACAUGUUGACAUUGAUCUUUUGGAAAGAUCAUCCUAGCCACAUUGUGGAAGCACAAUUGGAGAGAGCCAGACGGGGCCCAAGUGGAAAGGGCUUUGAAUAGUCCAGGGGAGAGAUGAUGAGGCCCUGGGCCAGCUCGGAGAUGCUGUACAUGAUGACCAUCGGAUAUCAUUCAUGUCCUGCACAUAAGAAUACUUAUGAUGCCAGACACUGCUCUGAAGGCCUCUCCGGUGUAUACUCAUUUAACCCCCCAAACUGUCUUUAGGGAUAUGUACUACUCUUACUUCAGCUGGACAGGUAAGGACUAGGAAUAUGUUUAGUCAUGUAAUUGUAAAUGGUAGGACCAGGAUUGGAACCCAGAUAGAUUGGCUCUUGACCACAGUAUAUAGUGACCUAAUUCAAGACCUUUUUAGGACGUAGAAUGGACAGGACUGGUGGUGAGUUUAAAGAUUGGUGAUGACCCAAGGAAAAACUAGUUUUUGGUUGGGGCAUCCAGCUAAAUGUUGGUGGCUGUCACUGAAGUGGGGAAUACUUGGUGGGAAUAGACUUGUGGUUGGGUUAGGUGAGAGAUCCAUCUGGGUAUUCCUGACAAGUGACUUUCCAGUGGAAAUAUAUAGGACGAGGCUCAAGAGAGAGAUCCAAAGUGGACUAUAGAUUUAGACAGCAGCCUUGUGUAGGUGGUAAUGAAAAUUACAGGAGCCAGUAAGGUUGCUCAGAGGGAGAAAACAAGAGGGGCUGGAAGAGAAGAAACAAGAGGAAGUGCAGUGCAAAGGAGACAGGCCGCAGAGAGCUGGGGCUGGACGCGGCGUAGGAGGGCGUGUGCCAGGAGCUGAGGAAGACCACAUUCGGAGGAAGGGGCGCAGGCUGUCUGUGUACUGCCGUUGGAAAGAUUGAGGGGCGACCAUCGAAUUCAGUGGAAGUAGGUCACCUGGUGACUCCACAGAGCUGGUUCCUUGACCUAAUGCGUGUGAAGCUGAAAGUGCAUGGGGUACAGGCAGACCGGGAGGCAAGCCUAGGGGGCAGCCAGGGGGUUAUUUCAAGCAAGGCAGCAGGUGGGCUUAGAUUCUGAUGGGCAGACCGGCCCCAGAGGAGGCUGGCAAGGUGAGGCGCCAGAGCUGGUGGGGCCAGGGGGCUGGAGAUCCCUGCAGAGCUGAGGCCUUGGCCUCUCGCUGGGCGAUGAGCUGGCAGGAGAUGAGGGCCACUGAAAUUGAAAGGUAGCAAGGCCAAAUUUCUGUGCCUAGAGGGAUAAAAAAAUCCCUCUGGCAGGGGACAAGGGGAUCGCAGUAGAUGUCAGGAGGAAGGCAAACUCUAGGAACUGGCUUAUUCUAGCAUACAAUUAAUUGGUUUGUUGACCCUUUGAAGCCUCAAGGUUGUCAUCAGCCAGUAAAAUCUUGUUGAGCUUUGUUUUUCUAUUGCUGAUAUCAUUAAAAGUGUAACAAUCUGAGAAGUUUAGAUUUAUUCAAAAUGACCUUUAAAACUACUGUCCUGCUCUGGAGAUCUUUAAACAGCCUGGUAAGAAACCUCAGCUGCCAUCCUCUAUCGGGAAUCUGAGAGACUGAGUGUCAGCACAGAGGAGCUCCUUAGGCAGGGGCGUGGGGCCCACUGGAGAAGAAGUGGGUUAGGGUUAGAGUUAUCUGCAUGUGUGCCCCUAAAUUUUUACCUGUAUAAGGCUGCUUCUUCAUCCUCAUUCUGCAGCUGGUACUUUAUGUCUAAUAUAGGACAGGCUUGAAAAAGACUUCCUGUCUCCAGUGUGACUUGUCUCCAGCUCAGAAUCACCCUUUCUCUGUGGUUCUCAUCUGAGCCUUCCCUCCUGUGUUUCCCCUCUCUCUGUCCAGGUUCCUCUGGACAGAAGCUUGGGCUUCUUAGCUUGUGUCAACCUUGGAGAUUACUCUGGAGUACUACCCCAGCUGGGUGCCUAUUAUCCUAGAAUUCUGGGAGGCUGAGGCAAGAGGAUUGCAAGUCCAUGACCAGCUUGUGAGACCCUGUCUCAAAAUAAAAAGUGAAAAAGAGCUAGGAAUAUAGUUCAGCGUGAAGGUCCUGGGUUUAAUCCCUAGAACCAAAAACAAACCUAGUACCAAAAAAACACUAUAAAUGACGUCCUGUCACCUUCAGGGUAGAGUUCUAAGAUCCAAGUCUCAGAGGUCUGUGGGUCUAAUAACCCCACCUCUCUGCAGCCUCUGAGUGUCACUGAGGAGAGAGGUUACAAGCAGCCCUGGUUGCAAGUACUCCUUAGCCCUUGAGUCUCAAGUAAAGGCAGUAAAGAAGAAAAAUUAGUCUUUGUUAUUUCAGAGUGGAAAUACAGCCCAAGCAAAUGUGUACUGUUUCAUUUAAAAAGAAAAGAAAAGGCUGGGGAUUUAGCUCAGUGGCACAAGCGCCUACCUGACAAGUUCAACGUGGAGAGUUCAAUCCCCGGUACCAAAAAUAAAGAAAGAAUGAAAAAAAGAAAAGAAAACACUGGUGUGCCUGCUGACUUGAUUUCAUGGUACAAAUUUUUUUUAAAAAAUUAAUAAUAGGGGCUGGGGAUUUAGCUCAGUGGCAUAAGCACCUGCCUUGCAAGCAGAUGGUUGUGAGUUCAAUCCCUGGUACCAGGAAAAAAAAAAUUAAUAAUAAUGAUAAUAAUAAAAAGCAGAAAGACUCUGCCUUAGCCUUGGUUCUUAAUUGUUAAAUGAGUGAAAAAUUUUGCCUGCUUUUAGAUAAAAGUGGAUUUAAAAUAAAACAAACCGAGCAGCCCCAAUUCCCACUCAAAUGUAAAACCCAGAUUUGUCACCACUUUGCAUUAGUCAUGUUGUCCAUUUGUUAAUGUUCAUGUUCCUGUCAUCGCACUGCUGUCCACAUUUUUAUUCUGAAAUACGUGUUGGGGCCGGGGAUUUACUCAGCAGCAUAAGCACCUGCCUUGCAAGCAUGCGGUCAUGAGUUCAAUCCCUGGUACCAAAGAAAACAAACCAAAACAAAACAAAAGACAUAGGUGUGAAACGGAGAAGCAUGGAGACAGAGGCCAGGGGGCUGGGUGCAAGGGCCCAUCUGGUUCAAAGGUAGCCUUGAACAAGUAACACCUCAGACUCUUCCAUAAGAAGUACUGCCUGGUCUAGAUUUUUGGUUUCUAUUUUUUUAGUAAAAGAGUAUAUAAUGUAUAAAACAGUACAGGGACCUAUACAAAAUGUCUAGGAACAUAGUACUUCUCAAGUAUAAACGGCUUCUCAAAUAUAAGCCUUCUAAAGUGUGUUCUUUCCCAGUAUAUUUUUCUAGGUAAAAAUUUAAACUUCACAUUCAACUUUCAGGGUAAGCAAAGGAUUGUUCUCUAAUAAAGCUAUUUUAUUUUAUACUCAAGCUCCUACCCUUUUUUGUAAGUCAGCACAAUUAUACCAUGAAGGUUCUGUUUUCAGGAGGCACACUGUCACAUUUCACUGUCACUCUAAUGACAGUAAAAUGUGUUGGAAUUUAGAUCAACUAUUUCUUAAUAGAAAUCUUAAUAGACCUAUUAAUUCAGUGUUUUAUAGCAAGAUGGUGAGACAUGGUCACAGGACCAUCUUCUGCCAUUGGUCCAGUCAUGGGGCAUCUAUUAUGUGCCACUUUUUCCAGAAAAUUCCCCUGCUGUGGACACAAGCCUCCAUCUUCCUGCUUAGCUCAUUUUGCGUGUGGAUCAGGGCUUGUAUCAGGCUGUCCUUUCAUUUAAGCUAUGUAAAGGUUUAUUUCUUUAAAUACACAUAUAUUAAUUGUUUUACUGAUUUUUCCACUCAAGUGCCUCAGCAGUGUUCAGUUUGUAACUUUGCAUAUUUGUCAUUAUUAUCAAUAUUCUAUUUUUGUUUUGUGGUGCUGGGGAUUGAACCCAGAAGAGAAUGCUGAGUGGUAUCCCCAGAAUUCCCUUUUGUUGUUGUUGUUGUUUUGUUUUGUUUUUUUACUUUGAAACAGCUUCUCCCUAAAUUGGCCAAGCUGGCCUCAAACUUGUGAUCCUUCUGCCUCCGCCUUCAUGUUCAUAUUAUCAUGCGCUAUACCUGACAUGUUAUGAAGUUUUCCAUGUGUGUAUUCCUGGGCUUCUCAACAGGACUAAAAGGUACAGUUCAGUGAGUGCUUGGGGAAUGGGCGGGCGCUGAGUGCGUGGAGGAGCAGGUGCUGGCAGAUGGGCUGCCCGGCUACAUGCUGACCCCUUGCUGGAAGCAGAGGGCCAACUUCACAUGGGUAUCCUCGAGUGAGGCCCAAGGUGUUCCAAGAAUAUUUAGUUGUUACUGCGUGUGUUUGUGUGGUAAUCUUUCGUGGUGGCUUGUCCAGCAUUUCUGUUUCUCCCUCCUGAGUGCUUAGUAGGAUUACCCUUUCCUACCCUUUGACUGGUGUUGGUCAUUCGGUUGGUUCAGAUGACUGACCAUAUCAGAAAGUCUGGGUUUGUGUAAAUGAGUUCUGGCUAGAAUUCCAAGUAGGAAAUGAUGUGCACCACUUCUUAGCCAGAAUGUGUAAUUGCUGAUCUGAAAGUGUCUGGAGUGAUCUUGUCCUGUUAGCAUGAUCAUUUACAACUCUGGUGGCUGAUCUGUCAGUUACUUUCUUCUUGCUCAGACAAAAUUGCAGACUCCCACAAGUUAAAAUACAAAAGGUUUAUUUUAGCUCACAGAUUGUAGAGGUUUCAGUACAUAGUCAGCUGGUUCCAAGGACAGCACAGGACAGAGGGGCAUAGCACAGAGAAACAGUCCAUGGCAAGGCAGGAAGGUAGAGCGUCACUUCCUUCUUUCCCUUUCUAAGCUAACCAGACUACAAGCAUAUUAGUUGGUGCCACCCACACCCAGGGUGCAUUUUCUCUUCUAAGUAAGUUUAUCCUUCACACACAGAACUAUGCCAGUCAGUGGGCCGAUCCAGUAUCACACAGUUCCUGAAGCCCCAGUUAUGAAGCACAUGAGGCUUUGUGGAAGCAUCUGUGUAUAACUUAUAACAAGCAGUGGCUCUCUAAAUGUUGACAAUAAAUACAGCCAUUGGAUCCCACCAACCCUGGGGACAAGUAGUGUGAAUAAGAAACAGAAAAGUGUGAUUUAAGCCUCUGGGGUUUGGAGGUUGGUCCUUUCCUCAGAAUUUAGCCUUUCCUGACUAUAUAGCAUUCUAUUUUCUCCCUGAAAGUUAUAACAUGCCUUUUGUUAUAUAAGGCAGCAUAGUGGUCAAGAGCCCAAACUCAGAAAACAAAUGUCCAGCUUUGGUUACUAGCUCUGUCAUGUACCAAUUUUGUGACCUGGAGUUCCUCGUGUGUAAAAUUGAGGAUUUAACCUGUAUUACAGAAUGGCUUUGAGAAUUUAAUGAAUUAAUAUUUGCAAAGAGAUUUGACCUAUAGUUAAGUGUUUGUUAAGUAAAGUAAAUAAAUGUACAAAAGAGCUGUGUGCAAACUUGAGGCCUCGCCUUUCUACAGGCAAGGAGGGUGAGCUCUCAACUGUGGCAAGUCAUGCUGCAGCUGGUUGGUGACUUGGAGCCCACAGCCCACCUAUACCUGAAACACUCCCAGUGCUGCUCAGCUGGGCAGACGUGGAGCCGGGCACGUAACCUGGCAUGGUAAAGGAAAGUUGCUGAGUGUGCACUGGGACUCAUGGUGUCUCUAAGGUCUAUUUUCAUGUCAUUGUCCUGUUUCUGCUUAGUCAUGACCCCUCAGAUCUGAACAAGCCUAUGGCAGUGGGUCCAGCUCUGCUCCUCCUGCCCCUCAUUCUGCUACCCAAAUCCAGCCUCGCAGAGGUAUUCCUAUGUGGCUAUUAGACACUUACCCCACACUUUAUAAGCAUCCAGUUCAUAGAUCUCACCCAUUUAUUUUGCCUCCAGACAAAAUGUAGGUAUACUCGAUUAAGUUAAUGUACCUCUGCGGUUUGUUCCAUUGUGUCAAUGUUUGUUACUUCAUCUAUUUUAGGAAACAAGCUCCGAGGCAGGCAUUUGGCAUAACUCAUUUAUACAGGGCUUAGUAAAAUGCUCUGAGGAAUUAGAGGCACCUAAUAAAUGCUUUGGACUUUUGAAUGAUGCUGUAAUCAUUUUAAUGAAGGCUGAUGUUGUGUGUGUUUAAACAAAUGGCAUGUUUUCCAGCAACAUUCUGGCAAAUUAGCAGCUUCUAAAUUAAAAAAAAUUCUCAGCUUAGAAAAUAAAGUUUUUAAACUGUGGCAAUGUGCAGUGAUUUAUUACUGAGCUGAUUUAAGAAAAGGCUGAAAUGCAAUGAUGGAAGCCAAAAUUUAACUUUUUUUGCUAUAUUUGUUUGUUUUCCAAAAAGUUGGUUGGCAUGGCAAGAGUUGGGUGGGAAAGAGGGUAAUUUCAAGGCGUUAUUGUGAAUUUAAUCCAUAUUUUAAAAUUAGUUAAAGCCCCUAUAUUAGGUUAGCAGAUGUGUUUGGCACCCCCUCCUCCCAUGCAUGGACCCUUUUCAUUAGGAACGUGUGCCUGAUAUGGUGCAGAUGGUAUUUAAGCUGCUCGGUAAUAUUUUCCACAACCUGUUUUUAGUAAUUAGUCUUGAAUUUGCUGGUUCAAAAUACUGGACUGUUGGCAACUUUGUAAACUAAGGAAAGUGAAAUGUGCUUAGUGUGCCAGCAGAGGGCAGUGUAAGUCAGUGCUUUUUUCAUUCACGCUGCUGUAGUUCUGCAAGAGCCAGAAUGUUCAUCAGUUUAAGAUGCAAUUUGAGAAUUCUUAAAAAAAAAUUAAUUGGGUAUGACAAAACUCUAAAAAAACAAUCCUUAAACGGAGCCACGGAACAUUCUCUAGUGAGAAAACAUUGUCCAGAACAGAUUAUAGCUGCAGUUCUAUUUUUAUUGAUUUAUUUAUCUUAUCAACAAAUGUCUUUAUAAGUCACUUUAUUAAUGCACUUAAAGACAUAUAUUUAAUUUUAUGAUUUUUCCUUAGCUCACUAGCAGACAGUAAUUUUUUAUUAUGUGUAUAAAGAUUUCAGUUACGUAUUUUUCUGCCAAAAGGUAAAAGUUAUUUCUGAGUUAUAUGGUCCAGUCGAGUGUCCACAACUUUAGAGAACAGCCGCAAAAGACUGCCUUCUGUUACAGUGUACUGUGCUCUACUGCCAGCAAUGUUGUGGUUUACGCAGAAUUUUUCUCACUACAAAUCCUGUGGGCCCACCCUACCUGUGGCCCAUUUAUCUCCUUAGUUUCUCUUCUCUAGGCCUUGCCUCCCCUUUCUGUCUUUGGCACAAUCUCCAGUAAGUCCUGCUCACUUUCUCUCUUUUAGCGUCUUGUCUCACAUGUCUCUCUUGUUAGGGAACGAACAGUUGUUUUUCCUCAAAAUCCAUGUGUUGAAGCCCUCACCCUCUAGGUGCUUAGCAGUGGAGCCUGGGAAGCAGUGAUAAAGUUUAAGUGAGGUCACAAGGGUAAGACCCUGAUUCCACAGGGCUGGUACUCCUAAAACAAGAGGGAAAUGUGAGAGGGCCUAUAAUCCCAGCACUGUGGGAGGCUGAGGCAUGAGGGUUCCAAGUUUGAACCCAACCUGAGCCAUUUAGUUAUAUAAUGAGACCCUGUCUCAAAAAUAAAAAGUUAAAAAGGGGCUGGGACUGUAGCUUAGUGCAGAGGCCCUAGUUUCAACCCCCAGUACCACGUGGGGAAGAAAAAAAGGAGGUACAGACACUAGAAUGCUUUCAGCCACAUGACACAGCACAAAGGCUGCUGACUUUAAGCCAGGAAGAGAGGCCUGACCAGCAGUUGGCCUUCUUGUCACUGUGACCUCGAUCUUCUGGCCACCAGCAUUGCUGUGCUGCUGAGACCAGCUGCUCUGUGGUUCUGGUUAUGGCAACCCAAGCUGAGUGGUUCACUUUUAUCUUUUAAGGAUUCCAAAGGAGACCUUGGCUGUACAUUUGAGGUAGCAGAGUCUGUUCUGGAGGACCAAGCUGAAGGCUAGAAGGGAAGGAACCGUGCCAGGGAGGAAUCUGGGGAAAGAGAGGUAGGGAGUUUCUCUAACUGGAAAUGUCCCACCUUGCAAGCACAUGGACAGCAAAGGUAAACCCAAGCACGUACUAGACAUUGGGCACCUCUUUGGGGUGCUAUAUUUUCUGGAUGGGCUUCAGUCUGGAUAGGACUUCAGAUGUAUGCCCAUGACUUUUCUCACCUCUAUCUUACCAAGGCAUAUUGGCAGGAAGUCAAGGCAGUGGAGGAAAGAGGGGUUUGUUAAAAGACCAGGAGCAGAAGCUUGAAGAAAGUGUAGGCAAAGCUGGUGUCUGCGCACAGGGCAGGCUUUGGAGCAGCUUGCCCAAAUUUCCUUUUUCUACAGAUUUCCAAAUGCCACGUUCCUAAUGGUUCAUUCUUCCCUUGGGGCAUUUUUAUAAGAUAAGCCACUACUUUUUACCAGAAUGUAAUCUGGAAACAUGUAAUAUGUGUGUGUGAGGGGGUGAGGCAGGUAAGUUAGCCGGUAUUUCAGCACGGAAGCCAGCCUUUCACACCACACAGCCGUGGGUAAAUCAGCCUCCAUUCUGAGGGAACAUUAGCAGAAAGGGAAGUACAGAUAUCAGGUAGCCAGGCAGCUAUUUGUUUUUGUAUUUUCUUGAUUAGAACAAAAUUUGUAACGUCUGUUGCCGUAGCGCAGACAGAACUUGGACUUCUUCUCACAGGAUUCCAUUGCUGAUUUCUAUAUAUUGCCAGGCAUUAUGGCCUUACUUUGUGUUGAACGUUUGUACUUCUUCCCACUUUUAAGACCAGGGGACAUUUGUCACUGGUUGAAAUGAUCUCAUUUAUGUGUUUAUACAAUUAUUGUCUGUAAAGUUCUUUUGCAGCACUGCAGAAGUCCGUUAGGACCGGGCACGGGGAUGUGUCUCCACAUUGAUGAUGUGCUUGUGAGAAGCAUUUCUGAAUACGUGUCCAGGCGACUGAAGGGGAAAGUGUGGGUUUUACAGAGCACUGAAUUCUUUCAUUCCUCUUUGGCUUCUGCUACCAUGCCAUUACUAUGUUUGUCAGUGUUCCUUCGUGUAAUCAUGAAUCACGGAAUCAUAGAAUCAUUACAUGAUCCAGCUAUGUAAUCAGCUUGCCUGUGGUGUUGCCACAGUGAGGCGCUACAGCGUUUCCAAAGCAGGCCCACAUCUGUCUGCUGGGGCUGUUCUGGGCUCAGGUGAAAUUAUGUGCAAAUACUGCACCGCCCUCGAAGUCCUCUUGUUUUCCUCUAAAGGACAUGUUCUUGCUAACCUUAUUAUAUAUCAGCAGAAAAGCCCACUGACCUCACUGCCUGUAGACCUGACUAGAUGCUGUUAACAUGAAAUUGUCAGCUAUCAGGAGGAACUGGUAGCAAAUUAAAAAGGUGUUUAAGUGACAACUGUAAAAGAGUCAAGUUUUUUAGACAAUCAUUUGAAAUUAUUCCAUCAGUACUUUUUUGGUUUUUCAACUCCAAAUUCACCAGUUCUGACGAAUGUUGGGGGGGUGGGGUGAUAAAGCAGAUUGAAGCACUGAAAUGCCCCAAAUAAAAAUGCUUCAAUUUAAAUUAAACACUUUUAAAACAAAGAUGCACCCUUUUGCCUUCUUCAAAUCCACAUGAUUACUAGAACAGCACCUGAUAGAAAUCUUUCAAGGAGCAUGCUUUUAAUAAAGAAAUUGCAGCUAAUAAUUGAUGAUUUGCUUCUAAAUGGAAAUUUGCAAAAGCAGCUUUAUGAAGUAGUGUAAGCAGUCUCUUCCCUUCUUAGAUUGUCUUUUUGCACUUAAAAUUGUUUGCUGGUUUCUGAACAGACAGUAUAACAUCAAAGAUCAAUUUCAACUAUGAGUUUUAACUAAGUGGAAACCAAAAUAAGUGAUGUCAUUCCUUAAAGCAAAGUCUGUGAGUCUCCAUUUUCUCCUUUGGCACUGGUUAGUGUGAUUCUUUACCUUCUGUCACCUAACACUGGUGUUAGAACUUAAAUUAGUCCUGCCAUGUUUUUAAAAAGUAACUUGAAGCUAAUUAAAGCUGGUAGUUUAAAUAUUAACUCUUAUUCAUUGAGUUCUCUUUAUAUAUUACAAUACAAUGCUUGGAUGUAUAUGACUGUAUUUGAGGUUAUAUCUAAUACUUCAGAAAUAUCAUCAAUGAGAGGAAAAAGAAUAUAUCAUAAAGAUUCCAAGAAUCUUAACUUCUUUGAACUGGGAGUUGAAUGUUACUGCAGGUACUUGUGUAAUAAUCUAUUGUAGCAAAAAAAAAUUUUUUUACCCGCAGUAACACAUUUGGACUCAUAAACUGUAAUGCCAAGUUGAUUUUACCAGUAUUUGACCUACUGACAUACUAAGAAAAAAGGUGUGAGUCCUUUAAGUCUCAUCAAUACAAUUAAAGGACACACUGUAACUUAAAAGAAGAGAAUAGUUUAUCUGGUUGGGCUACAUGCACAAUGACUAUUCUGACAGAGACCUGAAGGUUAAAACCCAAAAGUAAUAAAAUUUUACAUUAAACAUGUUUUCCUUUGAUUUCAUUUAUAUGUAUUUAAACUUACACUGAGAUCUUCAUUCAGUAUUCUUUUUUCCAGAUAAGUAUUGUUCAUUUUAAGACCACAUAAGAAAAUAAAGCUUUAUUUCACUUCUCUAAAACUGGAUUUAAUGGGAGUAAUGCUUAAAUAAAAAUCUAAACUAUUUUAAGAAUGUUCUCAGUGGUGAAAAUUGUUAUGGUAGCACAUUGUGAGCAAAGGAAAAUGCCUCAUAAAUACCUCAUUUAACAACUGUGGCUUUUAAUACUGGUGAAAAAUAACAUGACUUUUAGAGGAAAAUAUUAAAUGUUCAUGAAAAUACAGACUUCUGUUUGAGACAUAAUGAAAAAUUGAGGUUUAGUGUAAUAAAACACUAUUCUCGUAAGUGUGUAAAAAUAAGACUUACUCUGAUAGAAAGCAAGUAAUAAUUAUAAUUAACUUAACUAAAACAAAAAAAGUGUAUAUAAUCGGGAAAAAAAGUGACUAUGAAAAGAGGAAGACAAGUGGGGAUGAGGAGGUGUGGCUAAAAGGCAGGUAACGUGGUUUCAUUCCGGGUCCUAUCUAUCGCCAGUCUUACAGCCUUGGCUAAGUUAAGCAGCUGAGCCUCGUUCUUUCCUUCAGUGAAAUGGGAAUUACUGAGAAAAUUUUCCAGCUUGGAUGAGAUAAUUCCAACACACAGUGAGUUCUUAUUCAACUAAAUGGACUAGGAAGACAUUAACUGGUAUCAAUGCAUUAUAACCCUAAAAUAAUGUCCCUUUGGCAUGUAAACGAUCUGGAACUUACCUUUAAAAUUAACUAUAGAUUUGUAUGACUUUAUUUGGCAAUAUUUAAGGUUAUGAGAAAUGAAAUAAUGAACAAGUUAAGCAGUUAUUGAGGAAGCUGGGAAACAACACUAAAAUUUCACUGUGGACAUCAGCAUCUUUGAUAAGCAGAGAAGUUUGCUGAUGAAGAUGAUGAUGAUGGCAGUUAAUAUUGUCUGUAAGGUUUACUGGUUUAUAGAGUGUGCUAGGGACUGGGAGCUCUGUCCAGGCUGUGUCUUAUUUCAUCUUCUCUGCAGCCUGAUGCAGGAGAUUCAGUCGUUAAACUGAUUUUAAAGUUGGAGACAUUGGUUUUUAGAAAAGUUGAGACACUACCAGUAUCCACAGUGAGUACUGGGAUGGAAGCUUUGACAGGUUGGCUCUGAGAUUUGGCUCUGGACUGACAUCAGCAUUGGGAUGGAUUCAGGUGCUUGUGGUUUGCUUCUUGGGGACCAGAAUCCUACAUGGACUUCAAGAAACUUAGUUAAAAAGAAAUUCAGUGAUACAGUUGUAACAUUCCAGGGUCUGAAUGCCACGAUCAUACCACUGAAUUUCCUCCUCCAUAUCUCAGUCAGUUUUUCUGGUCUCAAAUUUUACUCCUUGAAGUCAGAAGAACCAAAAAGCUGCUCCUUCAGCAGUUCAGCGAAGUUUCUCAGCCUGAUCACCCAAUCAUUGCUUGCCAGUUCUGCCUUCCACAAAGUAUUGGAGUGGGAACACUUUUAGCCAAUUGUUUUGCCUCUCUGUAACAAGGAUUGCCCUUUCUCAUUGGCAGGUUCCAAAGCCACGCCCACACUCGUAUCCCCACCUCUCAGUGUCACUCUUUGUCUUAGUAAAGUGGCUAUAAUAAAGCCUCAAAGACUGGUCUUGUUUAUUUAUUAAUUUCACUUCUGGAGACGGAAAAGUUUGCGGUAAAGUUUCCAAAACAGUUGGCUUCUGUUGAGGAUCCCACAGUUGAGAUCCGUUGAUUUGUAGAUGACUGUUUUUGCUGUGUCCUGACUUAGAAAGAAGAAAGGGAGAAAGCAAGCUUCUUAGAGCACUAAUCGCAUCAUGAGAGGGGCUCCUGACUCAGUAACCUUCCCAGAUCUCAUUUCUGAACACUAUCGCAUUAAAGAUUAGGGUUUCAACACCUGUAUUUUGAAGAGAUACCUCUUACGGGACCUCACCUUUUCCUUCUUUUUAUGUGCAUGACUUUGAUAUAUAUGUGUGGAAUGUAUAUGGGUAAUAUAUAUGCACAGAAGAAGCUAUGGCUGCUUACAUUUAUUUCAGGUUUCAUUAGGUAUCUAGUACUAGUUUUGCUUUAAUUACUCUUUUAAAAUCUGUUUUCUGCAUUGCUCACUGGAAAGUAAUCUAAUUGUGAUAACGAAGUAUAUCCAAAUUGGGUAGCUUUUUCAUUCUUGUUGAAAGUUGAUAGUGGUUGAAAAAUAUGCUGUAUAUGUACAGUUCUAACAAUUUGACCAAUGCCCUAGCUUAAAGAUGUUGGUGAAAUCAUUACCUAAGAAAAAGAAAUUAACCAACUUAGUUUAAUACUGAAUUUAUUCUGAGAGAAGCUAGAUAAGCUCAUGUAAACAUCCAUUCCUUUUUUUUUUUUUUUAAAGAAAUACAUGAGACAACAAAAUACAAGUAGCAAAUGUGUGACAGGUAGAGAUUAUAGUGUGCCAGAAGAGGAGGACCAGACCUUACCCCUCCUAGGGAACGGUAGGAUACACUUUGGAAGCAGAAGGAAAAGGAGACAGUCCUUAAACAAGCCUGGCUAGACUUCCUCACAGGCACCUUUGACUUUGAUCACUGUGACAGGCAGCACUACCAUUAAAGUUGGAACUUACUGAGGUUUUCUUGUGUAAUUAGUGAAAGGAAAGAUGUGUUUGACAGUGGAAUCUCUUGGCUUAAUUACCUGAAACCUGGUCAUACAAUGGCAAGAAGAGACUCACCAGUAGCAUUUAUUGGUGUAUUGAUAAAUGUUCCUACAGGAUUUGGAAAGACAGUAGGAAAGCUAGCUCCUAAUAACAGAAUACCUCAUAAUCAAAAGAAAAUAUUGGAGAGAUUUCUAGAAAAAGGUAAAAUUUGGAGUUUAAAAAGUGAUAAAAGAUGUGGAACUGGGUAUCGGACAGAACUGCUCUCAGCUACCAGGUCCUUACAUGACCCCUUGCACAGUGAGCUGUAGUCAUAUAGAUGUUAAUCCUGAGUGGCCUUAAGCUCUCCCAGACCUACUGCAGACCCGGUGUGUAUGUGGGUGCGACAGGUGUCUUCUAAAGCUGGCAGGGAAGUAUCUACCGGGAAGCAGGUACCAUUCUGGGUAAUUGGUUGAAAGAAAUAAAAACCCUUUGUCAAACCUCUCUCUUCACAAAUUUACAAAAGGAGAAAACAGAGAAGAAAAAGAAUAUGAAUAAUGCUGACUAUUUUUCCCCUUUUAAAACUGACACUUAAAAAGUCUUGAAAAUAGUCAUUGAUCAAGGAAAACAAAAGAAAGGAAACAUCGCAAAGGUAAUAAAAAGGCUAGAUUUUCCUACCCUUUGUUCCUAUUAUGGACAGUUGGCCUCUUCCUGCAUUAUUCCUGAUUCGUAAUUGUGAGAAAAAUGAGAAAAGAUGUCACAUGACUAUUCUGAAGCUUACUGUCCUAUAUAAACAAGCUUUUAAACAAAUUCCUCUCUGCUUAAAAGAUUAAAUAUAUGAGGAGUCUCCAUUUUAUGUACCCACCACACACCCCAAAACUGGGGAGGUUGGUUAUUAAUGUGAACUAACAAUGUACUUCUGAACCAUGCUGUUUGUGGAAGUAAUACUGCUCCACUGUUCUGUUUAUUCCAUUCUGGUAAAUGUAAGUUUUCCUCAAAAAAAAAAAGGAAAAUACCCAAAAGCCAAUAAAGAAAAUCAGGAAUCACUUUUGAGGAUUAUUCCCAGAUAUGAUACAUAUACAUUUUGCCUUCUGAAGUGAAAGGGAAUGUGGCUUUUCAUUUUUAAAGGGCCUUUGAAUCAAGUCACUUGUCAAAAUUCACUUCCUAGGAUAUUUCUGGCUAGGGUAUUCUUGGAACCAAAAUCAGAUCUUUUUUUUUUUUUUAAAUCAACAAAAGCAUAUCUUAUCCAGCUUUUAAGGAUGAUGUUCACCAUUUAAUUGGAAGCUGCUGCAUACUUUUGUCUGUUUAUAAGGUAACCAUGUGACUUGUUGAAAAAAUAAAAACCUAGUUAAAUCUAUCACUUGGUAUCAUAAAACUAAUUGUUUAUAACAUUUGAUUGUUUUUUAAAACUUAAUUAAAUCAAAUUGAUUAGGAUAAAUUAUAAACUAAAGAGCAAACCCAUAAUGGAAUCUGUGUUUGCUGAAUGGUAGGAAAUUUCCCAGGGCACAUCACCCUUACAAUACUACUGCAAGAAAGUUGUUAACUCUUUUUAAAAUUCUUCUAAGGAUAUUUGUCAUCAUCAGAGGUAACCUUUUCUCUUGCUUCAGAUGUGUUAAGUCUUUGCACUUAUUAAUUCUUUUAUGUAGUGUUUGUAGUUUGUAGAAGGAAAUUGAUUUUCUUGUAAUGGGAAAAUCAUCGCUCCUAUUAUGACAUAAAACUUUAAUUUGAUGUCUCCUCUACUGACCCAAACUAAUUACAACAAAAACAUGUUAACAAAGUGAGUAAAGUUCUUUCUUUCAUGCAUCAAUUUUACUACUUAGGGCUCCCCCAGAAAGUCUUAAAUGAAGGUGCAGCUCUGUUACCCUGGGACCAUGUGAGUGGGUGAGUGUAUAUGUGUGUGUGUGUGUGAAGCAGCCACUGUGACAGGUUGUGAAAUAUAGAUGCUCAUGGUGAAACCUGAACUCCUCAGAUCAUCAACUUCUAAGGGGCAAAGAAAUAUUAAAGGGUUUUAUCAGUAAUGGUCAGAACACACAGCAGCUGAAAACAUUGGCAUUGCUUCCUCUUUAAUUUGAGCAGAUUGGAAUGCACCUCCCAAAAUCAAACGGAAAUAAUAAAAUUUUAAAACUUUUAUGGGUACCCAGCUCAGCUGCACCUGGCUGCCCUAAUUGCCUUCAACUGAGUCAUUACUGAGAAGGCAAGAUGUUUGGUUACCAACAGCCCUUAUUAAUGUAUAAUAGGAAUUUACUUGUAAAACAGAAUUAUUGGGAUGGCAUGAUGUCAUAAAGGCAGAGUGCUGACAUUUUAGAUUGUUUUAUAUAGGGAUGUUGAAUUGUAAUUUAGGAGUGGAAUAUCCUUUUGCUAAUUAAUCACAAUUUGGUACAACUUCAGUAUAGCUAGGCAUAUGAAUACAUAAAAUUUAUUAUCGUAAUACUUCUCUAUUAAAGACUGUAUUUGUGCAAAUGCAUGCAAUUCUCAUGAAUUAUCUAUGAGACAGAAAAAUCUUCUCUAGCAGUUUGCAGAUGUGCUAAGAGUGAGAACAGCAAAUGUAAAUAAAUGAAAUGUUUCAGCAAGACUGCUUUCCUGAUCUGUAAAAAUGUUGAAACCUUAAAAUUAUAAAAAUUCCUGCAAGUUUUUUUCUUGGUAUCAAUGAUGCAAGAAAUGGGAUACAUUAAUUUUACUGGACCUCAAGCUUAGAAUCUGUCAAUAUGGCUGUGUGAUUAAUGGGUACAGACGUUUACCUGCCUCAUAAAUAUAAUGGGCUUUGAUUACUGGGCUCAGUUUGCAGAGCAAUAGUUAACAUGAUGUCAACACUUCCAUUGUAAACUCCCUUUUCAGAGGGGUUUAUAACGUGGUCAUAAAAAAUCACUUGGGAUUAUACUUUGAAUAUGAGGUCUUAGUUUGCAGGAACAAAGAUAUUUUAAGGAAUUGAUUUAAGCGGUCCAUUUACCUAUUUGUAGGUUUAUGAAGACCUAAGCUGUAUAUAAAGAAUUCCAACUUUAUAUACCUUAAAGAGAAAUUUUUAAAGUCAUAAAUAUGGUCUCUUAUCACCUAUUUUGUUUAGUUUUUUUUAGGGAAAUACUCUGUGUUUAGAUAUUAGAGCAUUCAUUUUAAACUGGAAGGGAACAUUUUUAAACAUGACUAUGGUACAUAACAGAAAACACUUAAAAAUAAUUGUCUAUUAAUUCUCUGGGACUUCCUGUGAGUAAACUUAAGUCAUAUGUUUUAGGUCCUAAUCAAUAACAAUUUCAGGACAAGCAGGGCACAGUGGCACAUCUCUAUAGUCUCAGCUACCCAGAAGGCCAAAGCAGGAGCAUCACUUGAACUCGAGAGUUUGAAUCCAACCUGGGUGACACAGAUAGCAAGAUCUUAUCCGCUAAACUAAAAAAAUUGAAUUUUUUUGUUAAAAAUUCCAGGAGAAAAGAAUAGUAGGAAGUUGACCACUUUGGGUAAGAUGAAAAACAUCCUUUCUGAGUCGGAGCAUGUAUUGUCCUAACAAAAUAAAGUCGGCAAAGAUGGGAUCCUGCCUAUCAACAAAGAUUCUUGCCAAUCUUGUGUGACACCAUCAUGUCAUCAUUGCAUGAGAAUGCUGUCCAACACAGGGCCCAUCACCCUCAAAAGCUCGGGAUUUCCUGACUGGGUUAUAGAAGGAGUGAAGGAACCCUUACAAUUUUUAAUAGGUAGUACUCAAAAAGCAAAGACUCAGGAGACCAAGGUUAGCUAUGGUAAGGUGGAUGAAAAGCUGUGGUCAUAAUCCAGACUUUUGAAAUGGGUGUCCAGCUACCACAAUUUUCUUCCUGGUUAGCUAAAAAAUUUUUAAUUUUAAAAGUCAUCUCUGUAUUUUGUAGUGUUUCCAUAGCCAUUGGUUGGCCUAAUUGCGUGGAGGUUUUUGUGUUAAUUUGCUUUUGUCUUUUGGGGAGAUAGGGAGAUUGGGUUAUGGCAUAAAAUCAGUAAAGCAAGGAUCUGUUAAAUUCACAGUGAAACUGGGCAAGUUUUAGGUUUCCUUUUCCCCUAACUUUCUCUUCCUCCUCUGUCUCUCCUUUCUUCUUAGGAAAUGGGUAACAAAGUGUAAAAGGGAGACAGCAGGGCUCUUCUGAAUCUUCAGGAGGUAGCGCAAGCCUUACAUUGUGGCUGGUACAGACUGCACAUAUUCCAGACUGUCAUGCCUGGGAUAUUUAUCAUAGAACGUCCAUAAUGGUUUUCUCUCAUCAUUCAAAAGUCCUGGAAUGGAACAGGGUGUUUUCUUUAGGUUGUUCGGCCUGGUUUAAUCAAUUGCAUGCAAAUUGUAGAAGUAAUAGCUAUAACCUUUGGAUUACCGGCAUCAUCAUCAACUUGCUAGCCAGUGUGAGUACUAAUGCAAGGCCCCAAGUGAACUGGCCUUAUUUAUGUAACUGCUCACAUAAAGAGCUUCAGAAAUGGAUGACCAGAAGAUUAAGGGAGUGAUAGCAUUUACUGACCAAGUAGUGUCCAAGUUUGUAGCCAUAAAUUUUGAAAAACAAAAAAUAAUAUAGUGCCUGGCACUUUAUAUGUAAUGUGUAGUUUAGUGUUCACAACAACCCUGUGAAAUAAAAGGUAUAUUAUGCUCUUACAGAAUUGGAAAUAGAGCCUUAGAAAGUUUCCCUGUUUCCAAGGAUAUCAUAGACUGUGAGCUGGCAUGGGAACCUAGGCCUGUCUUAUUCAUAAAUCCACAGUGUUCCCAUUUUGCAUCAGCAACUCAGAGCUUAAGUGCUUAUUAGUAAAAUAUUCAUUCAUCCACUGAUUGGGUACUUAUUGAGUGCCCAUCAUGCAAUAGGCCUUGUGCAGAAUUUAGGCCUGCAGUACGAAUAAGAGAGCCUUCAAGGGUUUGUGAGUAGGACAGGCUGCUAGGAAGUAACUGGAAAGGCCUGCCUAGGUGUGAGAGCCACAUGACGGAUGUGAGCUGGGGCGGGCUGGGGGCAUUGAUCUUGAUUCAGGCAAAACUUGGGGGAGCAACCUGAAACAGGUUGAUGGAAGGGAAGGGACUGGAAUGGGGUGGCUAAUCCAGGAGGACAGCAGAUGCAAAGGAGGUGAGAGAGUUUUCAGUCAGGGAGAGGCUGGAGCCCUGCACAGGCAGCAACACUGGGAGGGCCGAGGAAUCCAGUCUGAAGAGUUCAGACUCCUCAGGGAUGUGGAGACUAUGAGAGGCUUUGAGCUGGUACUGAUGUGAUCAGAUUAGUAUUAGUCAUGACCUGGGCUGCCUUGUGGAGCAUGAGCUGGUAAUAGGGGUCCUGGGGGCAAAGGCGCAGGUGCAUUUCUAUGGCGAGUUUCUCAGGUGGACUCAGCGGUCCUUGGCUUUUUGUGGGAUGUGGUGUAUAGGGUCCUGGUAAGGAAGGUGGCCUCUAACACAGGAGGGGAUCAGAGAAGGGGCUGGUGUGGGGGAGUUUGGAACAUACUGGGAGUCUGCCCAUUCCACAAGACAGGCAGCCUGAGGUGGAGACUUGAGAGCGCUCAGUAAAGUCGGAGGAGGGGGAAAGACACAGCAGGUGAGAACACACUGGAAGAGCCCUUGGACAGGGACACAAGGUUAGACAGAGAAAGAGAGUGCACAAGAGCAAAA